This 94737-nucleotide long non-coding RNA is filed under the name Phaseolus vulgaris (common bean). RNAcentral describes it as "long non-coding RNA (PVUL_LNC001945)". The record is from RNAcentral. Lineage: Eukaryota; Viridiplantae; Streptophyta; Magnoliopsida; Fabales; Fabaceae.
CCACAAUCACAAUCUCUCUUACAAUCGUCGUAAAUAUUCAUUUACCAUUAUCUUGAUAGACACAACCUCUUGUCCUAAUAAUUAUUUUGUAUAUUAAUAAUUUAUAUACUACAUAAAUCAAAAGAACAAUUUAAUUAAAUUUAAAAUGAAAAUUAACUAUGAAUUAAAUAAUUCUAACCGUAUAUUUCAAAAACAAAAUAAAUUUCGGAUUGUAUAAUUCCUUUUGAAUUUUCAAAAUUUAUAUUUUUCAAAAAUAAAAUACCUCAUAAAUUAUCCAGUUCAAAAUGUAUUUAUACAUUUAAAAUUAUAAUUUUAAAUUAUAGAAUCUAAAAUUAUUAUGUUUUUUAAAAUACAUUUUAAAUGGAACAAACAACGAAAGGAGGAGCGACGACUACGACACUGUUUUUCUACAAGGAAGAAGAAGAGAGAAAUGUAGGUCUAAAAAAUAUAGGUGAGUAAGGGUAGUUUGGUCUCUUAGCAUGAGAUGGGGUGCAUAAUAAUGAAAUUAUGGGGGUGCAGUGGCGUAAUAAAUAAGAAAGGCUGGCCCAAAUAAAGUGAGUGGGGAAAAGGAGCGUCUUGGUUAGAAAGGGUGAGGCGGUGGUGGCAGUUACCGGAGGAGAGAGAUGCCGAAGAGAACAACGCACACUUACUCAAGCGAGGAUGCGGCGCCGGAGGGUCCACACUCCGAUCUGUUUGUUUAUUACUGCAAACACUGCGCUUCCCACGUCCUCAUAACAGAUACCCAAUUGCAGAAAAUGCCCAAAAGAAAAACCGACAAAGCUUAUGUGCUCGACAAGACCAAACAUCUCGCCCGAUUCAAUGUCCACCACGCCGGAAAAGUUCUCUUGAAGAGAGGCGAAGGCAAAUUGGAGAAACAAUUCCGCAUGAACUGUAUGGGCUGUGGUCUUUUCGUUUGUUAUCGCGCCGACCACGAUUUCGACUCUUCCUCUCUCAUCUACGUCCUUGAUGGUGCCCUCAGCACUGUUGCUGCCGAAACCAACCCACAGGUACAUCUCCUUUUCUUCCUCCUCUUCUUCUUCUUCUUCUUCUUCUCUCUCACCCCUUUUCUCUUCAGGAUGCUCCCGUUCCACCCUGUAUAUCCCAGCUUGAAGGAGGACUUGUUCAGGUUGCUAUAGAAGUUGAAGAUCGUGCACAGCGUUCAGCAAUCACCAGUACCCUUUCUCUUCCCUUCUAAUUUCAUCUACACUUUCUCUAUACAUUCAAUUGCAAAUAAUGUCAUCACAACAUUCUAUGUCCUUUCAAAUACUUUUCGAUCACACUAUUUGUCAAAUGCUUCUAAUUUAUGCUCACCACGUAUGUGCUUACAAGUACAACCUUAAUUCUUAUCAAAAUCCCAUGUGCUUGCAUAUUUCUAUGCCUGCUACCCUCUCAUAUUUGCAUACAUGGAUUAAGAAACAGUGUGGUAUUAUGGAACAGUAAUGUUUUGGAGGCCUUAAUUGAGGAGAGGGAAUGAAAAUGGAACGCAAAGUAGAAAGAAUGGUGGGGUAAAAUGAGAAAUUUAAGAAUAAUUGCUCACCUUUUCAUCCACAUUGUAACAUGGAGUUGUAAAAUGAGAAAUUUAAGAAUAAUUUCUUAAUAAAAUCCCGUUGGAGGAUUACAUUUAUAUUGUUUUUGCUGUAUCAGGAGUAAAUGCUGAUGAUGUUCGAGUCACUGUUGCUGCUCCUGCUGCCCGUGGAGAGGCCAACAACGAACUUUUGGAAUUCAUGGGAAAAGUAUAUUUAAACCCUCUCUGUUUCUCUUUUUAUCGGGUGUGAGUUUUGUCUCAACAUCAAGGUUGUUGCCUUGUGACUUUGUGGUCAUGGGAUAUGGUUGCGAAGAUGGCCUUGGUUCAUCAGUGCAUACACUACACAUGAUCCUCCUAGAACUCUUUGGACUUUUUGGUGGCCCUUUUUUGUUGUUGUGUCUCUUUGUUGAAUCUUUCCCUCUGGCCUAAGACUACUGUAGCACUGACAACUUUCCGCUACACAUUUCUUACAUAGGUUUUGGGUUUGAGGUUGAGUCAGAUGACUCUUCAGAGAGGAUGGAAUAACAAAUCAAAGCUUCUUGUGGUGAGUUACAUUAUUAUCAAGUAUACCUUCGUGUGAAGCAUUCACAUUGAUAUGGAUUUGGGAUUCAUUCCAAACGAUACUAUUCUGAAUAAUCAUACUAACUCCACUGCCUUAAUUAUUUCUGUUUCCCUCUUAUAAGAUUGUCCCUUUGUAAUUAUUUUCACAUUUGACGACUGUUUCAGGUGGAGGAUUUGACUGCUAGACAAGUUUAUGAGAAACUUUUGGAGGCUGUGCAACCUUAACAUUGUCUUUUUAGCUUUAGUUUCCAUGGUGUGUCUGGCUUCUGUGAGGUUCUUUUGCAUUUUCCAUAUUAAGCCAGGUUGAAUCUCAUUUUUUCUGCAAAAAAGAGUGAGGUUUAAAUUUCAGUUGUAAUGUUUACUGAGAUACUAAACGAUGCAGUUGGCUACGAUGCAAUAGAAACCUUACUUGCUAUGCUUAUGUACUAUAAACACAUGAUUGGAUAGUAUCAGGGGAACAAAACCUACCUGGUUAUGACAGAAACGUAUCAGAAUCUUUUUCUUUUUUCAAUAUAUCCGGGUAAAUUAUGUAUUGCCCUCUAGUUUCACCAUUUGUUAAAUAUUUUUUUUAAAUUUCUGUCACUUAAUCUUUGUCUUAACGUUGGUUUAAUAUAAAAUAUCAAUUUUAGUUUUAAUUAUUGUUCUUUAUCUUGCACAUCUAAAUAAAUUCAGUAUGAUAUAUAGGAGAAAUGAUGUUGUGCUGAUAAAAAAAAUAAAAAAAUAGGAGAAAUGUUGUAUGAAUUUAAUUUUGAUAUAUUAUCUGCGUAAUUUUUGUAUCAUUAAAUAAUUAGAAAAUAUCUUAAAAAUGAUUUUAAAAUAAUUAUCAUUUAAAAGAAAUGUUUUCAUUGUAAUUUGACCUCGUAGUCUUAAGUGUAGCAUUUGAGUUUUAUAAAGACAGUCUUCUAAAUUUAAGACUCUUGUAUUAAAUAAUAUCUCAAAUUAGAAGUAAUUUUUAAAUUUAAAAUAUAAGUAAAAAUUAUAAAAUUAUCAGUUUUAUAAGAUUAUUGUAUUAAAGCGAAAUUUAUAAAAAAAAAAUCUUAAAAAUAAUAUAUGAUUGAAAAGACUUUGAAUUGGAGAUGAAGUUUAAGCGAAGGUAAUAAAGUUAUAUGCAAUCAGAACAUUCUACACUUCAAUGCCUAAUAAAACCAAAUCCCUGUUUAUACCUUUCUUUUAGGAUAAAUUUUAUUAAUAAACUAACAAACAACCUUAAAAAUAUCUAUAACAAAUAUUAUUAAUAGUUAUCUUAAUCUUAAUAUAUAAAAGUAAGGUAUUAUUAUCGGUAUUUUUCGUCAAUUUUUCUACCUACCGUGACUUAAUUGUAUUAAUUAACAAUACUUUCAUUAUUCAAAAGAAUCUAUUUAUAAUUUCUUAACUAAUAGAAUUCGUUACUAUUAAUUCUGUAUAGUAGUUGCUAAAACAAUAAAAAUUUCAGCAUUUAACAUUUUUACCGAAACAAAUUGUAUUAAUUAUAUUAAUUUAUUCCCUUUUUUAAGCCAAUAAAAAUAGAUAGUUUUACCAUUUUUUAUCAUAUUAGAAAUGUAAAAUUUGUUGUAUAUGUGAUUUAUUUUGGAUAACAGUAGUUUUUGUUGAUUUAAUAUUAGAAGCAUAAACAUUAUUGAUAUAUAUAUUUUUGUGGUAGGAAUAUUUAUAAUGAAGAUUUUGAAUAACCCAUGCUUUAUCUGAUAAGAGGAUGUGUUUGAAUGUGUAGAUUGGGAAGGAUAUUUAGGGAAUUUGGUUAAAUAAAUUCCGCUAUUUUAGAAAAAUUAAUAAAAUAUUGAAGAGUCACGUGUGCAAUGCUCACACUCCAGAAUAUCUUCAUCUCCUUGAUUUGAAGAGAAGGAGGAAGAAGAAGAAGAAGAAGAAGAAGAAGAAGAAGAAGACAAGUUACAGUUAGUGUUACGUAAUGGAUUCUCUGCGUGUGUAUGCGUCUACCAUUCGCCCAUGCUUCUGUGCGUGUGCCCAUCCCUCCACUCUCUCCACCUCUUCCUACAAAACCCAUCUCAGAUUCCUCCUUCCCUCUCUCCCUCCUCUUCGCCCUCUCCAUCUCCGAUUGUCUCCGCCUCUCUCCGCUGUCUCCUCCCCGGAAUCUCAAACUAGGUCAUUCUCGCUCUCUCUCUGUCUUUAAUUCUUCAUUUUUUUAUUGCUUACUCCUUCCAACUCACUACUCCAAUCAAUGUCAGGGACGAACAACAACAAGAAGGAGACAAUAAUCCUUCUUCUGUCUCCAUGGACCGCAAAGUUCGCCUGCAAGUUCGAUUAGAUCACCAAGUUCAGUUUGGUGAUCACGUUGCCAUCCGAGGAUCCACCAAGGAAUUAGGAUCAUGGAAGACCAAUGUUCCCUUGAGCUGGACCAAAAAUGGAUGGGUGUGCCUCUUGGAAUUCAAAGGGACCGAUCACAUUGAGUUUAAAUUCAUCACUGUCAAAAAGGACUCUACUAUGGUCUGGGAAGCCGGCCAAAACAGAGUGUUGAAAUUGCCCGUGGCAGGUCAUUUUACCACCGUCGCUACGUGGGACGCAACCCAAACAAAUUUGGAGCUGCACCCUUUGGAUGAACAACUGCAACUUCAAGUACAGGGGGAGGAAGGUAAACCAUACGAUGGUGCUACUUCUUCUGUUUCUGAAACGGCAGAGGCAAGUCCCUUUGUAGGUCAGUGGCAAGGUAAACCUGUUUCUUUCAUGCGAUCCAACGACCAUCGAACCCAUGAAACACAAAUGAAAUGGGACACUUCAGGUCUUCAUGGUUUGCCUCUCAAAUUCGUUCAAGCCGACCAAAACGCCAGGAAUUGGUGGAGAAAGGUACUCCAAUUCAUAAUAUUCCUUUCCCUCGGUGCCUUCUUUAGAAACCAGUGCCUUUCCUUUUUAAUCAGCGUAUUAACUUUAUCCUUAAUUUUCACUUUGAAGCUUGAUAUCGUGCGUGAUAUUAUAGCUGGAGGUCUGCAAGGGGAAGAUCGAUUGGAGGCUCUCUUAUACUCAGCUAUCUAUCUCAAGGUCUUGUUCUAUCUUUUUCAUUCAAUCAUCCAUGCUCUUCUUUUACCAUCUUCUGAUCCCUUCUGACAUCAUCUGUGCAGUGGAUAAACACCGGGCAAAUAACUUGUUUUGAAGAUGGAGGUCACCACCGCCCCAAUAGGCAUGCUGAGAUUUCAAGGCUUAUAUUUCGUGAACUAGAGCGGCACACUGCUCGGAAGGAUAUAUCUCCACAGGUGAUCUAUUAUUACUUUUGACAGUGGAUCAUGUGGUCCUGAUUGCAUAAUAGAUGUUGCUGAUAUUUCACAAAAAUUAUACGAGAGUCGGUAUUUAUGUCAUAGGUUCUGCAUUGUUGUCUAUUUUAUAUGUCUUUAUGUGUUUUGGCCUUAAGGCUUGUUUAGAUAAACAUAGGAGAAAAAAAUGUGAUGAAAAAGUUACAUAAACAUUUCUAGAAGUUCAAAUUAGUUUAUGCAUAAGUUAUCUCAUAUCUUUUUUUUUUAAAUCUGUCUUUUUACUUGUACUUGUACUUAAGUCAAUUUUAACUUCUGUAGAAAUUUAUUUUAUUUUUGUUAUUUUCUUCUCUUAAAAGCAUUUAUGGAGAAGUUUAUUCAAACAAAGCCUUAUUUAGAUUUUUUUGAAGAUAACAUUAUAUUUCAAAAUGCAGUCAAUUAGUUUCAAAUCUUCUUAAUGUUUUCCUUGUCUUUUUUGUUAUAAGUUUUUGCAACAGCUGUCCCGAUUUAAAUUAGUUGCUUAGUUCAGCCAUGUCCUGUCCUUUAAAAUGUCUGACAUACAUUAAAUGUGAAAUGUCCGAGAAUUGGAAAUUAUUGUUUAAAAGUGUUUUUGAAAACUUGGUAUAAUAUUCCUUUACAUUUCCCACCUUUUUUAUAUCUUGCUGUCCAGUAAAGUUUAAGCUUUAUUUCUUUAAUUUACCUUAUUUUCAUUAACAUACAGGAAGUUCUAGUCAUCCGAAAGAUUCAUCCAUGUUUGCCAUCUUUCAAGGCAGAAUUCACUGCAUCUGUACCUCUUACUCGAAUUAGAGAUAUUGCUCAUCGAAAUGACAUCCCUCAUGACCUCAAGGUUGUUCUCCUCAUAGUACAUGAAAUAUGAAAUCUCAUUGCAGUUCAAUGUUAAUAAUAGGUCAACUUUAAUCUGUAUUGUUUAUUGUCCAGUUACAAAUUAAGCAUACAAUACAAAACAAGCUUCACCGAAAUGCUGGGCCUGAAGAUUUGGUUGCUACAGAAGCUAUGCUUGCUAAAAUCACAAAAAACCCUGGAGAAUACAGUGAACCGUUUGUGAAGGAAUUCAAAAUAUUUCAUCUAGAACUCAAAGACUUCUUCAAUGCUGGCAGGUUUGAUUGACAUGAAUAUGCAGAAGUUUUUGGCUUCUUCACAUCAAUUUCUCUUUUUAUAAUUUAAACAUUAUGUAGUUUUCUCUUGAAACUCCCCCAUGAUUUGAAUACACAAUUAAUUAGGCCGUUAACCAAUAGACUGAUCGUGAAACUGCAUGAACUUUUGCUGUUCACAGCAAAAUCUUCAUUUUGAACUAGUCAGAUAUUUCCGUAAGUCAGAAAAUCAACUGAUUAACACUAUGUAAUAGUUUCUCAUUUUAAGAGGUCCCAUGUUUAAUCCCGUUGGAAGCAACUGGCUGUAGAGGCUCCAAUAAAAAUGGUGGUUCAAUGAAUUAAUCUCCUACAUUAUAGAGUCUCGGGAGUGUCACGCACUCCACAUGUAGAGAGGCUGCUUUAGACUAUAGAACUUGUAGGCUGUUCCUACCAAGGUCACAAGACUAAAACCUUUUUGUGCGAAGGCCUACCAUCUCUUGUGAAUCCUGCAGUAGUUUGAGGGGAUGGGGUGAGCCAACAAUGAAGUAUACUAAAUUUCAAGGAUAUUUUCAAAUAAUUUGGGCCUGUGUUUAACCAGUGGCUGAAAAAUCAUAAUUUUACACUUUUGAGUGAACAUAGUAAACUAAAUUUCUAGGAUAUAUUCAAAUGAUUUAAACUUGUCUUAUACUAGUACUGGAAAAUCACAAUCUGUUGCACUUAUGGACGGCUUUGUCAUGUUGCAUGCAGUCUUGCUGAGCAGUUAGAAUCAAUUCGUGAAUCUAUGGAUGAAUAUGGCAUUUCAGCACUUAAUUCAUUUUUGGAGUGCAAAAAGGUAAAUUUGCCUAUUCUGAUUUUAUUGCAUUUAUAUUUCUUGAUUUGGUCUCAAUGUUUGACACUGAAAUAAACUAAUUAUGGAAUAAGAUGUCAUCUAAUUCAUGGUAGAAUAAUUAGCUGUUAGAGAGUUAGCUUGUUGGGAGAUGAGAUACUCGGGAAAUGACAUUGCAUUUUGUAGUCUUUCUGGUAUCACAAUUUUUGGGUUUUGGUCUCUUGGGCUUCAAUUGUGAUAAAUGGGUCUCAAGUAUUGUGAGGUUGAUUGAAAUAUUUCUCAACAAAUUAUACAUGUAGCAUAAGAAUCAUGAAGCUGAAAUUUUGAGGUUGUCAAAGCUCUAGUUUGGAUAAGAAUUCUCUCUCCUUUCCCUUUUUCAAUGGGUGGGGGGUAGGUACUGUUGCAUUUAUCCCAUUCAUGUGACCAUGGUACUCAUAGUUGUUCUGAUAGUGGCAUCUACUGAUGAGGGACAAUGUUUUGUACUUUUCCAGAAUAUGGAUGCUGCAUCAGAAUCAAAUGCUGCCAGAGAAGACGUAAAUAAACUUUUAUUUAAAACAAUGGAAUCUUUAAAUGUUCUGAGAGAAACUAUUGUAAAGGGUCUUGAAAGUGGCCUCAGGAAUGAUGCUCCAGAUUCUGCAAUAGCUAUGCGUCAAAAGGUGACUCUAGUUUAAUUCAACUGUUUAGCCAGACUUUGCAUCUGAUUUUCUUUAUAAAGAAUGAUGGAACAUAUUUUGAUUCGCAUCUUUUUUUGGGGGGUACAGUGGCGCCUCUGUGAGAUUGGGCUUGAGGAUUACUCAUUUGUUCUUUUAAGCAGGUUUUCGUCCCACCUUAUUCCUAAUUACUCUUUGUACAAUAGUCAGAUACUUAGAAGUUGAUGUAAUAUACGAAGGACAGAUGUUGCGAAAGGCAUGGAGUACUUGUUAACUACUUAGACAGAUAACACUAGAAUACAAUGCAUAACACUGAAUGCAUGAAGAUAGAUGUUUACUAAACCUCCAAGUUAGCUAAAGAAUUAUAUAAAUUAUCUUAAUACUUUAAACGGGAAAAAAUAAGUUUCAUGUUGAUUUCAAAUAACUGUAAUGAUGCAGUGAAGUCAAGCCACUUGAUAAGGAUGUAGUAUCAUUGAACUGUGUAGAACUUGUUUGAUGGACAUAUAGAACUUUUCCAGCCAAAAGCUACUUGUAAAUUGUAUAACAAGACCUUUCUAUUGGUAUCACAUUAACUUCUAAACACGUGAAUAGAUUUCUCAACGAGCUUGAAGUCUUGGGAGGUGCUAGUUGGCUGGCCGCAAAUGUGCAGUCAAAAAAUGUAAACUUGUGGAAUGAUUCACUUGGAGCCCUUAUUAUUGGAAUCCACCAGCUGAAGUUAUCUGGCUGGAAGCCAGAAGAGUGUGGUUGUAUUGAAAAUGAACUCAUUGCCUGGAGUAAAAGAGGCCUUUCUGAAAGAGAAGGUAACUUUCUUGGGUCCUUUCUCUAUUGUUGUUUUUAAAAAUCACUUAGACAUUGUUGCCUAAUUUUCAUUUUAAAUGUACUCCCUUUUGUUCCAGGAAAUGAAGAUGGCAAGACAAUUUGGUCACUGAGACUCAAAGCUACUCUUGAUAGAUCAAAGAGGCUAACUGAUGAAUAUACUGAAGAACUUCUUAAGAUAUUCCCUCAGAAAGUCCAGGUUAGAAAGUAUUAUUAUUAUGAUGAUGAUUUUAAAGGUCUGCAAUUUCAAUGCCGGGUGCAAAAAGAUACUAAAGAAAUAUGACAUAAAAUGAAGCCAAGAUGCAACCAAGACUUGGGAGUACACAAAUUUAAAAGAAGUCCGCUCACCGGAAAUAUAUAAUUAAAUAAACACAGUUUGUUAGUCUUAAUAACACCCUUAAUAGUUGUUAUGUGUGACCUACAAACAUUACUGAAAUAAUUACACAACCUAUAAUCAGAAAAUGAGAGAAGUUCAAUUCAGAGGUAGGAAAUUUGAUCGUGGUUCUUCCUUUAUUUCAAGCUAAAUAGCGAUUGCCCUUGUGACACUGGUGCUGUUUAGUUUUCAUAGCUGGGCUCCUCUUCAUUUCAAGUGCAUAUAUCUUGAAAUAUACCAACUUGUCAUCUUAAAUGUUACAGAUACUAGGUAAAGCUCUUGGAAUACCUGAAAACAGUGUCAGGACAUAUACAGAAGCUGAGAUUCGAGCUGGGUAUGUUAAUGCAUUGUCCUUCAUAUUUCUCUUUUGGAUACAUUAUCCUUUGCAAUUUAGUCAGAGAAAAUUUCAGGAAACAUAGUCAAAAGCUUCUUCACCACUAUCUGUGAUUUUUGUUCAUGUUUAUUCCUGGACUACAGAUUUCUUACCAGACAUAAGAAGUAUAUUAUGAAUAUACAUAUUAUAUGACUUUUCUUGUACAUUUUCAGUGUGAUUUUCCAGGUUUCAAAACUAUGUACGGUUCUUCUAAAAGCUGUUAGAAGUACACUUGGUUCUCAAGGUUGGGAUGUUCUUGUUCCAGGAGCUGCUUCAGGAAAAUUGGUUCAGGUACCACUUCCAAGUUGCAUUUAGAAAUAUCGUGAAAAAUUUUAUUAUUAUAUUUACUGUGUUGUUCCGAGUACGAGAGAGAAACCUUUUAUAGAAAAACCUUAUUGCAUUUACAGAAGUGAUUCAUCCCUUGCGUAAAUAUCUUAAAAAGGAAUCUAUCCUUAUACUAAAACUACUGCAACAUGGAGCUUAAAUGAUAAUCCUGCAUAACUUCAUGUCAAAAAUAUUAUGGUGUUUUUUUUUAUACCAUCAGCAGUUUACCAUCAACAAUUUUUUUUACUGCAAAGACCACUUGCAACUUAUAGCAUAUUUGUGUUAAAGUAAUCGAACCGAAAGACAGACUCAUAUCUCUCCAGAUCCUUCAUUCCAUAGUCUUUCAUCACCCUUCUUGGGUAAAAGCCUCUGAAACUUCCCUCUUGGGAAGAUAAAGUUCAGGAAAGCAGUAAAGUACUAAUAGAAAGGAGACACCUGGUGUAAGACAAUAAAGAAAUCCAUGAGACCAAGUAAUUGCAUACCAUCAAUUAUCAAACAGAAGUCUACAAGUUAGGAAAGAUAAGAAUCUGUAGCCCUCUACACAAGAAAAAAAAGAAGUAAUAACGAUACAGAUACUAACAAUGGUAGGGAUAUCCUCAUCCUUGACUAACAUGAGUUUGUGUUUCUUUGAGCUAGGUUGAAAGAAUUGUUCCUGGUUCACUGCCAUCAUCAGUGGAAGGACCUAUUAUCCUUGUAGUUAACAGAGCUGAUGGUGACGAAGAGGUAUGUACAUAUAUAUAUAUAUAUAUAUAUAUAUAUAUUUGUAUUUGAGAGUAUAUGGAAAUAUUAAACAUAUUAAUAUUUAUAAAUUCAUUACACUGGCAGGUAACAGCUGCUGGGAGGAACAUAGUGGGAGUUAUUCUUCAGCAAGAACUGCCUCACUUAUCUCAUCUUGGUGUUAGGGCACGGCAGGCACGUCUCUUUUUCUAAGUAUUCAAUCAAUGAUUUUGAAGUUUGAUUAUCUACAAUAUGACAUUCAUACUGCUAUUGUUUAUUACAGGAAAAAGUCGUCUUUGUCACAUGUGAAGAUGAAGAAAAAGUUGUUGAUAUACAAAGGCUUAUUGGGUCAUAUGUGAGGUUAUAUUGUCAGAUAAUUUUUGUUAUCCAUUAUUAAUUGUUUUUAAAACUGAGCCACGUUUUUUUAAAUAUUUUGACAUAAUUUUGUGAGCAGAUCUAAUGGUAUAAUGGUUUCCAUUUUCUCUUUUCCUGCUUCAAUUUAACUUUUCAGGUUGGAAGCAUCAACUGCCGGUGUUAAUCUGAAGUUAUCCUCUUCGAUGGACACUGAUGACAAUUCUUCCAUGAGAAGUUCUUCUGAUGACAAUGUCUCUGGAGUUGAAGUUCCUUCUUUUUCUUUUAGUAGAAUCUCCAAUUUUGAUCAGGUAGAGAAUGAUAAUUUAUUCACUUAAUUUUUUUGGCUUUGUUGAUAUUUUAGAGAUAAAUUCCAGGUUGGUGAAAGUGAUAAGGUUUUUUAGGAAAAAAUAGUUACUCUCUUCUGAAAAACUGGACAAUAUUUAUUUUUAUAAAAAAACUAUCUUUUAAAGCAGUUUAAGGAACUGCUUUUUUAUAACGAGACAAAAUAAAUUGUUUCAAAAUGUUAAUCUGAAAACAGUUUUAAUAUGGAGAAAGUAGUCCUUGAAUCUAACAGCUAAUGAUCUGUUACCAACCUACGUAUCUUGUUGUAAGUAGCACUUACAACUUAUCCUGCAAUAGCUGCACUUCCUUUUUCCUCCAUCUAAACUGUCCCCUCAAUCCCUUGAUUACUAGUCAGACUACCGUAGAUCUUUGCCUGUCUUUGCCCUGUCUCAGAACUCGCAAGCAUCACCUCACUCUUGGUUUAUAUUACGACAUGUCUAAUCAAUCUAACUCUUAUUAUUCACAGAAAAGCCUAGCAUUUAUUCAAUUACCAUUCCCUUAAAUAAAUCUUCAUAAAAGUUACCUCUGAUGAAUAAUUAUUCUUUUCAUAUCAAGGGUGCUUCUUCUGCCGGAGUUAUCUUGCUUCCUGAUGCAGAGAUACAGACAUCAGGUGCUAAGGCUGCUGCAUGUGGUCUCUUAUCAUCGGUGUCGGAAGUUUCUGAUAAAGGUGAGAUUUUUUAACUGAAAAUGGUAGUGCUAUUAGAUCACAAUGUUGCUUGUCAUUCCAACUAUGUUGGCACCACAAACAAUUAUAAAAGAAAAAGGUAAGAUUCAAUAAAAGCUAUGAGUUGCAUAACUACGUCUCUUCAAUUCAAGUAGUGCCAUAUUUUAUCUUUCUGAUGAUCUAUUUCGUAUGGAAUGAUACAAUUUCCUGUUUAAGACACCCUCUCUGGUUUCCUAACAGUAUAUUGGAGCUCAAGAUUUUGUUUUUAAACUAGCCAGCUCCAGACCAUUAGAGAACUGUACUGAAACAAUGUAAUUGAUGUUAUGUUUUUUUCCCUUUUAUUCUGGAAAGAUGUUUUCUAGUCUGACUCUUUUCCUCUAAAUGAAUUCUUAUACUUCAUAAAAAAAGGUUAAUAUUUUUAUCCAGUAAUUGGGGGUGGAGAAAUAUGCAUACGGAUGUGCAUGACUUAGCAUAAAGAUGUGCAUUGUGUUGAGUAUCAAUUCUCUAGUACCUGUCAAAGAGCCACUGACCUAAAACCGUAGAUGCAACAUAUUGGCCGGCAAAGAAUAUAUUUUUCGAUUCUAACAUGUUCAAGUCCUUCAUAAAAAAAUGUAUUUAAUUAUAAAAAAAUGGACAUUUCCAGUUUGAAGGGAUUAAAUUUAUGUGGUUUUGAAGGAUGUCCCACCCUCACCUUCUCGCUCCUUAAUACUUUUAGCAAAUCAUAUUUCUGAAGUCUGAUUUUUUAAUGACAGUUCACAGUGAUCAGGGAGUGCCUGCUUUGUUUCGAGUUCCUUCUGGGGCAGUUUUACCAUUUGGAUCGAUGGAAUUGGAACUAGAGAGGAGUAACUCCACCGAAACAUUCAGGUCUAUCCUGGAAAAGAUAGAAACAGCAAAACUCGAGGGUGGUGAACAGAAAGUUGUUACAAUCAACUCCAGGAAUUAAUUUCUUCCCUCAAGCUACCGAAAGACAUCAUUGAAAGCAUUGGGAAAAUAUUCCCAAGCAAUGCACAUUUAAUUGUUCGAUCCAGUGCCAACGUUGAGGACUUAGCCGGAAUGUCAGCAGCUGGACUUUAUGAAUCAAUACCCAAUGUUAGUCCUUCCAAUCCAACAGUUUUUGCAAAUGCCGUUAGCAAAGUAUGGGCUUCACUGUACACUCGCAGAGCAGUGUUGAGCCGGCGUGCUGCUGGUGUUCCUCAGAUGGAAGCUUCAAUGGCAGUUCUGAUCCAAGAAAUGCUUUCACCGGAUCUCUCAUUUGUACUGCAUACUGUGAGCCCAACAAAGCAGGAUAAUAAUUGUGUGGAGGCUGAGAUUGCUUCAGGUCUUGGUGAAACUCUGGCUUCUGGAACCCGGGGUACACCAUGGCGUUUAUCAUCAGGUAAAUUUGACGGGCAGGUGCAAACUCUAGCUUUUGCUAACUUGAGUGAGGAAUUGCUGGUACGAGGUGCAGGGCCUGCAGAUGGCGAGGUUAUCCGUUUGAUCGUUGAUUACAGCAAGAAACCACUGACAGUUGACUCCACUUUCCGUAGACAACUUGGUCAACGUCUUUGUGCAGUUGGGUUUUUCCUGGAGAGAAAGUUCGGUUGCCCACAGGAUGUGGAAGGAUGUCUUGUUGGAAAAGACAUCUUUAUCGUGCAGACAAGGCCCCAACCCCUGUAGUCCAAAUCUCCUGCUUCGUUGUGCUCUGCUGCUGGGAAUCUCUUCCACUGCACAUUCAAUACAAAACAAUACAAUGUAGAAAGCACAUACAUACUUGUCUAUGAUGGCUGGCAUGUAUGUACUCCAUGGAAAUGGUUGGAUAUGAAGUCACCCCUACCAUUGUUUCUGCUGUAAAAUAUGUAGAUUUAUAUCUUCAAAGACGUUUUGUGACAUCAUACUACCUAAAAACUUAGCUCCCCACAAAAAAUGUUACCUUCAUACGUUGUACUCAUUCCAAUCUAUGCAAUAAUGUCUCGUAUUCAUAUUUAAGAAAUAAAAUAAAGAUGUAGUUGCGUGAAAAUCUUUGUCGUGCCCUUGUAUUCAUGUUUUUUUAAAGUUUUGAGUCAUUCUUAAGUAUUAAUAAGAAGAGGUUUAAGAUAUUUUACUAAACAAAAACAGUUACAAAUAACAUUAAAUAAUUGAAUAGGAUGAGAGACACGCUGCAAUCACCAUAGAGUAGAUACAUAUAAUUAUAAAUAAUUAAGUAAGAUGAUAUUAAACAUAAUUAGUUAAAUAAAAUGAUAUUAGAGACACUCCAUUUAAUAAGAAUAAUUAUAAAAUACACAAAUAAAAAGUGAAUAUAGAAAAAUGAUAGACGAUUACUUUCUUUUUACUUAAUUAUUUAGAUAAUAAAAAGAAAUUUUGAUACAAGAAUUCAGAAAACAUUAUCUUGCUCAGACAUAUAGCUUAGAUCUUUUAAUAUUUUUGUCUUUGAAUGUUACUUGGGAUUCACAGUUUUGACAUUCAUGACAAUAAAUAAAAGUAUUUAUCUAUGUGAAUUACUCUUUAUAUUUGACUGUAUAUCUUUGCUGAUUUAUGAUUUGUUAUUAUUAUGAAUUUUAAUAUUUAUAUAUUAUAAUUAAGAUUGGCAAUAAAUAAUACUGAAAAGGCAAAACAGUAAGAAGAAUUAUCGGAGGAAGGUACAACUAACUAACAAACUACGUAACAAACAAUUGUAGUUUUACCGUUAGAUUAUCUUGUUUGUCAUAAUUGAAUUAUUGUUAUAAUGGUAAGAGAGAGAGAGUGAGAGUGGUAGAAAUCAAAGAUGAUGACGAUUCACGCUGCAAUCACUUCUUUCUGUUUGUCCGAUUAGGUUGUUUGUGUCGUGUCGGAAAAUCUGUGGGAAUGGGAUCGUGCCUCUCGUUGACGGAGGCGUCAUCGUUGCCUUCCAUGGAUGCAUGUGAUGAACCGUUAUGCAGUCCCAUCACAUUCUCCGAUUACAGAAUCGAAAUGCGGGUCCACAGAGUUCCUGGGAGAUUGUUCUUGAACGGUUCAUCGCAGGUUGCUUCCUUGUUCUGCAAGCAAGGCAACGGAACGAUCAACCAGGAUGCAAUGCUUCUUUGGGACAACUUCUGUUCCAAGGACGACGCCGUUUUCUGCGGCGUUUUUGAUGGCCACGGACCUCAUGGCCAUCUGGUUGCCAAGAAACUCAGAGACUCGUUUCCUUUGAAGCUCAUUGCUCAGUGGAAUUCCAUAAACCCUAACACCACCUACAGCUAUCGGAAUUUCUUCAACACAUCCUUCGAUGACUUCCAACACGAUAGCGUUGCUCCGACUAAUAUUGCAACGUUGAGACAAUCUUUUGUGAGGGCUUGCAAGACGAUGGACUCAGAACUCAGAGACCAGAAUCAGAUCGAUUGCUCUUCCAGUGGCUCCACUGCUGUUAUUCUGCUGAAGCAGGUGAGUAUCACAUCGCAUCAUCUUCUUCAGUUCUUCACUUCUCAUUCAUUCAUUCAUUCAUUCAUCGAUUCUUCAAGGGUCACGACCUUGUUAUUGCCAAUGUCGGUGACUCCCGAGCUGUAUUGGCUACCCAAGACCGUAAUGGUUCCCUUACUGCCGUUCAAUUGACCACUGACCUUAAGCCUGAUCUUCCAAGUACGUCUCUGUCUCUCCAUUGUCGUUCUUUCUUUGCAUCCAAUCAAUGCACUCUUACUCUGUUUUUAUUCUCUUUCCUCUAUCAGGGGAAGCAGAGAGGAUAAGGAUUUGUAAGGGAAGAGUUUUUGCCCUUAAAAGUGAACCAUGGAUUUCUAGAGUAUGGCUGCCCAAUGUUAACUCCCCUGGGCUUGCCAUGUCAAGGGCUUUUGGAGAUUUUUGUCUCAAGGACUUCGGAAUCAUCUCUGUUCCUGAUUUCUCCUAUCACCGCCUUACUCACAGGGAUCAAUUUGUUGUGUUAGCCACAGAUGGGGUAACGAACUCUUAACUCCCUUUUUUCAUUUAUCAUACCAUCCUCAUACUUGUGUUAUCAUGUACAUACAUUCAACUCUCUUUAGGUAUGGGAUGUUUUAUCAAACCAAGAAGUAGUGUCCAUUGUGGCAUCUACUCCACGCUCUUCCGCGGCUCGAAUACUGGUUGACGCAGCUGUUCAGGCAUGGAAAGCCAAGCUUCCUUCUUCUAAGGUUGAUGAUUGCUCUGUGGUAUGCCUCUUCCUUAAUUCCAAGUCGGACUUAAAACCAUCAACUACCAACACAGACCCAUCAAAUGACGUUGAGCAGUCAUCACCAACACUACUCAGAGUGGAGCCUGAAGAAAAGUGCCAAUAGUAUAUAUCUUUUCUGUCAACCAUCACUCACUUCAUUUAGAAGAGAAACUAUUAGGCUGCAUCCUUAAUUUCAGAAAUACACUCACAUCCUGAGGCUUAACUAAAUUUCAUUUGUGUCUCCCCCCAAAUAAAUCUCCCUCAAUUUAUAUAACAAAAUAAAGUUGCACAUACUACCCAUUAACACAUCUCACUUGAUUUUCUUUAUGCAGUUACGAGUAUAGAUAGAGAGAUAUAGUGAUGUAAAUAGAUACGGAAUAUGAAGUAUAAUUUUAUUAAACCUCAGGGGUGUGUCUGUAUAUUACAUAAUUUAUCUUAUAUUUUUACAUAUACAGGGUAAAGGGAUACUAUCGUUUUUUUUCUUUAGCUCGAGGCCUUUUUCCUAUCUGUAUAUCCCGUAGAUGUGAACUUCUGUAUAUCCAAGUCCCUAGAUUAUAUUAAGCAGUUUAUCCAGUGGGUUGCUUGAAACAAGAGAAAUGAAAAGAAUAAGAAUCUUGUUUUCUAUUUCUGUUAAUUAUAUUUUAAUUUACACACUCCAAAUAGCCACACCUUCCAAAGCCAAGUUUUUUUGAAAUAAAGAAAGAGUUAAACUGGAAAGUUUAAGCCAUUAUUACAACUUCCACCUAAACUGUUUACAUAAUAUUAGAAUAUAAUGCAAACACUCAAUGCAUGAAGAUAGAUGUUUAUUAGACCUCGAGGUUAGCUAAAGAAUUAUAUAAAUUAUCUAAUACUUUAAAAGGGAAAAAAUAAGUUUCAUGUUGAUUUCAAAUGACUGUAAAAUAUAAUGAUGCAGUGAAGUCAAGCUGCCUAGAGUCUGUCGGCCACUACAUAAGGAUGUAGUAUCAUUGAACUGUGUAGAACUUGUUUGAUGUUGAUAUAGAACUUUUCCAACCAAAUGCUACUUGAAGAUUGUAUAACAAGACCUUUCUAUUGGUAUCGCAUUAACUUCUGAACACAUGAAUAGAUUUCUCAAUGGGCUUGAACUUGUGGGAGAUGCUGGCUGGCUGGCUGGCUGCAAAUGUGCAGUCAAAAAAUGUUAACUUGUGGAAUGAUCCACUUGGAGCCGUUAUUAUUGGAAUCCACCAGCUGAAGUUAUCUGGUUGGAAGCUAGAAGAGUGUGGUGCUUUUGGAAAUGAGCUCAUUGCCUGAAUUAAAAGAGGCUUUUCUGAAAGGAAAGGUAACUCUCUUAGGUCCUUUCUCCAUUCUCCAAUUGUUGUUUUUUAAAAUUAUUGUAGACGGUGUUGACUAAUUUUCAUUUUAAAUGUACUCCCUUUUGUUCCAGGAAAUGAAGAUUGCAGACAAUUUGGACAAUGAGACUGAAAGCUACUCUGAUGAAUAUACUGAAGAACUACUUUAAGAUAGAUAUUCCCUCAGAAAGUCCAGGUUAGAAAGUAUUGAUGAUUUGAAAGGCCUGCAAUUUAAAUGCCUAGUGCAAAAAGAUACUUAAGAAAUAUGACAAAAAAUGAAGCCAAGAUGCAACCAAGCCUAGGGAGGACAAAAAUUUUAAAAACUCUGUACACUGGAAAUAUAUAACUAAAUAAACAGACAGUCUGAUAGCCUUGAUAACAUCCUUAAUAGUUGCAAGGAUUUUUGAAAUAUGAGGGAAAUUCAAUUCAGAUGUAGCAAAUUUGAUAGUAGUUUUUCCUUUAUUUCAAAGUAAUGUAUGCCGUGUUUUACCGGUACUGUUUAGUUUUCACAUCUGGGCUCCUCUUCAUUUUAAAUGCAUAUAUUUUGAAAUAUACAAACUUGUCAUUUUAAGUUGCAGAUACUAGGUAAAACUCUUGGAAAACCUGAAACCAGUGUCAGGACAUAUAAAGAAGCUGAGAUUCGAGCUGGGUGUGAUAAUGCAUUGUCCUUCAUAUUUCUCUUUUGGGUACAUGAUCCUUUGCAAUUUAGUCAGAAAAUUUUCAGGAAAUAUUCAUCAGUAUCUGUGAUUUUUGUUCAUGUUUAUUCCUAGACUACAGAUUUCCUUACCAAACAUAACAAGUAUAUUAUGAAUAUACAUAUUAUCUGACUUUUCUACGUAUGUUUUUAGUGUCAUUUUACAGGUUUCAAAAACGUGUACGAUUCUUCUAAAAGCUGUUAGAAAUACUCCUGGUUCUCAAGGUUGGGAUGUCCUUGUUCCGGGAUCUGCUUUAGGAAAAUUGGUUCAGGCACCAAUACCGAGUUGCAUUUAGAAAUAUCAUGGAGAAUGUUAUUAUCAUAUUUACUGUGUGCUUCUGUGUAUGAGAGAGAAACCUUAUAUAGAAAAACCCUUAUUGCAUUUAGAGAAGUGAUUCAUCCCUUGCUUAGAUAUCUAAAAUGGGAAUGUAUCCUUGUACUAAAACUACGGCAAGAUGAGUCUUGAAUGAUAAUCCUGCAUAAAUCACGUCACGAAUAUGAUGGGUUUGUUUUUCACAUCAGUACUUUACCACCAAGAUUUUUUUUACUGCAAAUACCCACUUCAACUUGCAACAUAUAUCCUUUACUAACAUGAGUUUGGGUUUCUUUGAGCUAGGCUGAAAGAACUGUUCCUGGUUCACUACAAUAGUGGAAGGACCUAUAUUUGUUAACAAAGCUGAUGGUGACGAAGAGGUAUGUACUUAUAUAUUUGUAUUUGAGAGCAUAUCAUAUUAAUAUUUAUUAGUUCAUUACACUGGCAGGUAACAGCUGCUGGGAGGAACAUAGUGGGAUUUAUACUUGAGCAAGAACUGCUUCACUUAUCUCAUCUUGGUGUUAGGGCACGACAGGCAUGUAUUCUUUCUAAGUAUCCAAUCAAUGAUUUUUGAAGUUUGAUUAUCUACAAUAUGACAUUCAUACUGCUAUUGUUUAUCAAAGGAAAAAGUCGUCUUUAUGACAUGUGAAGAUGUAGAAAAAGUUGCUGAUUGUGUCAUAUGUGAGGGUUAUAUUGUAAGACAUUUUGACUUGAUCUUGUGGUAUAAUGGUUUCGAUUUUUUCCUGCUUCAAUUUAACUUUUCAGGUUGGAAUCUGAAGUUAUCCUCUUCGGUGAACACUUUCUGAUGAUGUGGAGUUGAACCUUGAUUACGAUACACUAUCAGGUACGCUCAUCCCUUAUCUUCAAAAUAUAUAAAAAAAAUAUGAUAUAUGUAAAGUACACUUCUUGGGUGUUACUAAAAUUAAAAUGAAAAUUAUGAAAUAUUAUCCUUAUUGAUCACUUGCUAAUAUUUAAAAAUAAAAGUAACAUGUUUUUUAAAUCAUUCAUAAAGGUGAAUAUUUCUAUAUCUUGUAUAUAUUUUAUUUUUUUUACAUUGUUCAAAGGUCUUGAUAUUUUACGGGUGUCAUCGAAAAAUUUGCAAGGUUUGAUGCUGGAUAGGCUAUAUAGAAUUUAAUUAACUUUAAAUAAAGUCUCGUAUUCUAAUUUAAUAAAUAAAAAAGUAAUUAAGUGAAAUUCUUUGUUCAACCUAUAUUUAUAUUUUUUAAAACUUCAAAAACUUUAGUCAAUAUUAGAUAUGGUAAUUUGUCUUUUCUAUUUAUUCGUUGCAUGAAAUAAUUAAAAACAUAAGUUGAAUAAAACUUGCAAGAAAUUAGACAGUGCGGAAAAAAUAAUUUAAAACAAUAACUACAUAAUUUAAAUAAAAAAAACACUCAUUAUUAUGGAUUAUAGAUAUUUUUUUAUAUUAACCAAAUAUUUCCAUAAAAUGAUAUCUUCCUAAUUGGACAAAUAUUCGUUCGAUCUGAUCUCUUUCAUCAAACCAAUGAAAACAUUUAAUUUUUUAAUGCAAAUUAACUAAGUUAUUAAUUACACUUAACUAAAUUUUCCUCUUUUUAUAUUAAUUACUUUUAAGAGUGUAAAAUGACAAAUAAAGGGAGUUAGUAAUGGAUGGUUUUAGGUGAAUGACAAAAAAGAACUUUUAAUUGUAAUUUAUUAUUCGGAUAUUCCUUUUUUGAAUUGAUACUUCUCUUUUUAAGACAUAGUAGGUUUUAAUAGAAAAUACCUUUUAACAACAUUGCACUGUUCCCCCUUUUCAUGUUUUAGAGGUCUUUGCAACCUCUUCAGAAGCAAAAUGAGUGUAAAAGUGUUAUAUUAUAGUUAUCGACGUUGCAAAAGCACUUUGGCGUCGUGCUUAUUUUCCCAUGUCGCUUAAUAUUCGGCUAAUUAAAGCCUCCUUCUUUCCGGUAAGAGGAAGAUUAUGUGCGGUAAGAUAAUAUUUCAACUCCACCACAGUCAAAUCCUUUAACUGCAAAACAAUAUCAAAUUAUUCCGUCAGAAUAGAUUAAUUUGUAAAACUUUUAAAAGUUUCUAGAAAUUUAGAGAAAAGGUCACUUUUCAUGAAAUGAAAUAGAAUAUUUUUGUCAAAUGACUAGAAAAAUCUUCCUAUUCAUUUUAACAUAUUUUUUAUUUUAAAUUGAUUAUCAAUAGAAUAUUUUUUAUUUCCUUGCAGUCUAACAUAACAUGGAUUCCAUUUAAUUGUUGAGUCAAGUCAGUACGGCAGUUGUUGAGCAUAGUCCACCGUCGCGGAGUCCACCGCUGUCGAGUCCACCGCUGUGGAGUGCACCGCUGUCGAGUUGUCGAGUCCACCGUUGUGGAGUCCACCGUUGUGGAGUCCGCCGUUGUGGAGUCCGCUGCUGUCGAGUCCGCAGUUGUCGAGCCCACCGUCGUGGAGUCCACUGUUGUCGAGUCCACUGUUGUCGAGCCCACCGUCGUGGAGUCCACAGUCAUUGCCGACUUGGGCCAAUGUCUAGUCAUGUUAGCCCGGGCUCAUGUCGACUCUUGAGUCGGUCUCGACUGUUUUUGAAACUAGUCAGCCCAUCUCAACCUGAGUUGGGCGAAUGUUGAGCCAAGUUGACUCAGGCUCAUGCCUUAGGUCGAGCCUAGUUCGCCCGAGUCGACUCGAGUCCAUGGGUGGAGUCGGUCCGGGUCCAUGCCUACCUAUGUCAGGUUAGAUAAUCCACUUUAUAUCUAGAUUUAAUCCACUUUAAAUAGGAUAUGUACCUAGACUUAAUCCACUUUAAAUGGAUUUGAAAAAAUCCAUAAAUUUGAUUAGUUAAAAUGGAUAUGAACCUAGAUUUAAUCCACUUUAAAUGGAUUUGAAAAAAUCCAUAAAUUUGAUUAGUUAAAAUGGAUAUGUACCUAGAUUUAAUCCAGAUUUAAUCCACUUUAAAUGGAUUUGAAAAAAUACAUAAAUUUGAUUAGUUAAAAUGGAUAUGGAUUUGAAAUCAUUUUUAAAAUCCAAUCCAUGACCACUCGUAACUGUAUGGCUUGUCCAGUACAGUUUGCAGUAUGUUCGUUGUAAAAUUGGCUGAAGCUUAAGCACACCUGCCUAUCCCACAAAUAAGCAGUGCAUGAAAUAACUUCCAAGAAUUACCUUUCCAGUAUCAGCAAGCUCACCCCAGUCAUAUUGUUCACACUCUUUUGUUGCAAACUCUGCAUUUGCUUUUCGUUUCUUUGAGGCUUCAGUUGGCUUCCCAAUGCCCUGCUCAUUCUCCUCAUCAUAGUUAUCCCCAUAUACAGAGGUUUUGAAUUCUUCUAAUGCCUUCACCACUCCUGGUCUGCAGGUAACAAGCAGGAUUAUCAUUUCAUACUAAACUCUUAAACAGCAAAUAUUUUCCAAUGAAGAGAUCAAAGGUCAAACAGAACAAAGCAUUUUCUCAGUUUCAUUUUUACAGUCUGCAAAAUUAAGACUCAACAAAAUACUCAAUUAAUUAUGAAAUAACUCGAGCUUACCUGGCCAAGCCUUCCUCGUCAGGUAAUGUUUCAUCUUUCAUUUCCGGAAUAUCAUACUCUUCCAAUGCCAAUGCCUGAAGUACAGCAUAGUGUCUUUGCAAGGCUGAUAAUGAAAAAGCUUAUUUGUUACCAACAGUAAUCAUAAUAUCUUUUCAUUUUGCAAAUGGGAAUAAUAAAUAGAAGUAGAACAAGUCACACAUAGCAAGUAACUAAUGAUCAUACACUAUAAAGGAAUAAAAUCAAAAAUAAGUAAACAGGCAUGAAGUUAAUAUAUUUUUUUCUACAGUUUAUUCAUUUCAUUGAGUAAAAAUUCAACAAAAGGUCAAAUUCUUGGGAAAAGUUAAAGGAAUGGAAUGUAUAAAUGCAAUGCUUUUCAACAAAAAAAUAAACUAUCAGAGUUGAAGUUAUGAAAAUAUUGGGGUAGAUGAGAUGGGUUAAAAAGGAUGAGAGUCAGAGGCAUAUUAAGAAAAAUACGAGAGAAUCUAGCCUAAAUGAUUUGGUCAUGCAGGGAGAAAUCAACAGCAGCCCAAGUAAGAAAAGCGGAUGAACAAAAAGAUUAACAAAAACGACAUUUUAUGUUUCAUUGAACAAGCUCUUGAUCUUUCCAAAAAAUUGGUUUUUAAGAUAUAGCACAGUGGCUUCAUUCGAUCAAGGUGGUAAACAACCACCGAGUGAAAAAGCUUUGGAUGCAAUUUAUCAGGUUCAGAAAUAAACUCUUCAAUAUAUACAUCAUUUAUGUUUAAACAACAAACAAGAUCAGUAGAAUAUUUCUCCAAACAAUGAACAUUAUAUUUGGAGAAAUCUUGAGUAGAACACUGUCUUUAUUUAUUUUCAACCACCCUUCGUAUAGAAAUCACCCAUAUCUUGAAGUAAACUGUCCAUAAUUCAGGCGAGGUAAGAGUUUGUAUUUAAGGUUUAAGUAAUGAUGAUGACACAAUGCAGCAGAUAACCAAUGAAGCUAACUAGAAGUAUAUACAGAACUUGUCAAUCAUCAAGGAGAGGGAGUAAACUAGAGGAAGAGAGAAGAUGCUUACCAGGGUUGGUAAAUUGGCAUACAGAAAAAUCUUUCAAGUCAACACGCUUAAUUAAAUCAGCUGCCUUUUUUAUUUGAUCACUACUUGCUUUAGUCACCAUCCCACUUGUAUCUGAAUAACGCUGUAAAAAUCAUACCCAGCAAGACAAUAACUUCAUAUUUAAAAUUUUCACCGUUAUUGACAUUAUAAGUUUGAAGACGAAAUAUUGCAGUUUUCUACCUCUUCAACAAGUCUAAUGUCAUCAGAAUAUGGAAGAUAAAUCAUGUGCAUUCCGGGUGGCUCAAUCUGACUACCUGAUUGAACAACUUCUUCCUAACAAUCAUACACAAGUUAAGAAUCUGAUACAAACACAUAAAAUCAAUAGUUGAGAUUAUGAUUACAUUGUACUGAUUGCAAUCAUGUUAUUGAGAUCUUUCUAGAUAUAGGUUAAAUAUGUGUUAAUUCAGGAGUUUGGAAUGAUUCAAAGUGAAGCACACCACUUUUUGUUCUAUAUAUGUUUUUCCAAUCUAUGCAUUUACUCAUUUGUUUAUGCUGAUAAUAUAAUGAUUGCAAGUGAUGAUCUUGAUGGUAUUGAAUGCCUCAAACAACAAAGAUUUUCUUCAAAUAUUUAGGAGAGCGGCAUGCUGGAUAAUGAGCCAAAUGAUUCUCAUGUACCCAAAUGGAGGCUUCUACCUAACCAGGAUGUCCUAUUCUGAUCCUAGGGAUGCUACAGGUUGGUUGGCAAAGUUAAUUAAUUGACAUAUCAAAGCCAGACAUGGGGCAGAUUGUUCAACUGACAAGCAAUCUAUUCCUGACAACUAUGGUUUUAAAAAGUAAUCUCAUUCCAUGGAGGAGUAUACAGCAAAAUGUUUGAGAGGUCCAAUGCAAAGGCAAACUACUACCUGACCAUAGCCCUCACCACAUGUGAACUCGUAAGUCGUGAGUGAAACAACUUCUCCAAGUGUUACAAUUUUGCAUAGAAGGUAUUGGAAAGUUAUCUUAAUUGCAAUCAACGGCCCGCCUCAUCUGUGGCCUCUCUAGGGUUGUCUUAAUUGCAACCUCAAGGAUGGUAAUUUAGUCCCAACUAGAAAUACGGCUUAAAUAUAGCUUAUAAAACUUGGGUGAACCUUACCAACUCAUUUUAUAAGGUUAAGUUAGGUCUUCUAAGAUGGUAUUAGAGUCCUUCCAAGAUUAUUAUUAGAUUACAUGUAUUUGCCACGCUACAGGCCUGUAGCUGUAGCAUGGCCAUGAGGGGGAAUGUUAGAAAAUCACCUUUAUGGCAAUCAGCACUAGCCCAACUCAGGUGGAACCUCUUUGGGGACUGUGUUAAUUGUCAGCUGUUAAAGGUGGUGAUUUAGUCUCAAAUUGAUUAGAUAUGACACAAAUAAAACUUAUAAAGAUUGGACAGUUCUCUUACAAACUGGUUUUGUGAGAUUGGGUUAGGUUUUCUAAGUCUAUGCCUUAUAAACCUUAUUUGUGACAACUGAGCAGCCUUGUACAUUGUCUUUCAUCAAGCUUUUCAUGAACAAACAACAAAUUGAGAUUUACUAUAAUUUUAUUCAUAAUAAAAUUAUCUUAGAGGAGAUCGCUACAUCAUUUGCUGGUAAGCAACCAGGACCAGCAUACCAAAUUUUAAAUUAUAGCACUUGGACUUCUAUUAACCAUAUUAUCUCAAAGACAUUCCGAUGUGGCUAUAGUAGGAAUUAGUCAAUAACUUGAGAUGUAGAGAAGAAAGCUUGAGCAUAAGUAAAAAGAUCAAAGUCCAGGAAAUAUAAGUAAACAAAAGAAUGCAAGACAAUUACAACAGCAAAGUAGCGCUCUAAAAUUAUUCAGAAGUUGAGAGGCAAAGCCAUCAAACUACCACGUCACAUUAGCUUUGAAGUCAAGAAAGCAAUCAUUCGUAAUAAUGCCAAAUUUAUAGCAUUCAACGAAUUGUACCUGUGCAAUGAGAGCAACCAAUUGAGGGCGAGAACAACUGCCACUAAAAGCAACAGCAAAACUGACAGAAACAUCAGAAAAUUACUUUGAUUGGUAAUUAUUAGCACAUACAAGUCAUUUAACAUCAGUCAUAUUGCAACCACAAAAACUACCACAUCAAUUGUGUAAUAGCAAUGUAGUAAUAUUACAAGAGGAUGCUUUAUUAAUCUAUAAUAAUUGUCACUUGUUUUUGUAUAUACAGACACUACCUAACUUGAUUUCAAUUGCAGCUUUCACAAAUCCCUCUCUUUCCCUUUUCCUACUAACUCCAUGAAACUGCCCCAUAAAUAGCAAAAAUUUCUAGGUGUAGAAUUAAUUGAUUCAACAUUUUACCAAUUCAAACUCUAAUUUGAUAAACAAAUAACUUUUUAGGAAAAAGAAAAUGCAGAUAUCCAAUUGCAAAGAAAUUUAUCAGAAUCAGACUACAUUAUUUAAGAUAUUAAAUUUUCAUAAUUGCUAAAAACAAAAAAUAAAAAGUUGAUGUAGACAUGAAUAAAGGAUGUGACAGUGCAAUUGAAAAAACCCUUAAAGACAAGGAAUCAAGGAUACCGGUUGAGUUGUAUCAUGGACCUAUGCAGGGCAAUGAAGAUGCACAUGCUGCUGUCUGUACCCUGCAAAGUAAAUGACAUCACAGAAGAAUACUAUGAAAUAGAAAAAGUGAGAAACAUACAAACUAGAGAAGCAAGCAUGUAAGAUACAUUUGGUGCAACUAUUAUACAGGUAGCAUUUCCGAAAACACCAACAGACCACUAGAUAUGAACACUAUUUGAUUUGUAAAUGGGACACUAUAAGCACCCAUUCCAUGAGGGCAAUUUAUCGGUAGAACAGUAAUCAGCACAAUUUGCAUCAAAACAAGAUUCCUGAUGACAAGAUGACGAAUGCACAUCAUUUAUGUACCAAUGAAAGAACAUCACAUUCUAUUGAAAUCACACAUCAAAUAAAGAUAUGACGAGUGUGAUCCUUAUAAAACAUGAGCAGUUAAGCCCAAUUUCUGAAAAGUGAGAACUAGCUUAAACCUUACAAGGACUACAUUGAUCAUAUCUCUAGCAGAUGUGAUCUAAACACACCCAUAAUUGAUAAUUUGUACUCUAGAACAAAGACAAAUACAGGCUUUGAGUCAAAAUCAACCUCACAAGCGUACUGCAAGGUGAGAACUGCCCAAACCCUAGGGAGUAAGGACUAUAUAUGAAAAAUACCCAAACCUUGUAUAAAAUAAGGAUUAUGUCAUAAUUUCCAUUUUUCUGCCUUUUUCAUUGAUCAUUACGAUGUAUAAAUAUUACAAAGAUAUUUACAGCCACCAAUAGCAAUAAUGGCACAAUUUUUCUAAUUCCUAUAAUUAGGUAAUCUAAUGAAUACAAGGAUUUCUAAUUUAAAAUAAACAUUAUAAUUAACAUUUAAUAGAAAACAUCAACCAUUGGAUCCUGAUUGACACUAUAGUGGUCAUAAAAGUUUGAUGUGGACCUCAACAUUGUCGAUGCACAAUUUCACCAAAAUGAAACAACGUUAAGAGUAUUUGAUAAGAAAUCAGCACCAAGCACAAAAGUUGCAACUAAAACCAAACAUUAUUCAUAACUAAAGAUGCCAUCAACAGUUCAUAUAUGACAAAAACCAGUUACCUCAUCACUCGGAUAAAGGAAAGUUGAUGGUUUCAAGUUGUAAUAAUCUCUCAAGCAACUCAGUGGCUUGAACCCUAAAAGAUGUAGAUGUCCGGUUGAAACUCUUUUAAUUUCAGAUAGUUGCCUCAUCAAAAAUGUAAUAUUCUGGCUGAAAAAAUCAAUAAUAUUAUAAUUAGAUUGAAAAGGAAACAACAGGGCCUCAAGAAAUAGAAUAAGGGCAUUUGAAGUAUUUAUACAGGCAUGCAUUUAAAAGUUUCAUGUCAUCUGUCCAACAAAUAUCCCACAGUUGGUUAUUCUUACAUACCUUCUGAAGCACUGAAUCCCAAAAAUUAAAAAGGCCAAGCACUGUGUCACUCAAAAAAGAUUGCAAUGAUACUAUUCACCCUAUAUUUUCAGAAACUAAACAAAACCAUCUCACAUCUUCCUUCAAUGACAGAUUUGUCCAAGAACAAAUAACUGGCUAUGAUCGAGAUCCCAUAAACUCCUCUUCUCAACAACGAUAGCAAUGUCUCAUAUGGUACAGUUAAUAUUAUUUGUCAAAUCAAAUCUAAAUAGAAAAGAUUGAAGUGAAGAAAAUUGUCCAAACAUUCAAAUUAAAUACAGAUAAAAGCAUAAAAUGCAUACCUUUUAUAAGGUAAAAACCGUGUAGUAGGUUCUUCCAGCACUGCACCAGUAUCAGCACAAAUGAAAAUUCUUUCAAUCUGCACCAUCAAACCAGUUUACAAUUGUCUUAUACAGUUCUAAGAGCACUCAGCAUUAUGGUCUGACUAAAAAAAUAUAACCAAUGGGAAUUCAAGAGCAUUGUGAUUCUACAGAUAAAAUCAUAUAACAAAAAAGAGCAUGACUGUACAACACUAACAACAGGAAAAAUGAAGCAGCAAUUUUUUUUGUAGUAGCUUGACUUUCAUAAAAACUAACAGGAAGUCAUAAAAAAAGUCCAAAAACAUUCUUUCUCCAAAGUAAUAAUUAUAUUCUACAAAUAAAUUUUAGAAAGUAGACUCAUCUUUUUUGGCUAUCUAUAUACGAUAGUUAUGGAUACAAGGAUCAUGUCCAGUUUCAGUAAGGGACAUUAUUUUAUUGUAAUGUAAAAACUACAAAAAGAACAAGAUUUCAACUUCUAAAAUUUAAAUUGUAUCAUUAUACCAUUCCAAGGAAAAUAUACUAUUUUCAAAUUUAGAUUAUAAAAUUAAUCACCUUCAAAGGACGAUUAGUAACAGAAUCAAGCCAUGUGAUAGCUCCUACACAUCAAAAGCAUGGGGUGUCAUUCAAUAUAAUAUAAGCUGAAUAUGUAUAAGCUAUAAUUUUCCAGGUUAAAAACUUAAAAGGAACCAAUGGAAAACUUCGCACAUGUCACAUGGACCAUAACAAAACACAAGAACAACGAAAAUGAAUUAUGCAAAAUAAUAGCUUCUAUAAGCUGAAAAUGUAUAUACUAUAAAUUUCCAAGUUAAAAACUUAAAAGGAAGGGACCAAUGCAAAAUUUUGCAGAGGUUACACAGCACAAAAUAAAACAAAAACACUGGGAUUAUGCAAAAUUAUAGCUUUUAAAAGCUAGAAAAGUGACGUUAAAUUCCUACCAGGUGCAGUGGGACGAAUUAAGGCAUAAGAAUUAAGUUCUAUGGAUAUCCCAUUAACUAUUGUGAAUUUAAGUCUUUUGACGAUGCGCUUCGUAAACAUGCGUUUUCUUAACUGAUCUUUCAUAUCCUCCAAUCUGAAAUUCAAACACAAAAAUUGAUAAAACUGAGACUUAAAUUGAAUUGUGCUUAAAUAAGCAUUGCUUGUAAUUUUAACCCAAUUUGUAACUAUUAGUUGCACAACAUCAUAAUCUAACUAAAUAUAAAUAAUAUCACAAAAACGUGAGAUGUUUUGUUAAGUAAUGAUUUCAAGCAAUACUACAUUUUCAUCCUUUAAAUAAUUGAGACAUGGAGCCACUUUCCACUGGGAUAUGUGAUUCACAUUAAUCAAUUUCACCUCUUUUAUGGGGUAAAUUUAAGUAAACUAUAGAAAGAUACCCCAAUACAUGCCAAUUGUAUAGACGUGUCCCUAAUGCAAGAUCAGCACCAUAUUGUCUAGUAAUAAACCACGCCUAUAGAAUAAAUGACAAAUCAUUUGCACCUGAAACUUCCUUAAUUUAAUGGUUUAGAUGACAGUUUUUUAACAUAAAGUCUAACUAUUUGAUUAUAUCCUCUAUGGGAUCUAGGGAUGGCAAAUAAACCUGCCCCGCAGGUAUUGUUCCAACCUGUCCCGAUUUUGACGAAGAAUCCCAGCAUUGACCGAGUAUAGGUAUGGGUAAAUACCCAAUUUCUUAAAUUGGGUAUGGGGACGAGGAUGGAUAUGGAUUAGGUAACCUAAAAAAUUUAUCUACACUUUUCUCUUUGAUCCUUAGUUUUGUUUCAAUUGGAUAAUCCUUCUUUCUCUCGCACAACUUUUCAUUCUCUCUCUCAAUUGUUCAACUUGUUCAAUAUCACUGUUCAAAAUUACUAAAAUAUAUUUAAUUUAUUAGGUAACAUAAAAAAUUUAUAUUAACUUUUCUUUGAUUUUUAGUUUCAUAAUUUAUUUAUAGGUUAUACAUUUGGUCAUUUUUACUCUUUUAUAUAAUUAUUUGACCUUUAUCCCAUUGUUAUUUGAUACUCUCAUUUGACAUUUCUACAAUUAUAAUUUCUUUUGUGAUAUUUGACAUUGAAGAAAAGAAAAUGCGUAUUCUUUUGAUCUUAAAAUACUUUAUAAUAUCAUAUUUUCUUUGUUGUGAAUUUUAUUUUUUAUAAAAAAAAUUAUUAACUUAUAUUUGGAAUAGUAAGAUACUCUUUUCCCGAUGGGGGAUGGGAUAGUCAAACCCGCACCAGCCCGGUCCGUGGCCAUCCGCAUACUUUUGACAACCUUGAUUACACAUUUUUCCCUUGCUAUGGUUUCCUUCAAAUGUGUAUUGCAUUUCAUCAAACAAACAUACAAGUAAAACUACAAUGUCCAAUUUCAAUAACACGAGAGAAAUAAAUCACAGAACAUCAUAAAUAGGAUGCCAUACUUGUUUCCUGCAGCUGGGAUAAAGUCAACUAAAUCAUCUCCUUGCAACCCAAUCAAAUCCUAAAAGGCAUACAAUUGACAAGUAAACAUGGAAAAAUUAUAAGGAUCAGUUUAGAGAAGAAAUUUAGGGGGGGAAGCAUAACAAAUAUAUGUCAUAGAUAUGUAGACAUACAGCAUAGAAUUGAGAUACAUUGAACACUUCAUCAGAGCAACUCAAUGGAAGAAGUUCAAUAGAAAUUCCAAGAUCCUGUGCAUCCUUAACAAAUAAAAAAAAAAGUAAUUAUGAAACCACUGGCAUUCUUCAAACCUUGUAGUUUUACCAUCUAUGCAAUAAACAAAAGCAUAUGUUAAUGGGUACUUUAGCUCUCUGCAGGGUCAUUCUUAUCAUAUCUGAUUUUGCAGCUCCUAUGAUACUCCCAAAAGGAUCAUCAUCAUUUGUGAACAAAAGUAUGCGUUUGUCAAUCGUCUUUGCUGACCUGGCAUUUGUUGCCCAUAAUCAGUAACCAAUAAUCACGUGAAAGACUGAAAGUAAUGUGUGUAUCCAUAACCAAUAUAUUACCCUUUACGAAGAAGUGCCUGAGCUGCCCAGAUAGCAUUGUACAGAGAAUUUUCUCGAGUAUCAGACACAAUGCCAUGCUGACUUCCAAUGUGUUUAGAAAAUGAUUCUAGAGAAGAUUGAAACAAACAAUAGCCUCAGAAUUAUCAAAUACAUAAUACACAAAACAAGACAGAUUCUGAAUCAGAAACUAAUCCUAUUAAAUGCAUAAUUAUUCACAUCAUACAAAAGCAUUACACUAAGUUUAUAAGGAUUGAAAAAGAUACAACCUAUACACUAAUAAUGUGAAUGUAUUAUGAGUUAUUAGCAGACAUAACAUAAUAAAUGUAAUCAUAGGUUUAAUUAAAUUCACUACUUUACUUUUUUGUUCAACUUCACAUCCUCUUUCUAAUUUUAUCUGCCAGUCAUCAGAGCCAAAACAACACCAUUAUAUUAUCCAAAAAAUACUUCAAACCCUAGUUAUAGCUUAAAAAAAAACUUCAAACAAGGAAAUUUGCACCAGGUAAACAAUACUUUGCCUGUACAAUAUCAUGCAGUAAACUUUAAUCAUCUCGUCAGUGCUUCAUAUGACAAAAAAAAACAACGAAAUUAACAAGAAUACAACACCAAGUUCAAUGUCAUCAUCUCUUAUGAAAAGGAGAUGACAACAAGAUAUUUUAGGAUAAAUAAGGUCCACCUAAACGGUUCUCUAUAUCCACCGCCACAACUGGAAAGCCCAAAAACUUACCCUCCAACUGGUCAAAUUCUUUUAUGAGCCUUGCAGUUGGCCUGUCUAGAAACUCUCUUUCAGGAACAGUAAAUACAAAAACACUGUUUAAGCCUUGUAAAUUCUGCUUCUCCCUCUGAAAUAACAAAUGGAUUAAAAACGAGAGAGUGCAAAACAAGAUACACCGAAUUAGAGUUUUGCCUUAGUAAAAUGCGCAGUGAAGGAUUUCAUUAUAGCCACCACAUUUCACUGAGGUAGCAAGGCGAAAAUUUAAUUCUAAUUAAAGUGCAUAACCGAUAAUUUUAGGGUUUAAGAUUUAUAAAGCUAAAAGUCAUAAACCUAGUCUUGUACUUUGUAAUUUCCACCACCACACACAUCAAGAAUAAAAGCAAGAAGCGGUGAGUAAAAACUUACAGUAUUGAAGAAGCAUAUGGCGACUUGAUCGUAGGAUCUGCUAAUGAUUUGAGUCUUUAGUGUUUGAGAUAUACAAGAGAUCGCAAUGUGGAAAUAGGUUUCAAGGUUCUGGUGAGAUCGCAAAAUGUGGCAUGGAUGGCGAGUUAGUGAGUGGCAAGAAAGUGAAGGAAAAUGAACAGUAAUCAAAGGAGAAGAAAAGAAAAGUUACCGAAGUGCAAACGGCGUUGAACAUUUUAGGCGAAGCAUCGACCAGGUAAACCACGUAUUCUUUGGUCGAUUCAUCUUCCUGAUGUAAGGGUUUUGACGUUUGAACAGAACAGAACAGAAAGAAAUGGAAAAAGAAAAAUUAGAGUGAGAGAAAGUAGUUUACAAGGAGCGAGCGAUGAGCCUCGGCGUAGUCUUCGUCGUCUCUGAAGAUAUCAUCAGCGUCCAAAUCCAUCGUGCUCUGACUCUUCCACUUCGCUUCGAAUCGAAACCCCUUUUAUCUCUCUCUCUAACUCGCGCCCAAAACGUUCUUUGACUCUGCUGCUUAAAAUUUAUACGAUGUUCCUUAUAUACGUGUGUGAAAACAUGUUUAGGCAAGUAAGUAUUGUUUUAAAUUAUUGUUGGUCGCAUUAUUAAAAUAGUUCAAUUUAAUUUUAUCAAUAUUUUAAUUGUUAGAACCUAUAUUCUAACUAAUUGUUUCCUUCUAUAAGAAAAUGUAAUUUAAUAAACCUGCUAUAUUAAUAAAUUUGAACAAAACAAUAUAUCUACAAUUUUUAAUUCUAAGUAAUGUUAAAUUAAUUGUUUUUAUUAGAUUAUAUAUUUUAAAUCUGUCAUAAGUACAUGACAUUAAAUAAUUUAUGAAUAAUUUUUCAAAACUUCCAAAAAUAUGAAUGAGUUGUUCUACGAAGAAUUUAGAAGAAUCUCUCGUAAAUUUAUUGUCUUAAGGCAUGUGAAUUUACUCAAUUAUUGUUAUAAUUUAAAUGCGAGAAUUAUCCUCUACACCAAUUUUUAUUUUUUUUAUAAAAGCUUUUAUGCACAACCAAUUUUUAUUUAGUCUCAUUUUAAGUUAUUGUUUCCUUUUAAGUUAUUGUUGUAAAACCAUAACACUUGUAGAUUAAUUCUUUAUUUUUCUUCAACAUAUAUGUAUAUAAAUAUAUGCUAAAAUUUUAAGAUACCCAAAUACUUUUAUUACUAGAACUGUUUGUUUCUGUAUUACAUUAGAACACACUUUCAACACAAGAUACAAUAAGUCAUAUAUUUAACCAUUUUUUAUAUAAUAAACAAAGUCACAAAUUAAAUAAUAAAAAUAUAACAUAUAUAUAUAUAUAUAUAUAUAUAUAUACACACACACACACAUACUACAGCCCAAUAUCAUAUUAAAAUAAAGUAGUUCGAUAAAAAAAAAAAUACUAUAGCCUAAGAUCAUAUUAAAAUAUAAUACGAUAAAAAAAUGUGCACACGUUUAUUUAAAACUCAAGAAAAUAAGGCGUUUAAGGGUUGACACUGUUAAUAAUAAAAGCAAACACAUAUUUGCGUAUUUAUACUCGUAAACAAAACUUGACCUCUAAUUUGGUUUCACAAAUUGUAAAUCUAAGGUUAACAUUCUCCCAGACAAACAUUCAUGGCUAUUUACAUUUAUAUAUUAAACAAUAAACUAUUAAACGGCCAUUUUGGUAAAACAUUUGUUCUAUAACAAGCUGGCAUAUGCGUUCCCGCGGCUUCCUAUUUUUAUAGAAGUAAUUUACAGUAAAGCUAUUCAAACAUGAAUUCAAUCAAACUUUACUUUUUUUAAACUAAAAAAAAGGACCCCAAGAUCAAGUAAGUUUGAAGGGUAAAAUUUUAAGUUGAAAACUUGUACACAAAAAAAUUAUAAAUAUUGAUAAAGAAUGGAUAUCACUGUUUUACAACGUGCAGCAAGCCACAGUACAAAAAGCUUUGCACAGCCCAAAACUGUUUUACUUUCGACUCAAAAUUUUAUAGGACCAAAAUCUAACUUAAAAAUACAAAGAAUUAUCAAGUAUUCCCCACCAAAAAUUACCAAUAGAGCCAAGCCAACCUGUCUAUGUGACAGGAGAGAAACGCCACAGAACUCCGAUACAUGAAGCCAUUACUGCGCUAACCCAACAAAGGACGAUGGUUCCCAUAUAUUGGAAACAGCAUAACCGUCAACUCAACAAAAUAUACUGUCUGUGACAGAAGAGAAACGCCACAGAACUCGCAUACAUCAAGCCAUUGCUGCGCUAACCCAAUUACAGACAAUGGUUCCGAUAUAUUGGAAACAGCAUAACCGUCAACUCAACAAAAUAGACUCGAAGGGGGCGGACAAUGAGGAGAAUGGCCACUCUCAUCCAUUGGAUAGUGCACCAAACUCCUGAAUCCACAUCCUCUGAAGUCAACGAGAACUUCAGAGCACCAAACUCACCCUAUCAAUAUCAAACCUGAAAACUCUUUAAAGUUCACAGGACCAACUAGGACCACUGAGCCAAUAAAUGCCUCAUAAAAAUACGUAACCAUCUGUUUCUCUUACCAAGAAUAUACACACCCGAGAGCUUAAGAAUCCGUGAUAGCUGAUGACUUCUCUAAUUUUUCCUUCUCAAUCUCCCCUCUUCUCAGCUCAGCAUGCUGUGUAACACCAUUUGCAAGAGCUUGAUAAGAGAACUCGAGUGUCUGGGUAAGGUUUUGAAAUCCCAAUGGAUCUGAUGAUUGCAUCACUACAGCAAAAUUUAUAUUUAUGUCAGACAACAAGGAGAGCAUUCAUGAAACUUAUAACAUGUUUUAAGGGGCAGUAUCAGCAUACCUUUCAUUGUAUCCACAAAGAAAACAAAAGGAUCUACGUCAUCAAUUGGAGAAUGCAACUCUUCAUCAUCACUAAAGUCAUCAUCUGAGUCGUCGUCAUCAUCCUCAUCAUUGGGCCGGAAUGUCUUUGUCUUCAGAGUGACAUUGUAGAAAGACAAUAAGAAUUAAAAAUUCAAAAAGGUAAAAUAAAAUAAACUUCUAUUUAUUGUCAAAAGCAAUUUACUGAACACUUCCAUGUAGUAAAUACUCUAUCGGCUAAAUAUCACUUUAUGCAAAAUGUGGUAUAGAUAGGGAAUCAAACACAAUCCCCCACCACCUAUGAGUUACGACCAGCUGCUAAAGAAUGAAGCUGACAGUGGUUAUAAAAUAUUGAAUCACUCAAAUGUAUUUAUCUAUUUCAAUAAUGAUCAAUGGCAAAUGCCAACAAAACAAAAAUUUAUAAAAUUAAUAUGCUAAAUGAUUAAAAAUUAAAAUAUCUUACUUUUAAUGCUCUCUAAUUUUCUCUACACGUGAAUCACAUCUAAAAUUAAAUUUCUCACCCUCUCAACAAUAAACUGCUCCCAAUUUUGUUUCAUAACUUGCAAAACAAAAAAUAAUAUAAAUAUUGUUCUAAAAUAAAUGAAGUUUCAGAAUCAAAUUGUGAAACACUAGAAUGGACAUGUAAAACCACAAAUUCACAAUUCCUUUAUUGAAUCAAUACAGGCAUACAAAGGUAUUUAGGUUUUCGUAUCCACAAACCUGUUCAGCCAACUUUCUAAAUUUACUACUGUCAGCUUCAUCCCCGUCCUCAGCAUCAAUUCCCAUUUCCCUGUCAGAACCAUUGCCAUCUUCAUCUUCAUCAUCAGUUUGAAAGUCAUCCAUAUCAUCAUCAUCUUCUUCAGCUUCAGCUUCUUCCUCUUUUGCAGCUUCUGCAAAGAAAUGCAAAUGCUGAGAAUUAGAUGAACAUAAAUCUCAGAAAAAAUUAAAAAAAAGUAUACUAAAGGAGAACAUGCAGUUGCAGUUCUCCAAUAUCACAGUUACAGAGAAAAGAUGACAUUAAGACCUGCAACUUGAUCCUUGUAUGCAACCAGAAGAUCAAGAGUGGCCCGCAACACCUGGCUAAGAGCAUCUCCAGGCAAUUGACCAGCCGGAAGUGCAAGUAAUGAUGUCAAACCAAGACAACAAACUUUCUUGUCAUGUACCCUGCAUAAUUAGAUCUAGAUAUUGUCACACAAAUUACUUUAUUACAAAAAACCAUAGAAGGGGGAUAAUGAAGAGGCGGGAAAAUACAGACCUCUUAAAAUUAGCACGCACACCAUUCUUUUUCACUCCUUGCAACAUAUUAAACCAAAGAUUGAAGAUGUCUGAUGCCCAACCUAACUUUUGCAGUAUACUGAGAGUGAGUGCUGCAUUGUAGUAAAGAGCAUCUGCAAUCUACAAAAAGGUACUCAGUAAGUUAGGAAAAAUCACGAAACAGAUCAACUGAAGUCAUUCUCAUAGAAAUAUAUCAAUAAAUUAAACAACAAUUUUCACAAAUUUUAACUUAAUAAAUCAUGCAAAGAAAUGCAAUCAAUGUUAAUGAGGAGAACAAGCUUCAAAAACUAUGCACAAAAUUAUACAUAUUCCAUUUUUUUAAUAAACCAAAUUAUUCAUGUAAGUUAAGAUUGAAAAAACAGUAUAAUUCUGCAUAGUUUCAAUUUUCGAAUGUCAUUCAUUUUGGAUCAUUUUUUAUCUUUUGAGCAUUUGUAUAUAAAUUUGAACAACUAUGAUAGUCAGUCAUCAUGCAAUCGACUAUCCCACUAUGAUAGUAUUAUUGGCAUGGCUGAUCCAGGCCACUAUUCUCGGAUAAUGAGUACAGAAAAUCCAGCUGUUGAACAUGUCAAAAUGUCAUAAUUAAGUAACAAGCAAAUUAUCCAAUUCAUGCAUGAUGCGUGUCAAUAUGGAUAUUCAUAACCCCUUACCACUUGCAUGAGAAGACAUUUCAAAUACGAUUUUUCAGUCCGAUGUAAGCGUUCAACUGUAAUUCUGAGAUAUGGCUCAACCCAUUGAUCAACCUGCCCUUUGCAGUUCAGCAACACAACUUCAAUAAGUUUCGGAGCUGGCUCAAUAUCAUUGUCCUCCAUAUUUUUGCCUGCCAUAACCUUCAAUGUGAAAUAAAAAUCAGAUACAUAUAAAUUCAUUAUUAUAUAAAAUGAAUUUUUAACCUAAAUCUGCUUAACAGGUGCUCGCUGAACUAAUUCUAAUAAGGAAAAGAUAACUUACAGAUGAAAUCAUAUUCCAUAGACUCUGUUGAUAGUCAGGUUCCUUGCAAGUAAGGAAAUGAGCAGUUCCCCUAGAAAUAUAAUUGUCCAAAGGAACCAGAAUAUCUGCAGAAGAAACAAGACAAAUAAAUACAAAAGUAUGGUUGCAGAUUAUACAUGCCCACACCAAUUUGAAUGUCCAGGUACUUCAUGUCAACAAUACAACCAAGCUAUAUAAUUGAAACUAAAGAUGCCCCCCCGCCUUCGAAUAGUAUGAAUAUCAGCUCCAUGUAUAGAACCCAUUUUAUAAAACAACCAAGAUAUUUUAUUGAGUGCCCAGCUGACUUUAUCUUCAAUUUUACUGGGAGACACCAAAAGAACUCUAGCUUCAUAUUAAUGUACAAAAGGUUAAGCAAGAGAUGAUCCAAACUAUGUGUUUGACUAUGAUAGAGCAAACAGAAAUUGAGAUGAAUUGUAGCCAAAAUGUAGUUGAGAAGCAUACUUGGAAAGAAGUCUAUCGCCCAAUCUGCAAGUGCUUCCAUCAUCAGUGGCCAAAGACUCCACAUAUCCAAUGAUAUUGUUGGAGAGAAAAAGGUCAUAUAUGAAACAAUCUCCAAAACUUCUUCAAAAACCUCUGCAUGCAUUCACAGCAGGUAAUGAAAAUAAAUAAAAGCAACCCAAGUGGAAUUAAAUUUCAGAACAAUAGCCUUCCUAACAGAAUUUAACAAUAAAAAUGAAUGUCUCCUUUGAGAAUCCAAGCGCAAAGUGCCGGAUAAACCAGCCUAAGUUGUUCUCAACAUCACAUUAUUUAAACACAAACUGAAGCAUACUACUCCAUAUUAAACCUAAAAACAUAACAGCUGUCCAAAAAAGUCAAGGCGGGAGUCCUUAUAAUCACUUUAUGUUCUACAAUAUAGAUGAGAACAUCUAAAAUACUCUCAUCAGAUUUUUUUUAUUUGCAAAAACUCCUGCAUAUAAUCAUCCAACAGGUAAAUGAGUUGGGGGAGGGGAGGACAUCAUCAAAGUCAUCAGAAACAUGAUUCAGAGGGGUAAAUACCUUGCCCAUCAGUUGUUAACAUUCUUCGCAUUAUGGGAAGCAAGGUUGGCUCGAAUUGAACAAAUAGUUGAGGAAGACUGCUCACUGAUUCAAGUAUCGUGCUAAUAGCACGCAGACAACCCACAGCAGCAAGAGCACCUGGAUCGUCAGCUUCAUCAUCAGCUUCGGCGGUGUUCAUGCACCUCCAAAAUGCAGCUGCCUGUUGUAAGAAAGAAAAUGACAAUGUUAUAAAGCAAGCACAACUCUUUUGGCAGAUUCAAAUGUUUUAAAAUAUAUAUUACCAAAUUUUGGCAAAGCCCAAGAGCAUAAGGUGCCAUUUCUUCCCCAAACUUGUCCACAAUAGUCUCCAAGGUAAAUACAAGGUCCUCAUUCUCAAUUUCAUUCAUAAGUUUGAAGAACUCUGGAUUUUUUGUUUUUGUCAGUUACACCACUAUCAAAGCCAAAUAAUAAAUGAACAAGUACAGACAUUUUUUUCACAUUCACCUACCAUCAAGGAGUUGAGGAAGAAUGGGUCGAAUUUCAUUCAAAUCUGCAUCAGCAAAUAAACAUAAUCAGUGCUAAGCUUUAGAAAGAUUUAUUAAAAUCAAAAUAGAACCAAAGACUAUAAACCCACCUUUGCAAGCCUCAACAAAAGAACGCAAAGCAAAAACAGAAUCAAUGCGAGCAGGAAGUUCAGGAUCACGCAUUCCACAUACAACACACUGCAAUGCCUUCCGAAAAUUGUUCUGGUCUGAGAAGCUAAUCUGGGCAUAUUGUCCUGCAACCCAUGCUGCCUAUUUUUCACAAGAAAGUCAAUGGAUAGCCAAAAUAUCAAGAAUAUAAAUCGAAAAUUUCAUAAGUAAUGUCUGGUUCAAGUUUUAAUUAAUUUUCACCGACUAACAUAAAUAUUAAACUGUGACGUAAAUGUUUUGUUUGGUUAUAUAUAAGCUAUUUAGAGAAGAUGGCAGCAUUCACUGCCUAUUAAAAUGAUAGAGAAAUGAAGAAAACAAGAUUAUUUCUUAAAUAGAGGCUCAAAACCCAAACAGGUGGGAGGAUUGUGAGGAAAAUAACAAGAGGAUAUUUUCUUAGUAUACAUUUACUUUGCAGCCAAUAAAAGUUGUAUACACAUUAUCUUAUUCUCAAACAAUACAUUUAUAAUAAAAUUUAAAAACACAAUACUUUCUGUUUUUUCUACGACAUAAAACACUGAAAAGAUUUUCAAUUUCCCUUUUUAACGUUCUUGGAUUAGAAGUCUACUCUCGACCUUCUUCUCUGCCAAGUGAAACCAAGUGAAGAGUGUUUUACGCUAACCAUGCCAUAGAUAAUAACUAUGCUCAUAAAGAUGUGUAAUCUCUUAUUUAUGCAAAUUUUUCCUCCAAAAAUUGUUAAAGAUGGGCAAUUGUACAUCAAACUAGGGCUGCUUUUAGUAUGGCAUUCCAUAUAGUGCAAUGCAAACUUAGCCUUUUCUUAAAAACAUUCUGCUUUAUGCCCAAAAGAAGGAUAAAAGGCAAAGAGUGAAAAUGACCUGCAUGCAAAAAAGAUGCAAUCAUAAACUAUAUAUAGAAGAUGGUACCUUGGCCCUAAGGUGGCCAACUGGACUGCUAAACUCGGGAAAGACAUGUUGAACCAACAUAUGCUCAAGUUCUGAUUUGUACGGCUCGGUGUGCUUCAAUCUUUCACAAAGUGCUCCAAUAGCAAGAAGUGCACCAUCUUUCUGUCUAUAGGGUUUGUAUUCUGCAGAUGCUUCAUCAUACCUAAUAAAGUGAAAACCCAAUUACAACACUAUAUAAAUCAUCUAAUUUAUCAGAAAGCAGUAUAUUAUUUACCUUUUAAAAAUUUCAACUAUGAAUUGUAUAAACUUGUGAAGAUUAUCUUUCCCACGUUUUCGAAUCAACUCACUCACAAAAUCCAUGGAAGCAGUUUUGGGACUAUACAAGUCUUCAAUAAUGUCUGUAAUUAAGAAUUAGAAGCAAUAAGCAUGUGCCAAUGAGUUCCUUGAAAUUUCAUGUCUAUGUAUACACUUCAAUAAGACUUACCGUAGCCUUUUCUUACAUAUUCAUGCGGAUCUUCAUCCCAAAGCUUUUGAUCAUUAUCAUUAAAGCACAGAAGAGGGAAAACUAUUUCAAAAAGAAGAACAUCAAGCCGAGGCUGCAGUGCAGAAUACAUGCUAUUCUUCGAUAUACUGCAUAUAUUAAAAGAAAUUAAGAGAAAAAAUUAAGUCCAUGAUCAUUAAUAUCCUGAAAAGUCAGCACUGGUAAAAUAACAGCAUUCAACAGAGAUACUAAUAUUCUAAAUAUGUGCAAAGUGAAGACCUUAGAAAGGAGGGAUGAGAUGAUCAAUGGACACAGAGCAACCCAUUCACCCCUUCCUUCCCCAACAAAUAUGUAAAGGACUAUUCAGUAUGGGUCUCAAGGACUAAUCGGUAUGGGUCUGGAUACAUGAACUUCAAGAAGCUACAAGGUUCAAAAGACCAAACUAUCCCAGUAUUUGAUUUUGGGAUGAAUGUAUAUUUCAUAACAUCUCAAGAUCACUAUUACUUAGGUUUACUAGCAUUAGUAGUUAAUAAUAUUUUGGUUUAAUAAUUUCACCCAAACGCCAGAGGUUUAUAUCUAGGGAGAUCAAGCAUUGGACAAUUGGGCUGGUCUCAUGCGAGGAUUGGUAAAGACGACUAGCAAACAUUAACUAAUUAAUUAGGCAAAAAAAGUUGGUUAGCAUAGAGAGAAAUUAUGAGUGGCGCUAAUUUCAAGGGUUAUGUUGGAAAACUAACACAAAUUGUCAGCAAAUUUAAUGUUACUAACAACAUGGGCCAACUUUCUUUAACUUCGAUGAAAGAGUAAACGGACAAAAGUAGUAGUUAUGAAGCUAAGCUCAAAUAUCCCAAUCAAUAACAAAAAGACUUUAUCAACUAAGUUGAGUUGAGAUUACUAAUUAAUGACAACAUGUGGCAAUUCAUAAACUAAACAUGCAAGCUUAGUGCACAAAAAUGUCUUACCUGAAUAUGGAUAUCCCUUCAUAAAUAAGAAAAAGAUCAGACCUAUACAUAAAUAAAUGAGCAUAAAAUAAUUGAUGAGUACCUGUUGCUUAGAUACUGAAGAACCAGGUUGAUAACUCUGUCUGGUAAAUAGCCACCAACUCGAAUGGCAUUCAGUAGAUUUAAGUAGCAGUCCAAUAUCUUCCAAGCAUAGUGCUUCUGAAACAUUUGGGCAAAGGCUUUGUUUUCCAUGUUUUGCAGCUUCAAGUCACCAAAUCUAUAACAAGGUCAUUUAAACACGAGUACAAAAAGAAAAUUAAUCACUGGACAGGAUAGCUCAUAAUUGUCAACCAAAUCAAUUCACAAUCUCAAACAUACCGAGUAUAGAGCCUAUUUAGAAUGUGAACUGUCCAUUUUUUUACCUUCCACCAACCCCAUGACUUGCGAAGCUCGGGAUCGGCAGGCUGGCCCUCCAAUGGAACAGGGCUCUCUAACACGUUUAAAAACAGCACCAUCCAAGCAUUGAAUACAUUUUGAUCAAACAAAAGCUUCGGAACCUCCAACUGAACAAGUUAAAACGAUGCACACGGAAUUGCAUUCGUCAAUUACGAACAGUCAGGAGGAGAAAAGCAUAAAAAAAGGCAACAGAAAGUGAUAACUUUAUCUCAACACUGAAAAAGGAAUAGAUUCUAUGGUUCUUUUUCCCGUAGAUUAAAGAGAGAGAGAGAGAGAGAGAGAGAGAGAAAACGUACGUAGAUGGAGGACCAGAAAAUUUUACAGAUAAGCUUGAUCAAAUCCGCAACUUCGAUUGAGGGAUUGGGAAUUUGGACGAAGGCGUUAAAUAUAGUGAGGAGAAGAGGAAAGGUCUGCUGGACAACGCCAUAAACUGGCAUCCUCUCUUCAUCCGACUUGAACCUGCAGAGGGAGAGUGAAGGUAUUCCUAUUAGUGACGGUUGGGCGUUUUCCACGCGAUAUUAAGAAGAAAAAGAGUGACUCACUCGUAUUUUCUAGAAAGAAUCCGCAGCACAAACAAAGCGGCGUGGACUUGCUGUUGAUCCUGCAAGUUCUGCUUGAUCCAGUCGAGCAGAUGAGGAAACUGCUCCGGAUAAUCCGAAUGGAUAACGGUUUUGAGGCACUCACCGAGCUGCACCCUGCGGUGGAAUAGAAUCAGGCGCAGUAUAGUAGCAGGAAGUGAGAAGAGUAGCAGGCGCAGCAUAGUAUAGAACGCUGUACCUGAGAAGAGGAGGAAGCUGAGGGAGAAAGAGGAGGAUGUGAUUCCGGAGGAGAAGCUUAUCGUCCGGCGAGACGGAGAUUUUGGCGUGGUGAUCGGUAGACCAAUUCUUGGCGACGAAGUUCUUGAAAUGGAUGGCGGCGACUUGUCGGACCGCCAUGUCGCGGUUGGUGUCGACGAUGAUUUGGAAGAGGCUGACCGGAUGCUGCGGAACGUACUGCAUCUCAUCCAACCGCUGCUCGGCGCCCUUCCGUUCAUCGGGAUUCGGACUCAGAGCAGCCUGCAGUAUGACAGCCAGAUCCAUCUUCUUCCCUUCGCUUCGUUUCGCUUCUGCUCUGAGUCUUCUUCCCCAAUGCGAUGCUCCUUCUGCUACACACUCACACUAGGGUUUACCACCGCAAAUGAAACAUAUCUAUCUAUUAGGGUUUUUUAUUAAGGUUUCAAAAUUACACUUUCACACACACUUCGCAUAUUUUAUUUUUCAUUAAACUUAAGUAUAAUAUUAUUUUAUUUUUCAUUAAACUUAAGUACAAUGUUUUUUUUAAUUUAGAAUAGUACGUGCGUGUGAAAUAAUUUUAAAAUAAGAGGAGGAUUUAUAUGGAAUUUUUAAAUAAAUGGAUAUUCGACUUAUCCUGAAAAAAUGUAUUAGGUUAUUAAUGUAAUUUACUCUCUUUCUUUUCACAUCCACAAUCAACGCGCCAACCGUCCGUAAAAGAUACUUUUACUUUUUAAUUCAUAAAUUGUUUCUUUACUAUAUUUAAAUUUAGUUAUUAUAAAUAAUUUUAGUUGUUUAAUUUUGUAAUUUGUUUCUUAAGAUAAUGAUUGCACAGAGAAAGCAAGUCCCAUGAGGAAAAUAAAGAAAAUAAUGACGGGCUAAAAAUUGUCUAACUUUCAUGAUCAUAAGUGUUUAUAUUGUUUAUGUAUUCCUCAAGUAAUUUGAGUUAGGAUAGAACACGGUAAAAAUAUUACUAAACAAAAAAUAAUUUUAGAGACUUAAAAAAAAUAUGUAUUAUUUUAAAAAUAAAAAAUUAUUUAUAUUUAAAAUAGUUUUUAUUAUUAAUAAAUUUAUAAAUUAUUUUUUAAAUUAUAUCUAAUUAAAAAGUGAAUAAUUAAAAAGUUUGAUAACUAAUUAAAUAAUAAUUUAUAAAUUUUAUUAAUAAUAAAAAUUACUUUAAGUAUUAAUAAUUUUGUAAAAAAAAAUAAUAGCUAAAAUGUUCACACUCUUUUUCCUAUUUUAAAUGGUAUUUUGCUUGAUUAUUUUAUUUUGACUAUUGUGUCAUUUUAUCUUGAAUUUUGAAUCUAAAAAUAGUUUCUAAGUAACGAUAUGAGAGUGAUUGAUAAAGUGGGACGGUCCGACUUGUGUCCAACUAAAAAAAAUGCGGGGUUGGUUGUUGAUUUCAACCUGCUGGCCCGCUCUGUAUAUCUCGCAACCCGCGCGAGUCAAGUGCGGAGCGGGCUGGGUUGGCCCGCAUAACCGCAUAACUUUAAAAUGUAUAAAUUUUGUUUUGCACCUUCAUAUUUUCUUUAUGUAGCCUCGUAUUCUACAUUCUGAAAAUUUUAAUAACAUCUUACUACGCAUGUCUCAUGAAAAUAAUAUUAUGAGACCAUUUACCUAUUGCAUAUAAAUAAAAAAUCAAAAUUUUUAUUUAAAAAAAAUCUUAUACAAGAUGCCCGCGAGCCAACCCUUAUGCGGGCCGGGUUAGAAAAAUCAGCCUGCAUAUUCUAUGCAGUGCGAGCCAAGUGCGGGAUGGGUCAGCCCGCAUUGUCACCUAUAUUGUUGUAUGAAAGCAGCUUAUACGUAAGGUGUAAGGUGCAGGACUAUCUUGUUUUAAAAACUAUUUUUCCAGUCAUUAUAAACAACAUUUACAAGAUAAUCAAACAAAGUACUUCACGAGAAUCAUUUUUUAGUUUAGAGAGGUCAAAAUAAAGAAGACAAUAAGAAUCUCGCAUAUGUGUAUACAAAGUCUUCACUAAGAUUAAGAUUCAAAGAGUACUUGGGAUGGAUUGAUUCUCAUUCGUAGACAAAGAAAGAUGAUGUUGAGAACUUUUUCAUGAUUUGGAGUCAAUAUGGAGAAUUCUGAUUAUUGAUUAUAAAUCAUGUUUAGCAAACAAUGUGUUGAAAAAUUCAAUAAGAGAUGAUGACAUUGUAUUAAGAUUAAUUAGAUAUUUUAAUAGUAUUAAGACUAACUAGACUAUUUAACUUGUGUUGUUUUGUCUUGAUAUUUUUUCUUAAACAUUGUUAUGUUAUUAAAGCCCUUAGUAUGAGACUUUAUAUAUAAAACAUUUUUGUCACACCAAAACCUUUAUAUACUCUUAAAAGUUAUGAGACAUUGAACGAUACUUGUACAUGAAAAUCAUAGAAAAUUAGUUUUCUAACUUCUUCAUUACUUUACAAACAUCCACUAAGAUUCUAGUUAAGAUAAAAAAACCUAGUUAAGAUUUUUCCCUUCUUUCAUAACAUCCAACAUAAGGAUGUGAAUGAUCUCUAUUUGAAAGUUUUUUUUUUCAUAAAAGAAUUAGUGGUAUCAGUGCAAUAACUCAUAUUAAGUCAGUUAAUUAAAAAUUUGACAUAUAUUAUAUUGAUUAUAAGGAUCUACCGAUAUAAUAUAUUAUUUUCAUAAUAAAUAAAAAUUUAAAAAAUCAAUUUGACUAUGGUUGAAUGAAAUAUGUCUUUUGAGAAUUAAAAUAAAUAAAUAAAAAUAAUUUAACAUUAAACAUGGUACGUUCAUCCGAAGUUUAACAUUCUUCAUAUAAAGAUAUCUUGUAAAGUUACAAGAACAAUAAAAAAAACACAACAAUGUCAUGCAAACCAUACUUCAAAAAACUAGUCAACAACAUGUUUUGUUUUCUGUCGUACACAUUUGUUUUUUCAACUUUUUGUCGGUUAUCAUAACUAUUCAUAAAAAAUAAAACACCAUUUUAACGAACUUCUAGUGCUUUAGAACACUUAGAUUCUAAAAUCAUAUUUUUACAACCAAAAUCAACUUCAAGAACAUGACAUUUUUAAAAUCUAUGAGAAAAGGCUUGUAUUGAUGAAGGAAAAUAUUUGUUUAGACCAUAUCUCACAACACAUUACAAUAAUAAUAUAAUAUUUAAAAUUUAAAAAUAAAUUAAAUAUUAUUUUAUUAAUUUAUGAAGUGUAUGUUGAUUACUAUUUGUGAUGUUAACGUAUUAUCACUAUUAAUAAAUUAAACUUAGACUCCAUAGAAUAUAUAAAACAAUAAUAACAAUGAUAAAUUAAUUAUUCUACAAAAUGGUGUCGCAUCCACCAAUCUCCAUUUACUUCCUCUAACCAUUUUUUCCUCUGCAUGCUUGAAAUGGUUGCAAUGUAAGUAUAAAAUCUCCACUAUAAUCAUAUUUAUGCAUUAUUUUGAUUUACAAUAACUUAAUUAUUGUAUACUUAAAAGAAGUGUUAGAAUAAAAAUAUAUAUAGUUUGAGGUGCAUCCAAUCCCACCAAUUAGAGCCCAUGCAAGAAAUUUAUACAAUGAUUUUAUAUUUUAACUGUGUAAGGAAAUUUGAAAGUUUAAUAAUGUUAGGGUGUUAUGAAAGAAGCUUUGGUCAGCAACAUUCCAAAGGCAUUCAUUAAAUUCCAGCAAAUAAUGCUGAGAAAAAGAGAGUUUGUGAGUUAAAGAUGAGAAACCGUUUCAUUUUCAUAACAAUGGAUUCAUUCACAAUUCACAACUUGUUGCUAUAAAUACCAGGGAGUAGGAAGGGGAGAGCCAUCCGCAGAAGAAGAAGAUGAAGAUGAAUGCGAUAGUGGUGGCGGCGCUCGUGGUGACGGAGGUGCUGCUCAUGGGGGCUGCCAUUGACGCCCUGGAUGUGUGCGGUGUGUCGGUGACGGAUCUGAUGACGUGCAAGGCGGCGGUGACGCCUCCAUCGCCGUCGGAACCUUCGGACGAGUGCUGUUCGGUGGUUUCGAAAGUGGACAUGGAUUGCCUCUGCAAUUACAAGAAUUCUCCUCUCUUGCCUUCCUUGGGAAUCGAUCCUGAUCUCGCUCUUCAGCUCCCUGCCAAGUGCAAACUUGACAAGACUCCACCUUGUUAGCUCCUUCUCUUCCUUUUGUGAAACUUUACCAUUACCUCUAAUAAAUAAAUCAUUUUCUUCUUUUAUCAUUUCUUAACUAAAUCACACAUUUAACCUUUAAUUAAAUAUCAUUAAUUAAUUAAACGUGUUGGAAAUCUCAAUCGAAAUUACAACAUAUUAUAAUAUAUUAUAAUAUGUAAAUGUAUCUAAAUUUUAUGAGAUUAAAUUAGACUAUUUUUAAUAUAACAUCAGAAAUUUUUUGUUCAACUAAUCAGACAGGAAUUGCAGGUUAAAAAAAUAUCUCAAUAUAAAUAUGGAAUUAUUAUUUUUUUCAUAAUUAUUUAUAAACCAAAAUUAAUAUAUAUGUACUUACUCCCAGAAUAUUUUACAUUUAAUUUUUGCUAGUCAUCAAAAUAUAUACUGCAUUUACAGUAUAUUACAUAAAAAGUAAUAAAUCUAAUUUUUAAAAACAAGUCUAAUUCUACUAUAUUUUUCAAUAUCUAAUUUCGGUUGAGUUUUUAAUUAUUUUUAAUAUAUUCAAGAAACAUUUCAAUUUAUUAAAGAAAAUGACACGACUUUUAUUUGUUUUUACCAUGGAUUCCUAUACAAUUAAAAUUAUUAUUUUUAUAGAUAAUCACAAACUUAUCGUUUAUAUUUAAGGAAAAAUGUUGUAUUUAGCUAAUUCUUACCAUUUGUAAUCCAAUAGUAUUAAUAAAUCUUAUUCAAAGGUAAGUUAACUUUUAUUCCUAAAACUUUAUCAUUGUAUUCAUCACACCUUUUAAUUUAUUCAUCUUUCUUAUAUGUAUCUUCUCUCUCAACUUAUGCACACAAAAAUAUAAUAUUUUUUAAUAUUAAUAUGAUUAACAUUGAUGCCGAAUUACGUAAGUUUUCAUCGAUAAUAUUUGUUGUAUUUCAAAUAUGUACACAUUAAAUAGGCGAAAUACACUUUUUAAAAAUAGUUUGUAGUGUCUAUAUUUUAAUAUAAGAGUAUAUUUGAUUAAAAAAAUAAUUAAUUAAUAACAGUAUAGUGUAAAGCCACAGAGUAUCUAGAAUGUAGAAUGAUUUUGCAAGAGCAGAAAGAAGGAAGAAUAAAAAAAUAGAAUAGAUAGUUAUAGUUAUGGAAGAGAUGGAGGAAGGAAUGAAGUGUGUGUGCACCUGGAAACUCUCCUAACCCAAACCCAACUGCAUCUGCAUACAAGAGAGAGUGAGUGUGUGUGUAUGAAUCAGUGAGCAGUUCCCAGUUGCUACAAUGGAGUGUGUUCUAAACUUGGGGAGGGGGUUUGGAGGAGGGCGAGGACGAGGAGGAAGACGACUCUGGUUCAUAAUUCCAAAGGGUCUUUAGCUCACCUCUUUUGCUUCCCAAUACAAGAAUCACUCCUGUUCAUAUGUAUAAACAAUUUGGCAUCACAAAAGCUACCUAAAUCAUGAGAACCACAAAAUUAGUUACCUAGUGUGCACGGAACAAGGUAGAGGAGUGCAGGUUGUCCAUGACCGUUCAUCAUGUAUAGCCCCAGAUAUGUGAAGAACAGCCCUGAACACACCAAACAUACUCUAUACUUUAAUACCUUUGAAUCUAAAUCUAAAAUAAAUGUUUAAAUAAAAUGACCAACCCACAUGGGAAAUGUUAAGUUAACUCAUGUGAUGUGGAGGAGAAAUCUUUAAGCAGAUUUCCUAUGAUACCAGGAAAAUCAACUAAGCAACAGUUAUGAAGAAACAUUAUUCAACACAAACAUAUUACCUACUAACUUACCGAAGCCAUAGCCAAUCAUCAACCAAAGAAAAUAUCCGCUCACGACCCCCUUCUUAAGAUCUUUGUCGAAUCUGAGACAGUCCAAAGCCAUACAUAACAUACGUUGAAAACAAGGCUUCUUGUAAAGUAAGGUCGGUAUGGAAAAGAAGUUUAUAAAUCUUCACUUGUUAAAGUUUUUGACUAAAUAAGGAAUUCAAUACCUACGAGAAAAGGAAACAAGCAAACCAGGAAAGAGAAUAUCUCCAAAUCCAAUCAUAUCAUAGCCACCCCAAGGAUCAGCCAAGCGAGGAAAUCUCAAAAGCAUAGGAAUUGCUUCACCACCAGCCUUGUCACCUCGAGCAACCUACAAAAUAAAACUCAUCACUGUAGGACACCUUUUCACUGCAAAGAACAUAAGCAGUGAGGUGAGAAUUUCAUUUCAGCAGUGAGGUGAGAAUCGAAGGGCCUAUUUGAUUGCACUCAAUAAAAAUAGUCUUUAGUUUUUAGAAAUUAAAAUAAUGAAUUUAAAUAUAAAUUAAAAUUCUAAAAUUUUAUGAAUAAUUAGAUUAUUUAAAAUUAGAAAAUUUUAAAUUUCAAUUAGAAAGAAAGAAUUUGAAAUUCCUUAGUUUCUCAAAUCCAUGUGUCUUCUUUUUUAAAUUCUCUUAAUGAUUUUGGGUAGGAUGUCAUCUCACACCAAUAAAAUAACUACUUUUCAUUAAUUAGAUUUCUUUUAUUAAUACUAAAAGAUUUUUUAUUUUAUUUAAAUUAUUAGGAUUCUUUUGUUGCGGUAAAACACUUUUAUUUUUCUCUCUAUAUUAACAGGAUUUUCUCAAUCAAGAAGAUUAUUCUUUUGUCAAUGUCCAAAUGAUUAUUUUUUUAUCCAGCACUAGUGUACAUUAACUAAAAAAAAUAGCCCCAACUAUACCAGUAUGAACAAAGACUUACAGUAAUCAUGACACUCUUUUGGAAUAUCACUGGAGAUAUGAAUACCCAAAAAAUGUCGUAUACAAAUGCACAACAAAGUAGGACCGUUGCAACCUACGAUAUCAGAUUCAUAAAUAAAUUAUGAGAGAUGACAACAGAUAUUGGAACAAAACGAGAAAGGAAGUAACAGUUAUAAUAUAAACACAAGGAAGUCAUUAAGGUACCUUAAUAUUAGGCAACCGAGCCAUCUGUAAUACUGUUAUCAUCAAACAGAUGCCCUGUUAAGAAUAAAGCCGUAUGUCAAGCAAAUUGCAUACAACAAAAGCUCAAACAAACAGCUUAUCAUCGAUGAAUGACAAAACCCACUAUUGAGACAACAAACAAUUCUUUAGUGCAAUGCCUGAGAAAGCUCACUACGGAAUCAAAAGAGAGACCAGGUUUGUCUCAACAAGAAUACACAUUCACUCUACAAUGAUUAAGUGCAAAAAUAUAUGCAUCAUAUUUCUGUGGCUGAACAUGUGCUCUGAUGUGAGCAUUCAUACAUGUAUAUAUGUAGAUAAGUGACUGCAAUUAAAUGUGAGCAGAUUUUUUUAAAAAAAGGAACAUAUCAAUACUAGGCAGAUACAAAGCUGGAAACAGAAUGACAAUUGAAAGACUUGUGCCCACGUACUAGAAACUGGAACUCACAAGCAAAUCUUGCCCAAACCAAGAAAAUGAUUGGUGCCGAAAUACAACCCAUAAAACGGCAAAUGCCACGCUGAAUAGUAGCACUACCAGCGAGAAAAUAGAAACCUCUCCAAAUAAAGGUAAAUUCACAUUCUUCUGAGCACAAGCUCGACGUUUCCUGCCAAUAUAUUUGAGAAAAAACUUGAGAAAAUGAAGAGAUAUACAACAUGCAGAAAGAACAUUGAUUUCCCUUUUUACUAGAAGAGAGAAGAUAUUUUGUACCUUAAAGCGAGGGUUACAAUACAGUUGUGCAUCCCCUGAAUAUGGAAGCAAACUUCCAUUAAUGAAACGAGUAGUUUCAAACAAAUAAGGAAGAAAAAAAAGGAUCAAAUGCUUGUCAGCAGUUUAUAGGUAUUGUAGUUUCAAGUUUCAACUUUCUAAUAGAUCAACAUACCAGUUAAUGGAGAAGUGAAAGUACAGUCUAAUGUAUUUGUAAAAAAAUAAGUGAAUUUUAUUAGACAGAAUUAAAGAUAAAAUACAACUAGGGGGCAAACAAAAUAUCCUCCUAAGGACAAAAAAUAUACAAUGAGAAACAGACUCCAGAACAUAGAAACAAGCACGAGAUAAAUAAGUUUAGUCAACAGAAGUGAAUCAACAGUGUAUCACAUAAUUGAUUAAAGUGGCAUAUUUUAUCCUUUCCUGUAAAUGAGCCCUUAAGAAAAAGAAACUAAAAAAGUUGGUCUAAACACUAACUUUGUUAGUUAAAGCAAUUCUGUAUAAUUGAGUUCAACAUUUAUGUCAAGUAGUUCAGAAGUUUAACUGACAGAGGAAGUUGGCAUCCCUUUUCUACCAGGAUCUACCGUAUUUUUAGGUUAUCUUACAUUCUUUGGUUUGUGUAUGGUAAUGAUACGAGUAGUUGGGCUUGUAAAGCCUAUCUGGAUGCAGAUGUAUGGCUUGUACAACUAAAACAACCAUUUGGUUACAGAAAUAAUGUUUAUAAUGUUUUGACACUUAUCGCAACCUACUAUCAGGGGUAAUAGAGUCAUUAAAAAAAUAAACUUUUGUAUUUGUAAAGGAAAAGAGAGCAUGAAAAGUAAAACAGUGAAUGUAAGGUGGGUGUAAAAAUUUAUUGGACGAUAAAAUAUCAUGGUCCCACCAUAAUGAAAUAAUAUGAAGGAUUGGAUUGUAUGUUUAAAUGAAGUUAUCUCUAUAUCAUUACUUGAUAUUUUUUUAGCUAGAAGAUUAGGAGUAAAAUCCACGAAAAUGAGCUACCUUACCUCAAUACCACCAAUGCAGAAAAGUACAAUCAGCACCCAAAUAAACCAAGACGACAUGAAGAAGAACAGUAGCACAAGAAAAGUAGAGGCCGUAAUGACAAAUACGACAGCACCCUUUGUAUCUAUGUUAACUAUUUCCUCAGGUUCGUCUUUCCCUGCUUCAGACACAGCGCUCUAUAAAAAAAACAAUUUUAUGUUACAGACUAAUAAAGAUGUAUUAAAAUUGUAACAAGUAAACAAAAUGAAUGGAAGAAACCAUUCUCCAUGGCUCCAUUUAAUAGUUAACUGAUUGAAAGAUCACGGGCUAGCAAUACAGAAGGCAGUCAAAGAUAAAAGUAAACGUAGAUUAGAAGUUAGCACGGAAGCCAAGAUCAGUCUGUGGUUACUGGUUACAAAUGUCCCAUUCGAACAUUGUUGAAUAUCUGUUACUCACUGGAAGCACACCUUCGCAUCACUAUGAUUACUUCAGUUACAUUAAACAACGAUAAAAGUUCAUAAGAUCACAUUUGAGCAUAUAUCAUAGACAUUAAGGUAAAUAUAGGGUUGCAUGGAAAAACCUUGGGAGACAACUCAUUAUAGCGUUCAUCGAAUUGAUCAGGAGCAGUUAUAUCUGCCCAUAGUGAAGCACAUGCAACUGUUGCAACAGCCAUCAACCACAAAAAUGAAACCGAGUAGUCUACAACUGGGCGCGUUGGAGCAUAUGGCACAACCUCCACUGAAAUGAACAACUCCGAAUCAACCAUCAGUAAAUCAUUUGAAACAAACUUCGCAUCAAGCAGAAGAAAUGCACUUGAGAUUGAUAAAGAAAUGAUAUUUUUCUUUAAUCUUACUUAUUUAAUGCAUUUAUGUGAAUAAAUGAGCAUAUGUAUAGAAAUAACUUCUUGCAGUGCUAAAAAUUGGGUAUUUUACCAUUUACUGAAUGUUUAAUUAAUUAAUUCAUCACAGAAGUACGUGCUAGGCAACAUAAAAAGAAAGUCUAUGACUUUAGUAUGAAAUCGUACUCAAGUGCAAUUGAUGCCAACGGUGAGAUCACACCACGGACACUAGCUACAAGGAUUCUUGAUCAAAUGGGGAAACCAAGGAUUCUAUGUUGAAGUGGGUGAAUCAUACAACUUUUGAUAAGGAAAAACAUAGCAGAAAAGUCCUCUAUGUCUCAACUAGAACAAAAUAGUAAAAAUUUAAGUCAGGAGGAUAUUGACCCUCUAGGGAUCCUUCUUGUCACCUUGAGUAAGUCCUUUGAAUCAUGUUCCAGGACCAAGACGAGUAAGGAGCCGUUUGGUUUCGGAAAACACUUCCUAUUUUCAUUUCCUGUUUUCAUUUUCAUAUUUUUAGAUUUAAAAGACAUGUUUAGUUUGACUUUGUGUUCUUGAUUAAACAAUUUUCAACAAAAAAAUUUAAACUAUUUUCAACAAAAAAAUUUAAACUAUUUUAUAAAGUUAACAAAUGAAGUUUCAAUUAUGAUUAUACCUUUAUUAAUGAACAAUUUGUGAAUAAAUAAUUUUAUAUUAUAUAUCCUUGAUUAUAACAUUUUAGAUUGGAUUAUAAGUUGAACUUGGAGAUCAUAAAUUAUCAUGCAAAUUAUUUGCGUGUAUAAUUACCAUUUAUAUACCAUUUCACUAAAAUUUUGAAUAAUAAAUUCUUCAGAGUUUCAAAGGAUUAGAAAUUAAGAUUAUCUUAUGAUUUCCUCAAGGUUAAAUAUGAGGGUCUUAUGUUGUUUAGUGACAACAAUUCCGUUAUCAGCAUUACCCAUAACCGAACCCUGACAGAACAAAACACUUGGAAAUAAGUGAUAACUAAUACUUCAUCAAAGAGAAGUUGGAUGGAGGCAUUAUUGUUACAACACAUAUGACUCUAAGGCUCCAAGAGAUUGAUGUCUCGACACUGAGCCUUAUUCAUUUAUCAAGAGAAGUGUCCUAAAUAUCAUAGGAUAUCUAUAGAUGGUUUAUCUUUAGGAUAAUAUGGAAGAUCUAUAAGGAUAACCAUAUUAUUUAUCUUAAGAAUAUCAUGAGAUUUUAAUUUCGUUAUUUUUGUCAAUUCCAUGGUUAUUAAAACCAGACUAGUUUAAUCAGGACUGUGCGGUUCGUCAGAUCCUUAAAACAUUGGAUCGGUUAAAAACUGCGGUUUGGCAGUUCAACAAAAAUCAGGUGUGUCGUUUUGGGUCAGAUUUUUUCCUUUUCUUUUCCUUGAUCACGAUCUAAAAAUCACAGGAUCCUAAAUCAGGAAAUAGGAGCAUGACAUUUUCUCUUGACUCACUUCGGCUUACUUCCCUUCUAAUCACAACUUAUUUUUAAUAUAUUUCUUACAUGGAAAUCUCUCUUUUUUUGCAAUUUUUUUGGAAAUUCCACAAUAUUUAAAAGUAUAAACAAAUUAUAAUAUAUAAAUUAAUACAAAUCUCUGCUUUCAAAUCGGUUUUAUAAAAUUAAUUUAAAGUUAAAUUUCAAUUUCUUAAAAUCAUACAAGAGUCUUUCUAACCUUAUAAAUAUUAUGUUAUUUUUUAAAAUAUUUUUUAACAUUUUUUAAUAUUAUAUUAUAUUGUUAUAUUUAAGUCGUUCAACUACGCUAAUUAUUGGUUAUUUUUCUAUUUCUUUUGCCUUAUAAAAGGGAUACAAAAUUUUGUUUCUUUCAACUUACAACUAAGACAACAUCCGUUAAAUACGUACUUAUUAUUAGGAUUAUAUGUGCUAGAAAAUAACUUAUCUAGUUACUGUGUCCAAUGUUAGAUUUUAACUUCAUAGCUUAUCUCUGGUACCCUAUCAUAUUAUUAUUACAUGACAAAAUGAAAGAGAAGUAAAUACAAAACUCUUUCACAAAAGCACCAGUGGACAAACAAACUACAAAUACAAGUUUAAAAAAUCGAAGGACAGACCUUUCCUUUUAGAUGUCAAAAGUUUGUUGAGAGUGUCUCCUACUGACUUUGUUAUCUCCACAACCGGAAUUGAAAUAUUUACCGGAUUGUCCUUGGAGCAGUCCAUCUCAAAGAGUUCUGAUAUAAAAUAAACAGAUAAAUUUCAUAUUAAAAGCGUAAAAUAACAUAAAAAGUAAAAAAAAGUGCAGUAAAGGUAAGUUUAAGUUAGUGAAUUGUAAUUGUAAUGCUAACACAAUUAGUGGAAUCCUUUUUUCUGUAUGUAAUAGCCUCUACGGAUUUAAUAAAAACCAAUAAUGCAACAAUGCUUGUUAUCAUGGUUUCAUCUACAGGCUUCGGAUGAGCAAUGAGAUUGGAUUUCUUUUUAGAGCUAAUGUAUUGCCCUUUUCCAUGAUCAGUGAUCAUCCUCUUAUGUACAAUUUAUUAUGGAAACCAAUCUUUAACAAAAACUAGUGGGAAGUAAUAUUAGGAAAAACAAUGCAUACUGGUAUGAUAAACUACAUGAUUUAAUUUUGGGCUAUUGUCAGUGGAAAAUAUGAUCAAUCUAAAAUCUGGAGGUGUAACGUGAAGCCUUAUUAAUGUUUUAUAUAUCCAUGAAGAGUCCAAUUUCAGCAUGUAACAUAAUUCCACUUAUACAAAGCAAUACCAUUUAAUGUAUCUAAAGUGCCAAAAUUAGUCCAAUGAUAUUUCACUUUGUUGUUUAGUGACAUUGUCUCAUGUUUUAAUAUUUUAUAAAAUUGAGCUAUUUGCCUAUUUCAAGUACAAGACUCAUCAUUCCAUAAUAGCUUUCCUGAAAAAAAAAAUAAGCUCCUAAGCAUUAGAAUUUGUUCCUAUACAUCAUUAUAAACUUAAAAUCUUUAUCCAGGUUCCAAGAAAGCGACAAUAGUUGGCAAUCAGAGUUCAAGCUAUGCUUGUGAGCCCAGGUUUAGCCGUGCUACGUACUGUUUAUUAAACCCCGUGCUUAGAUUUUGAGUAUACUGCACAGCAUGCACGAAGAGAUUUCAGCCUAAAGAAAAAGCAUGCGAGCAACCAAGCUGACAAGUGAGUGGGGACGUUACCAGACUGACAAAUGACACCUUCUAUACGUCUAAUACACCUUCUUUAUUCAGAUUAAACACAAAAUAGAAACCUCGUGGUUGAAGUGCUAAAAUAUACCAUCGGCGUCGUUUAUCAUGAACACGGCAGCAGCACCACCGGACUGCGCGAAUGUAGCUUUAGUUGUGAAGUCACAAACGCCUCGUGCGCAGAGAGCUGCUAAUCCAGAUAACUGCAAAAUGGAGAAAUGCAGAAGCACACUACUUGAGGAAGCUGAUAUACGAUGAACAGAUUUCAAAAUACGAGCAUGAAAGUAAGAAAACAAACAAAGUUGGGGAAAACAGUUGAUGCAUGAUACGAAGGAAGGGGAACGAGAAAGAAACCUUUACGGUGGAAGCGGAACAGCAGUCCAAAGGAUCGGAAAUAACAGCGGGAACUUUGGUAGUUGGAUCAGCAUUGUCAGGCAAAUCGGAGCCAAAUUUUGCAGUCAUACCAUUGUACUCUUCAUCUUCCUUCCCAUCAAUCCAGCUCUGUAUCUUAACCUGCAAACACAUUGAUUAAUGUUAUUAAACAUGAGAGAGAGAAUUGAAGAAAUAGAUAAACGUAAGGAGGAGGAAUUACCAAUUGCGCAACGUGAUCGCAGUGGUCUUCAUCGGCGGCGGCGGCGGCGGCUAGGAAGGCGAAGGAGAAGAAGAGAAGGAGAAGAGCCGGCGGCAAAGAGGAGGAGGAGGGCAUUGUUGGUUAGGGGAAAAUUGAAACGGUUGGGUUAUGAUUGGUUAAAGGUUUAGUGUGUGCUGUGACGAUGAGAAGGACAUUGGUUCCUCUCCUCUCCCUCCCUCGGGAAUUUCGUGGCAUUUUGGGAUUCUGCAUUUUAAAAUACUCUUCCCUCCUCUCUCUUAGCCAACCGUUUCCACCUUCUCCACUUCAUCAUUCUAUAUCUUCUCCCUUUUCACAUUUUCCCAAACUUCACUCUCCACCGUCAAUCCCUUUUCUACACAUUUCAACAUUAUUAUUAGGAACACACAUUUUAUCAUCAUUAAUUUACUCAUCUUACCCUAAUUUUACUUUUUUUUAACCAAAUUUUUCAAUUUUAAAAUAAUUGUAAAUCUACCAGUAGUUGAACAUUGUCGGUGUCAGACACAUCGAAUACUGAUACUUGUAGGAUAUAUGUAUCUGCGAAGUGUCCAAUUAAAAAAUUAUUUGUUGUUUUGAUAUUUAUAGCACGCUAACACAAUUUUAAAAGGAAAAAACACAUUAAUUUUAUAAAAACUCAAAUUUAUGGUAUAAAUUUUGAUAAUGAUUAUAAAAAUAAGGAACAAAUCAUUUUGAACCAACUAUGAAAAACAUCUUUCUACUAAAACAAACUGAAAUAUAUUUAUGCACAUAAACAUUUAUUGUCAAUUUAUAUAAUUCAUAAUUACAUAAUAUAUAGAUUUGUGUCCCUAUGUUCUAUAUUUUAGAGAUUAUACGUAUCUCCGUAUCUGUGUCUGUACUACAUAAGUGUCGACCGACAUAACCAGAUUCAUUAAGUCCAAUAGAAGAUGAUUAACAACACCAAACAGUGAUUAAACAUUAAGUAAUACACUCUUAAUCCUGGUCUAAAACUCUAAUCUGAUUCAAUAAUAAAGGAUCCACAAUAAUAAUAUAAACAGUCACAAGUUUUGCAAAAAAUCAUCACGCAUUAAUUACACCAAAUAUCGAAUACUGAAAUCUGACUUAAACGUUAUAGUAUCUUUUGCGGGAAUGGAGAUUUUACAAAUGAGGAGACAUUAAAGCAUGAAGGGAUAUAAAAGUAAUUUUCUUUUUAUAUCUUACAAGAUGAAAAACAUAGAUCAGAAAUGUUGUAAGAGAAAAACAAAAUGGGAGUAUAAAAGCAUUGGGCGUUAAAAGCGGUUUGUGAUUGUUGUUGUGUUGAUUUUGAAGUCCAUGGCUCCCUCCAUGAGGAUCGUCUUCGGUCUUCUCACUUUCGUCACCGUCGGAAUGAUCAUAGGUAUCUCUUCUCUCUUCUCCGAUUUCUUCUUCUUCUUCUUCUUCACUCUCUUGCUCUUUCUUCUUCUCUCUCCCCCACUGCCCUAAAUCACCACACAUCUCAAUAAUCAUAUUUGAAUUACCACUCACAACUUUUCACUCUUCUCUUCCUCAAUUACAUUGCAGGUGCUCUCUCUCAGUUGGCCAUCAUACGAAAAUUGGAAGACUCAUACGGUAUCGGAUCCUACUUUUCUUCUCAUUUUCUACCCUCGUUCUCAAUAAUUAGCCACGAUAGGUGUGCCAGCACCCACCUUACGCAAAGUUAAAUUUUUUAUUACAUGGUGGAGUGCCAAGGAUUGUAGGCAUCUCUAACACCGUGCCAUCUACCAACCCCUUCAAAAGCUUAGGCUUUUAGCUGAUGCACAUUAAUGAUUUUCAAAUUUCUGCAUUGCUUCUUUAACGAGUUUAAAUGAAACAAAUAGGGGACUUGUUUUAGAGGGAUAUUUGACCUAGAUUUUUGUGUUUGAUUAUUUUUGUUAUGCUCUGUUAGCCUAACUGCUUCAUGCAGGCUCUGAUUCUUUGCCAUUUAGAAGAUUGCGUGAAGUCGAAGGUCAGGGUUACCUUCAAUUGCCAAGAGGUCAGUAAUAUUUUUGUUUUCUGCCUAUUUUAAUCUCUCUAGAGUGCUAGAUGCCUGCUAAGUUAGUUCCCUUUCCACCAUGUGCAAUGCUUUACCUAAAAAGUAAAAUGUACUACUGUAUUAAUCUUUUUUUUAUUCCUUGACUGACUUUCAAUCGUUUCAUUGUUGAGUCUUCUAGAUAUUGUAUUUGUUUUUUUUUUUCAAACUUUCUGUAAAACACAAAUAUCUUUGUUAUGAGUUACUCCAUCAGUGUAUUUUAGUUUUACAUAUUUUUUAAGUUGUCAAUAACUAGCAAUUUUCUUCAUUGGAGCUUCUUUUUCAACCAUUUCUUCUAAUUUUCAGGUAUUUCUUUUUGGAAUAAUGACAAGGAAGCAGAAGUGUUACGCCUUGGAUAUGUAUGUCCGUUGUCCUCCCUUUCUUCUGCUAAACUUUUCUAUUUACAUGUUUUCUCAGGCUCAUCCUCUAUGAUAGAAUCACAGACCUCAUGGUAAAAUAAAAUAGUAAAAUAUUAUUGCUUAUACAUUCGGUGUAAAGGUAUAAUUUUAACGCCUCAAAAAGGCAACAAGAUUAAAGUUCUCUUCUCUGUUCAAUUAAAUACUUGGUUAAAGAAUGCUUGACUGCACUCUGAGUGAUCAAUAUCUGUGUCAUUCUGUCUUAUAAUUUUACGUUUAAAGCCUAUGUCAGUCUGUGUUCCAGCUUGCGUUAGACUCAUUAAUUUAACCAUUGUCUGAAUAACCAGUUUAUUUUCUUUUUUCAGUGAAUUUCUUUUGCUUAUUCUCAUUUUUUUGAGAAAUGAAUAGAUUUGCAUGCUUAAAUUUUGAUUAUUAUUUCCGUCUGAUCCUCAAUUGUAGGUCAAACCCGAAGUGCUUAGCUGGUCUCCUCGGAUUAUUUUACUUCAUAACUUCUUGAGUUCAGAGGUUAGCUGUCCCUACUAAAUGCUGUUUUUCAUUAUUAAAAUGUUUCUUGAGGUCAAAUACCCGGCAAUUAACAGUACUUUUAAAGCAUUCUUCAGCUGAAUAAAAACUGCUGGUGGUGGCCAUAUGUAUGUAUUAAAAUUAUUUUAUCUUUACAGGAAUGUGAUUAUCUCAGGGCUAUAGCUCUCCCUCGCUUGCAUAUUUCAACUGUGGUUGAUACGAAAACUGGAAUGGUACAUUGGCAGUUUCUGUUGAAUUUCAAUUUGAUUGAUCAUAAUCAUCAAUACAUGCUACGGGAUGAGAUAGGGUUUAAGUUUCAUUAUGCCUAAGUGAAGUAUUGUCAGAUUCACCAUGGGAAAAUUUUAGUAUGUAUAAUGAAUUUGUCAUAAAAUACUAAAUGCCUUUUAGGAAGACAAUGUGCAUAUGCAUAUACAGGAGCUUGUUGUUUUGUUACAUUUGAACCUUCUAUAUUGUUGCAUUCUGUAUGCAACUACCUAACCAGCUCACUUUGUGACUGCGUUUUAAUUUCUUCUCUUUAAGAAUAAAUUAUAUUUUUGUAAACCACUAAAUGGUUUUUAUCUGAGGGUGGCAGGACCCUUCUCACAGAAAAUACCCAAUCCUGGGCUAGGAAAAAAUGAGUGAGAAGUUUUGAAACUUAAAAAAGAAGAAUUUUAUGCUUCAAAUGUAGAGCUUAAGUGAAGGGCUGUAUUUUAAGAUUAAAAGAAUUUUCUGUUGAUUUCACACAAUGGUCAAAUAGGUUAAAAACCACUAGAAGGAAACAAUUUAUCCUAAAAUUGCUUUUUGCUUUGCUUUCCUAUUAUACCAAUUUUCUGCUUAUCUGUGACAUCAUUUAUGUGUUACAUAUAAAACCACUUCAAGGAAUUUCGCUAAACACCUUGAAGAAAUAAAGAAAAGUUGUUAAGAUUAUAAACAGCUUUUGUUGAUUUCACACACUGGCUAAUAGGCUCCUAUAUCAUUCUUAGAAUAAGUUGAUUUUAUAUUCAGUGGUGGAUGUUGACCAAUAAUUUUGGGGAGACCAAAAUAAUAUAUUUAAACUAAGCAUAGUUUUAAUUUUUAAUCUCCAUGCAAAGCCGCUAGAGUCCAUUCUCCACACGUUGCAUAAUUGGAUUAAGAAGAAAAGGAAAUCCAUUUUAAAAUUAGUGUGGACACGUGGAAGUAGUAGGAUAUGGGGUCAUUUUCAUCUAUGAACAUGUAUUUCUUCAUUAAAUGUGAUAUUUCUGUCCAUAGGGAAUCAAGAGUGAAGUCAGAACCAGCUCUGGUAUGUUUUUGAAUCCUCAAGAGAGAAAAUAUCCUAUGGUACAAGUAAGUUAGCAAUUUUACUCUCCCCUCAAGUCUUUUACUUCAGUCAUUAAAGCAGUGUAAAAAACAUGGAGUGCACCAUCUGGUGUGACCAUAUUUUAUUGAGUAACUUUAACUGUACAGUCUGAUAAAAUAUGUUCACCUUGCUCAUCUAGGCAAUUGAAAAAAGAAUCUCUGUCUAUUCUCAAAUACCAGUUGAGAAUGGUGAGCUUAUGCAAGUCCUGAGGUGAGAAUAUGACUUAUUUUUUCUCUCUAUAUCUGAACAUGAGUGGGUUUGCUAGUAUUAAGGCUAACAUUUGCAGCAGCACAGGUACGAGAAGAAUCAAUAUUACAAACCUCAUCAUGACUAUUUUUCUGACACCGUAAGUUGUAUUUGCUCUUUUUUAAUUUUCAAAUUAUAGUCAACAUGCGAAUUUCCUUGAAGUGGCUUCUAUGAAACCCCAUUUGCAAUCUGUUAUGCCUUUUUUUUUUCGAGACAGUUCAACUUGAAGCGUGGUGGGCAGCGAAUAGCCACAAUGCUUAUGUAUUUGAGUGACAAUGUUGAAGGAGGAGAAACAUAUUUCCCAUCAGUAAGCUUCUUGUUUUCUGAAAUUUGUUAUUUAACUUAUUUUGGUAGUUGUUGUAUACUUUUUUUUGGAUUUUAUCUUUACCAUGGGAAAUAUGCUCAAUUUGUAACAUGCUACUACUAGCUAUCUAUUCGGUGUUAUGUGUUGGCUGUUAUAUCUGUCACUCAAAUUGGACAUUUUGACUAUAGUGAUGCUGUUGUUUAUAAUAAUACAAUAUGAUUCAGGCUGGUUCCGGUGAAUGUAGCUGUGGUGGGAAACUUGUCAAAGGGCUAUCUGUCAAACCAACUAAAGGAAAUGCGGUGCUUUUCUGGAGUAUGGUUAGUGCAAUUAAUUUGCUUAUUAUGGACGGUAUCCGUGUUAAUUAUGAAAUAGGAACAUCUAUUUCCUUAAUUGUUCUAGUACUUUUACGUGUCUUGAAGAUUGUGCUUUUUGGCCCCAGAGAUAGAAUAUAUAUCUUUGAUCAUCUGCAAGUGCAUGUGUCUUAACAAGUCAUAGAAUGACGAGUGGGGUACUGUUUCCCAAAGAUUGAUAAAGAGUCAAUUUUAUCUAAUAACCAAUUACUGCAGUACAAAACUACCAAACAAAUUAGUAUAAGCAUAAGAAGCAAAGAGUAACCAAAAAGUUUAAGUGAUAAAUUCAAGAAUACAAGAAUUAAUCCACUUUUUCUAUGUAGAAACAGUAUGUUUUACCCUUUUACCCAUUGGAAUACAUAUGCAAACACUGGUGCUUAAUAAGAUAAGCUUCUACCAUUACAUAUUGUUAAGAACCGGUGCUAGAUAGGAAGAACCAGUUUAAAAAUCAAGGGUAGAGAUGGCUUUAUAGGUUUUUAUAUAUAUAUUUUUUCAAUUUAUACUCAUCAUUAGGAUUUAGCUGGUUUAUGAAUUGGUACUUUUGUGAUAGAAAAUGUGAAUGGUGAAUGUAACUGUUAGUGUUGAUCUUGGCAGGGACUGGAUGGUCAAUCAGAUCCGAACAGUGUGCAUGGAGGAUGUGAGGUAAUGUCUGGGGAGAAGUGGUCAGCUACGAAGUGGAUGAGGCAGACCACUCACGUUUGAAAAAAAAAAAUAGCAAUUGGAUCUUGUCCUUAUAAAAGAAUAGUGAUUAAGAAUAGUUAUUGAUAUUAGAAAUAUUUGAUAGUGUUAAUCUUAAAUCAAUAAACUGCAGCACCGUAGUCUGAUAUUAUAGAUGCCCCAGGUAUGGUUUUACGGGGUUUCCAAAGAUAAAUACAUAUCCUCAUUUAUUCAACUUUCUGUUUUACAUUUCCUUUCUCACUCAGGUAAAGAUUUCAUUCAAAUAUUUGUAAAUGGACAAAUCUUUUGGCACUUGUAUUCUUUUUAUCCACCUUCAUGAUAUAAAUUUCACACUUUAAUGAAACCAAUCUUUAGAAUCUAACUAUCUCAUCAAACCAUUCUACACUCAACCAAUAAAAAAGAUCAGUGUAUAUGGAUUUUAUAGUUGUAAAAUCAACAAUUUUAUCAUACAUGUGUUCUGCGUUUAAUUUCACCAAACGUUAUUCUAUAUAGCCUUUGAAAUUUUGACGAGAAAAACUCAUUUUAACCAGUUUACACUUUUAAAUAAAUUGAAUUCAAAUUCUUAAGUCUUUUCAAUUUCUAAUUCCUAUUAUUUUUACUUAUCACUCAAAUUUACAUACACUUACAAAAAGGUUUUAUUUAAAAUUGAGUAAAUUAAAUGUUAAAUAUGGUAGGACAAUUUCUUCGCAAACUUGUCUUCAAAUUUUCCUCCUUAUUUUUAAAUUCACUCCUAAACUAUUAAGCAUUCCAUUAAUAACAAUAAUAUAGACAAAUAAAGCAGCUUAUCAGUAGUUUACUUAGAUUAGAAGUGUGUUUGUAUAUAUGUAUCUCCACCACUUACAACAAAAAUGUCACUCUUCCAUGCUCAAAACCAACGCCAUUCCGUUCAUAAUAAGAUAAAUGGAAUUGUAAAAAAAUAAUAAACUUUCUGAAUACAAGCCUAAAUCAAACCAUGAGAUGUUACGUAUCAGCAACUGUAUGCCCUUUUUUAUGUUUGCCCUUUAAACCAACACCCGCCUGGUACCCAUAGAGACAAAUACGCAGACCACCCUUUAUCAUCGCUUCAUAAAAAUAGUUCUUGAAAACCUCCAUGAAUUCAUCCCUGUCACAGUACCAUCAUCAUCAGCUUCUAAAUUUAUGCAAAAUCUUACAAGAGAGACCACACCGCUACUUUUAACAAAUAUAAAUUGUUUAUGUAUAUAGAUAGAACCCAUGACCAACCUGACUUGUGGAAGGGUCAACAACGAAUACCCCUUUACAUCAGGAUGCAUAUCUAGCACCAGUACUUGCAACCUUGAAAGGUCUAACGCCUCAGCAUCAAUUAGCUUCUUUAUCCUGAAAUUGCGUAUCACAAUAAUUACGUCACCAAAAGUUUAACAAAAGGUAUAUCUAAUCAGAUGUUUGGUCAGAAAGAACAAUUUUCUUUAGUAGAAGGACGUGGGAUCACCAACCUGCUUGGAGUGCCGCUAGCAAUGUUAACACGGUUUUUUAACAAAGAAAUCUGCAUUGAUCAUAAAACAAAAUCAAUGGAGCAAUGCUUCCACGAAGAAGAAUAAGAAGAAUCACAAUUUAUAACAUGAACCAAGGGAAGGAAAAAUCAUGCAGCGGUGAAGAACAAAACAUUAAAUUUAAAUGCACAGAAGUAAAUUCACUUUUUUAGAGUCCAAGAAAAGGGGUUUAGAUUUCAAGUUUUUAAAAUUAAAAACGGAGUAAUUUGGUCCCUCAGCCGCAUGCCGAUGAAUUUUUGUCUGGUUUCACAACUGGUACAAGUUGAAGUGGAAGGAUGCAGAAAACAAGAGAGAGCAGAAGUAAUGCAUAGUUGAAUUGACAAAAUCAUUAUACUUGUCCUAUCAAACCAGAGCCAUAGCUCCCACAAUAUGCUACUCUCAGUCACAGAAACACAGAAACACAAGUUAUCUUGCCCGUAAAAUUUGUAAAUAAGUGAGUGAGUGUUUGACGAAAAUGAAAAUCAACAAAUAAAUGAAGGUUAAGAGCACAGAACAGAAAGACAGUUGAAUGAGUUGAUGGUGAUUGGUUUAGGGUUUGUUAGGGUUUAGGGUUGUACCUGUUCCGGAAGCUUAACGUGCUUGGCGAAUAGCUUUGCAGCGUGGCAUUGUUUAGUGAAAGAGCGAAAGCCCCUGCAGAACGAAAUUAGGGUUUUAGCAUGUAAAAGGAAUUAUAAAGGGAGAUAACGAGAGAGAGAGAGAGAGAGAGAGAGAGAGAGAGAGAGAAGAAGAAGAACCUGAGAAGGUCUAUGCAUCUUAGGGCAGAGGAAGUCACGAUCAGAACCGCGGGACUUCCGGCGUUAACUUUUCCCUCAACCACACUCCCUUCGCAGAGAUGCUCCCUCCAUGCGCCGCCAAACGCCGCCUUAACAGUUUUCCCCAAUGUUUGGACAUCACACUGAUUUGGUACCUCCAGAAUGCAGUCUUCUCUGAGAGACUCCAACUCCAGCGAUGAAAGCUGAAGACCCAUCGCCGACUCAAGGACGCGCAAAGGCUCCGACGAAGGUUCAUCGGACUUCUCUUCUUCCACCUCUUUCGCCUCCUCCUUCUUCUUCUUCUUCUUCUUCCCAAUAUCACACUCAGUUUUUCUCUUUCUCUUUUCCGACGCCAUUCCAACCUUUCUCUCCUCUUCUUCUUUCUCUCAGCCCUAUAUAUAUUAUUAUUCACCUUUCUUUUUCACACACUUUUUUUUAUCUUUCCCAACCCCUAAUUUUCAUUAUGGGCCCAAUCAACAUUAUUACUAAUCAAACUCCUCCUUUUUUUUCUUAUAAAAACAAUACAAUUGAAUCCAACACAAAAUAAAUUAUUAUAUACACAAUUACUCUCUUUUAUCUUCAUUUCGAAAAUAAAUUAUACGGAACAUUAUUUUUCAGUUAUAUAUUAUACAGCAUCAAUCAUUAGAAACAGUUAUAUAUUGCAACUAUAUUAUUCUUUAUACAUUUAUAUUAUAUAAGCAGAUGAACAUUUAUCCAUAAUAGUCAACGUUCUUUAAAAAUAUUUAUAUGUUGUUUUGAUAUUUAAUAAUUAAUUUUAUGAGAAUUUUUAAAUUCAAUUAAUUAAAUUGUGAAUUAAUUUUAUUAUAUAUAUAUAUUAAAACGGUAUGGGGAAAAUAUUACAUUAUUUGCAGUUAAUUAUUCAAAUAAAUUAUUAUUUUUUUAAAUAUUUUUAUAAUAUAAUUUCCAAUUUUACAAAAUAAAAGUUUAUAAUUAAUCAUCUUUCAAUUUUUAUUAUAUUAAUUCUUAUUAAAUUUUAAUUAAGAAUAUAAUUCAAUUAAUUAAUUUUUUAUUUUGUCAGAUCAAUCUCAUCAACUAUAAUUUAUUUGUUUAUUUUUCUUUUCACUUCCUCUUCCAUCUAAAUAUUUAAAAAAAAAAAAAUCAUAAAACUCAAAACUACACAAUAUCUUAAAUGCUAAAAUGUUUAGGAGGAGGGAGAGUUGAGGUAAGGAUAUAAUAGUAAAUUAAUGUGAAUUUUAUUUUGUCAACUUUUGUGUGUGAAAGUGAUGGUUGUUUUAAAAAUCAAAACAAUCUCUUGUAAUGGGAUCAAAUUGAUGAUUGUUCAACAAGGGAUGUAAGUGGACAAAAAGAUAAACAACUACCCCAUGUUUGCAUAGCUCAUGAUAGUGCCCAUCUAUCAAUAUCUGAAUUACAAAUUAUUUAGAGCAACACAAAGAGAACAACUUUAUUAGAUGCAGAUAUGAUUCUUCAAAAAGAAAGAGAGGGGGAACUAUACCAUGUUUUUCUUUUCUCAGAAAUCUCACAUGGAAUAAAAAUUAACAAUCAUACUGAUAAGAAAUUUCUGUACAAAUUAAAGUUGACUUGUAUAAUAUUCUUAAAAUAAGAAUUGAGAUAUGAUAUAUGAAAAAAAUUAUAAAUUAAUUUUAUCUGAUGAAAAUAUCUUCGUGUACUUCAAAACAGAGAUCCCACUGAAGUUACCUUUCAGAACUUUUAGGCAAUGAAUCAUUCCUUUUUCGGCAGAAGAUGUCACAGAUAAAAAUAGUCAUUGCAUACAGAAGAAAAUAACUCUAAAACAUUUUUCUAACAUGAAUGUACAAUUUUUCUUUGACAUUGGUUAUAAACUUCUACAGUAAUUCAUCAAACAUAAAAAUGAACCGAAACAAAAUAGAUUUCAUUCCUAAUUGGAUCAAUUUUAGAACAGGAUUGGAAGUAUCAUUCUCUAAUUCAUCCCAUUCUCACUUCUAUUAUGGUUCUGAUUCCAAAAAUUAAAUUAAUCACUCAUUGUACCAUACUUACCCAGACAAAGGAAUAAACAACCUCCAAAGAAAAUCAACCUGGACUUUAAAAGGCAAUUCUUGAAGAAAACGAACAAAUUUUCCUAGACUACCAUAUUACAACAUACACUGUACAAUUGUAGAAUUGACAAUCUACAGCGUCCGUUUCCUUCAUUAUUCAUUUAAGUUGGUUGGUACAAAAUCAGUUUUCCUGCUUUGUCAUCAAAACCUUGACUUCUACGCACGUUUGCAUAGAAUCUGGUAAAACAAAAUAAGUUAUUUGCUUUGUGCGCAUCCGCAACUGCAAUUCUCAAGUUCUUUGUGAAGCUUCUGAAAGAGGGUAAAAAAAAUUUGUUAUCAAAACCAGCAGUUAACUAAUGCCUGAAUUAUUCUGUGCAAUUCUUAUCCUUCAUAAGUAAAAUUCUUUAUAAUACAGAUAAGUAAUACAAUUCAGGAAUCAUGAUUAAGGAGACAACAAUCUACUCAGUUAGGAAACUCAACGUGACUUUUCACAUCCAGUCCUUUCUUAUUCUACUUUAAAAAAAAUUACAGCUUCAACUUAGCUUGUACUUGGAGUGCGACAGAAAUAUCAUAUUGAUAAAACAAAAUUACAAAAUUAUACAAGUUAUGAAGGUUGGUUGUAUGAAUAUAAUUUUCAAUAAAGGAUGAUGCUACACAUAAAUAAAUUAUGUACAGAUAAAUAUUGAUUAAGAGGAGUAAUGUAAUAGAAAGAGAUAAAGUAAUAGUAAAUAUUGGAUUUUGAAGUGAUUCUAACUAAGAUGUCAGCCUAAUGUCUAUCUAAAAUGUCAAAAUUUAUAGUGAUGUUUAAUAUGACUUUUUUUUUAUAAAAAAAAUAAUAGUAAAUAACAAACAAUUAGUCAAAAGGACUAAACCUCUAUAGUAAGACGGUUCAUGAAAUUAAUAAAAUAGCAAUUUUAUCCCUGAAAAUGUACAUUAUCUAUAAAUUUAGUCUUCCAAAUUGUAAUAGAAGGUAAAACUAAUUCUUGAAAUAAAUAAAAUGAAAAGUCCUUAAAAUUUUAAAUUACCAAUCAAUUUAGUCUUUCAAAUUGUAUAAGAUAAACCCAACCUUAUGCUUAAAUUCAUUUUUUACCCUUAUCUAGGUUUAUAUUUCGCUAGUAAAUUAAAAAGAAUUAAGUACAAUUAAAUAUCUAUACUUAGGAGUUGAUUUGUUUUACCAUUAUAAUUUUAAAGACUAGAUUAAUUGGUAAUUAAUUUUUAAGGAUCAUACUAUCUUUUAUCUUUCACAUAUCAAUUUGACCAUCUAUUAUGUUUUAAAGGACUAAAUUGAUAAAUGUACAAUUUCAAGGACUGGCUUACUAUUUUAUUCUAUUACUUUUAAAGAACAAUUUAAAAGAUUAUUACCGUUUUAAAUAAUGCAUUAGUAGUCUCCUCUUGUAAAAAGUGUAGUAAAGGCUUGUUGUUAGUGUAUUACAGCUUAUGGUAAAUAUAAAAUAUUACAGUGCCCAGUAUGCAACAAAAAGAUCAUUAUGCGAGGUUAUCCUUGAUGAAACCAGCUGGCUGACAUACACAUUCUGUUUUAAGUGUACACUUAACUAUCAAUGAACAUUGACAUUGCACACUGGGUAUUGACUAUAGCAAGUUAAUACCAUUGAGAUUGCAAAGAUUAGCACCGUCACAAUUUUGUCUUUGUCUUUGGUCUUGACUCCCAAAUGAAGACUUUUCAAGGCAACUUUUGACAGAGUCACUUCAACGUCGACAAUCUUCGAAUGUAGUAGUGAUCCAAACGAUGUUCAAGGACUUAGAGGUCCGAACAGCAAGGGAAGUUAAAACUAGUUUACCAUGUUCCAUUGCCCCUCGUAAAAAGACAAAGUUGUUGAAGUUUGUAUAACUAUCCAAGGAAAGAAAGUGACUGUCUGAAUCCUAUUGGAGCAAUAGUGCGAUUCCGGCAGCUUUGGAGAAGGGAGAAGAGUUAAGGGGUUGAGACUGGGAUUAUUGGCUCCGGGGAUGGAAAACUAUUAAUUCUGACAACUUGUAUAAGACGUGUUGCACGCGCAAGACAUGGAAGAAUGGAGAAUAACUCAGGUAGUCAGAAGCAUUAGCCCUAGCCAAGGUAGAAGAGAGAGUAUGAAGUUGGGCUAUAAUGAUUUUGUUGUGUUCCUUUGCAAUCAGAAACUUUGUUUAUUUAAGAUAUGGUUUAUGUUAGUUGAUUUAGUAUGUUAUAGAAGGCAGUGGUGAUUGGCUGACGGGUUAAUGAUGAUGGCUAGAGGUAUUUGGCUUGCCAGUGUGGAAAGGUGCUUACCACGUGAAAAAAAAGAGCGUUGUUUGAAGUGGCCAGAUAGCAUGGCAAGCUCAAGGGAAGACAGUAACAUUGCCCUAUAUCAACAAGUUGUUUGUUUUUCAAGAGCUUACGCACGUUUUAUUCCUAAGCUUGAUAUUGCACUAUUUUUCCAUCAGCAGCCGAGGAAUCUCCAGGCCUCACAACCAUUACCAAUUUUUUUGGAUUCUACAGGGAAAUUAAUUGGUGGAGACGUCUGAUAUGAAAUUCCUACGACGAAGAAAUUGGGGAUGCAUUUGGUCAUGUAUGUUGGGACGAUUUAUCAGACAGAAAGUGGCCCUCUCUCGCAUUUCAGUCAAGGGGUCAGAUUUAUGUUUGAUACGCACAGGUUAAAGCAUUCAGUGUUUCUGCCUUCUAAUGGGCUCUAGAACUUGUUAAUACGCUACAUUUUCCUCUAGCAAUUAAUUUAUAGAUUACUUAAUUUGAAUAUUUCUUCUAAAAGUAACAACAACUCCACUAAGAUCCCAUCAAUAGUUCAGAUUCAUCCAGUAAUUAGCAUUUAAUGAAGGACAAGUUCACUUAAUACUCCUCAUCCACAAGGGGUUGGUAAAAAGCCUAACACCACAAUAGAGAUAGACAUAUAAUCUGAAUAGCAGAUUCAUAUAUCGGAAGCAUUUAAUUCAUAAUUCAUGAACAGGCAUGGGAGUGAAAAGUAUUGGAGAGGGAAGGGUAGUUUUACAGACCUGAACCUGUGUUUGAAGACCUUUAAUAUGCUGAACGGCCAAAUCAAGCAUGUCUGCAUAGCUUGUUUGCUACAACGAAUAUUGAAACAAGAUUAAGAGAUAAGUAAGAGAGAGUGGUUUGACAUAGCAAAAGAAGGAGGCAGAAAUAGAAACAAUACCUUAUCCAUAUUAGGUACAAGGUCCUGCAAUUUCUUGAGCUUUCCACUUAUUCUGGUUCUUCUCUCCUGCGUGUUGAAUUGGACGGAAUUGAAUAGAAGAAGGAGGAAUGAAUGAGAGUGAAAAAGGUAGGAGUAGGUGAGUAAUUACCCGCUCUGCAAUGCUGCGGGGAUGAGUAGCGCAGCCUCGCUUAGCGCGGAUUUUGCAAGGGACGGAAUCUUCAGGAAUGUGCAGGAGCUUCUCAACCGUCGCCAUUUCGAGAGUGGUCUGAGGAAGACUGAACUGAGACUCCAAGGCGUUGAGGCAAUGGAGAAUGUCUUGAUCGGCGGAGUUGGAGUUUUUGGAGCGCUUCGGCGGGGGAGUGGAAAAGGCGAUGGAAUUGGAAUGAGAAUGAGAACCGUCCCACGGCUCCAUUCCGAAGCCGGCAUGGUCGCCGAGCACCAAAUUGUUACUGUUAUCGCCGCCACACAGAGAUUCUUGGCAGUGACCCGUGAAGCUCAACUGCGACUUCAACCGAGAGCCCCGCGUGAUGGUGAACCCCGCGCCUGCGUCGCGUUCGGCAAAAAUCAACCACGUGGACAGACAACUGGGCCGGGCCCGCGUGGGCCCGGCCCAAAAGGAUCAUUUAGAGUAAUAAUAAUAAUAAUAAUUCAGGAAGAGUAAGUUAGUUACCAUUGAGCGUGUGGUUGUGGUUAUGGUUGGUGGUGGCGGCGGCGAGGUGGGAGAGGAAGCCGGCGGGAGAGCUUUUUUGACGGAGUAAGGCGGAUCCGAGGGCGUGGUUGUGAUACGAUGUUUGGUCCUUGCUGGUGGAGUCGGGAGAGUCUCCUCCGGAAUAGUAAGGGGUGGGGUUGGGGCGUGAUCCUCCGAUGAGGGCGUCGACGGUGGUGGUGAGGAGAGAGCCGGGAGCGGAGCCGUAGCGCGUGAGGCCGGUAGGCGCGUGGCUCAUGGAUUGAGAGGAGGAGGAGGAGGAAGAGGAGGAGGAGGAGGGAUACAUGGAGGAGAAAGCAGAAGAAAGCAGAAGAAGAAGGUUUGGUUUGGUUGGGUUAGAAAAAGAAGGUGCAAUAAGCAAUUUAGAUAGAGAUAGAUGCGAUGGCAUUGGUGGGUGUAUGCCACUUGUGGAAUACUUUAAGGCUGCAUCAGCAUUCUGCAAUUGUAUUGGCUCAGUGCCAUUUGGGUCACGUGCCACUUUUUUUUCAACCACGUCCCCAUUCAUGGAAUCAGAAUCUUUUCAUUCCUUCUCCCUUCUUUUUUUUUCUCAAUCUUUAUAUUUCGAAUCAAUGGAUGAUUUGAAUUCUGAUUGCUGCACUUAACGGGUACGGGUUCGGGUACGGAUACGGGUACGGGUAUGGGUUUCGCUCUCAGAAACCUGAGAUGGUUGAGCUUGGUGGUCGGAGUUUCCAACAUGGCGGUGCUUCUCAUGGGUGCCUUCCUCAUCUUCCAAAUUCACCUCCUCUGCCAAGGCCGCUUCGCCGUUCCAUUCCUCCUCGUCUCCCUCGCCGCUCCCAUUAGGGUUGUGGUCAUGUUCCACACCGCAUUCGCCCAGCAAGCCGCUGCCACCCUCAUUCUUCAGGACUCCAACGAUCUCCUCACGCGCUUCCGCAGACGGGUGGGUAAUCCCAUCUCCUCCUCUUUUUUUCAAUCUUCAUUUUCUCAUCAAUCAAUCAACAGGCCAUGUACAAGAAAUGGCUCUGCUGGAGUCGAUCUUCCGCCGUCGUUAUCGUCCUUCAAUUUCUCCUUGCGCUUUACCUUGUUCUCCACUCUAUGCGCCAUUUCACCUCCAACAAUCAUUGUCUUUUAGGUAGGUGAGUCAGUUCAGGAACCCACUCUUCUCCAUCCUUCUUUCAGCCCGUUCAUCCUUCAAUCUUAACCAUUCAAAUGCAGAUUCCCCGUGGAACAGCACCUGUUUAUCCGUAUUCAUCAUCCUCGUCUCUUUCGUUGCCGUACUCCAGUGCUUCACGGGAUCCGAUGUUAUCAAAUGGAGGUCUUUCUAUGAAACCCAUGAUCACGCUUGGAAAUGCCACUAUGUCGAGGUCUUCGAUAAUGGCAUACGUGAGACCUUGUGUUGUCUGGGCCGGGUCAAAUAUUUGUAUACACCUAUUACUUGACCUUACCUACGCACAAUGUUUAUCACUCUAUCUUACCUCUGCUCCUUUUAUAACUAACACAGGGGUGCAGCCGAAGAAGAUGAAGUCUAUUCAGUUGCACGAUUACUGGGUGAUCUUGUUGCUUAUCGUGCUUCCGGAACUGGCCAUUUGGAACUCUUGGCAGGUUUCUUCUAAUUUUUUAUCUCAAACUUGUUGCCUUUUUAUGCUUUAUAUGUCAUACAAUUAGGAUGACGUGGCAUAUUAGUGCAAUAAUGUUGACCCCGCCAAUUUUUCAUUAGGAAUACAGCCUGAACCAAUUUAGUUUCACCUGCAUGUUAGCUCUUUGUAAUUUUAUGACAUUGAGUUUUUGUUGUUCAGCUUUAGCUUUACUUCAAAGCCAUGAAAAAUCUACAGAAUCCUAUGAAGGAUCCAUGGAAGCGCCAGAGAUGCGAAUUAGGGAGGCUGAAGCUCUUCAUAAAUUUGCUGAAGCUGCAUACACAGUAUUACUAUAAUAAACUAAUUCUAAAUUAAUGUUUUGUUUUUACUAAAUUGUUUUGAGCAUUUAUUUUGCAUUCAAUGAUGAAUACAGGGUCCAUUGCUUGAUGUUGGACGAAAUCCAUUAUUAUUUCCUUGUGCGUGGCUGUAUAGACAAGGGAUUUUGUCUCCUUGGACCCGAAACAGGUGGCAUUUUGUUUCGAUAUUCUGUUUUAAGGUCUUUAUAAUCGAAUUCUUACUUUGUCAGUAGCACGAGCUUUUUAAUGUGAGUGCUAUUGGUUGAGUAUUAUACCUUUGAGGUCAAGGUGGUCUUGAUACUUGUUCUUUGUUGUAACUUCGAAAUGAUAUAUAAACUUCAAACUGUAUAUUGCUUAUCAAUGCAAGGUGUGUGGAGGGUUGUACUUUCUCCGGUUUGACUGAUCCUCAAGUUUUUCCUUUCCAUUCAGUGUCUCUAAAGUGAUGCUUUCCCCUCAUCUUUAUAGCUUUUUCCUUAUCUCUGUUGAUAUUUCUUUCAUCUUAAGAAAUGAAAAAAAUUAUUAUUUCCUUGUAGUUUGAUUUAUUAAAUUGAUACAAAAUAUGAUGUAUCCAAAUAUGUUAGCUUGCUAGAAAAGUUUAAGUUCGUAUGAACCGUUGUGUACUCAUUUUGUUUAUUGGAAAUUUUGAUAGAAGAGUCAAAAUUGUGUUUCUUGAUUUUAGUUCUGGGAAGGGAGUCACUUCCACUUUUGAGGUCUAUGAUUUUUUUGUGCCUUGCAACGUUGAACAAUUUCAUGAAUCAUGAAACAAAAACAUUAUAGUCAAAGUUCUUAUGUUAGUGGUGAAUCUUCAACAACAAAGUAAAUGUGAAGAACGAAGAAUAGUGAAUGACUGAAUUGGGAAAGGAGAGGCUAAAAGAAUAUGCGAACAAAAGAAGAAAUGGCUGAUGAUGUACUUGCUUUUACUCAAUUACCACUGUGCAUGCCCGAGUGUUUACAAUAGAAGUUUCUGAAUGGUUGUUGAUAUUUUUAUUUAGAACUUAUUGGCGCUCAGGCAUAUUGAUUUAUAUAUCUUUGGUUUUCCUGUAUUCUGUGUCUCCAUGUCUCCCUUUCCGUUACAUCUUUUUCAACUUACAAAUUAAAAAGUUUCAUCUUCGACAUUGUGAUUUCAUGUUCCUGUUUCUUAUCUUCUUAGACGACCUGUAUUGGAUGGUGAUAACUGGUGGCGAGGUCAUGCUGCGGCCUUUCUAAAGUACAUCAAUUUGCCUCCAGAAGUGCUUAGACAUGGACGAGUCAGCCAGGUUAGACGUGGAAACGAAUAAAGUUCUGUACAAAAACAUUUUAAUAAAGUAUAGAGGGCAAGAUGGACAUGAAUAUCUGUAAUAAUAAAUAACAUUGUCUAAAAUAUGUUGCCUCCAUUUAUGUUGUAAUUUUAGUUACGGGAGCCCAUCAUCAAUAACAGAAUACUCACCAAAAAAGGUAGAUGUCACGAACCAACAAUAGUAUGAUUAUUUUGUUUAGUUUGAUCAUGUGAUCGAUGGAGAAUUUUCAGAACUUCAAUUUAUUUUAAAAUUUCCUUUCCAAACUAUAUAUUUUGUCAUUAAACAUUCAAAAUUUUAUAUAAAGUUGAAUUACCCUCUAAAUAUCCUCAUCCAAACACACUAUUAGGUUUUGUUAAAAUCAAGGAAGGGAAGACUUUAUAGCAAAUUAUGUCCUCUAUUUUGUGUUAAGCCCAUUCCCUCUCCAAAGCCGUUUCCCUUAAUAUAUAUUGAAGUCAGCACGCUCGUUUGUGUGUUUGCUAAGCAUGAUAUUGUAUAUGCUAUUUUUUUGGUCAUUUAUCUUUCCUCCAUUCAAAUAUCUCUAAUCUCUCAAAGUGUGUAAAAUAAAUUCGAUUGAGAGUGGCUUUUUGGAGCAUACUCGAUCUUCUUUUGCAAUCUUAGUUUAAGAAAGCUUGCUCAUUAGGCUAGUCAUAUCUCAUUUAUUGAAUGCAAUGUUUCUUUGUAAAGUGGGUUUUUACUUUUUAACAUACUAAUUUGAUAAAUAUGAACAUAACAAAUGAACUGGUAAGUAUAGAUUUAUUUAUGAACUUAUGUAGAUUUUGGUUUGAUCAGGGGGCUACUUUACGUACAAUGUAAACUGACUGACUACCCCAUUUUUCUUUUCAUUUGAACUCAUCAGUCUAUGUCCUUGUAUUUUGAUUCCUAAUGGUUGUAAAUUUUUAAUUUUAAAAUGUGGCGAAACUCAGCUCUAUCCAACUUGAGAUGAUAAUAUACUAAAUUUAUGUAUGAUUUAUGAAUAUUUCUGUUUUUAUACUAUACUGGCUUAAUUUAUAUUUAAUUAUUUAGAUACCCAUGCCAGGUCAAGUGUCAAGCUGCAUAUUUUGUUGUGGUUCUACAUCAUCUACAAACUGUAGUAAUUGCUAUACGUGGAACUGAAACCCCAGAGGACCUAAUAACUGAUGGGUUAUGCAAGGAAUGCUCCCUUUCUGUAGAUGACUUGGCUGGCUUGAUCAAGUAUUUUUCAUUCUUCCUCCUUUUGUCCCCUCUGAGCAUUUUCACAAACAAGUAGAUAACCCUAGGGUGGUGGUGAAACGUUGCUAAGAAUUCCCAAUUAAUUCAAUUCAUUGAUAAAAUUCACACAGGUUGUAAACAUUGUAAUACACUAGUACCUACAGCUCAUAACACAUAUACUGAAUGUACAUACAAGGUUUCCUUGAAAAGGUGACGGGGUGAAAGAGUCCAAUAACAAUUGCUUUCAACUUUCUUUUUAAUGUCAGUUUAUCAGCAUCUAUCCUUAUAUCCUGUUUGGGUUAUGAUAGAAAGAUGAUUACUUUGUUGGCAAAUGCUGUGUUGUUGAAUAGUACAUGUAUACCGAUGCUAAUGAGUAAUGACAUCCCUAUUAGUUAUAAACUGUUUAUAAACAAAGGCUAAUGAGUAAUGACAUCCCUAUUGAGUUACUUUUAUCUGCAGAAAUCAUCUUCUCUAUAUACCUUAUAGUUUCAGUUCCAAUGUGUAAUAGUUUUAUAUGGGCCAAGCUGUAUAGAUCCUUUCUAUGGUCCAACACAAUAUUCUGGUCCCUCACUUCAAUAUUUUAUGUUCUGUUUGCAGUUGCAACUACAUUCAUUAUGAUAUAAAGAAAAAUGUGGCUUCAUCAUUCCCCCACUAUGGGCAUUCAGGCAUAGUUGAAACUGCACGAGAGCUUUUUAUGCAGAUUGAAGGAAAUCCUGAAAGGCCUGGUAAGAAAUACUUCAGGUUUUUUAAACUCGUGGUUCUUUGUUCUGGAGAGUUGGUCAUAUCAAACUGUUUCUUCUUCCUCUUUCCUACGCCAUUGAGGUAAUUAAGUAGGAAGCUGGGUAAGGAAUAAAAAGGGGAAAGUUUUUAUUGGGAUGCAUAAAAAUGCGUUCUCUUAUGUUUUUCUAGUACAUUCUCACAUGAUUUGUUAUAAAAACUUUUUUCUUUUAAUUCCUUAAGCAGUGUCCUUCCGCCACAUGUUAGCAAGACCCAUUAAGUAAAACAUAAUACCUUUUAUCAGUUCAAUGUAUGGAACUGAAAUUGUAUUUAAUUUAAAAGCAUUUGACUUGAUGACAUAAAAUAAAUUUCAUUUCUGACAAAAAUUGUUUUCGAAGUGGAAAUGCAGACUCUGAAUCCUAUGGACUUCUUUCUAAAUUACUGGGAUUUGGUUGUGAAUGCUUUGGGUAUAAUGUGCGGAUAGUUGGGCAUUCACUUGGGGGUGCUAUAGCGGCAUUGCUUGGAGUGCAAGUAUGACAUUUCUCACUUAAAUAGGAAUAGUUACUUAAUGUUCUUCUUUAGUAAACAUAAUUUGCUAUUUUGAUUGCUUCAGAGAACUAGGUAUUCAUUGAAAGUCUAUUAUGAAAAAAAAAAAUAUAGGCAAAACGAAUAUUCCUUGCUUCCUUAGGAAAUACAGAUUGUAGAUGCAAAUUUGAAGCUGGCUCGAGGUCACAAGCAUGGGAUUGAAUUCUGGCCUUAUCACAAUCUGCAAAUUCUCAAUUUCUGAAUCUUAAUGAGAUGUUACUCAAAUACAAGAGUUGUUACAAUUAAAACUAAAACCAGCAUCCAUCGAAAAAGAUUUGACUAAACAAGAGAACAAAUUUGGUAAUCGGAAGUAGAAAAGUUAUGUGGAAUAUAUAAAAGAAUUUCAUCACUGAGAAGUCGAAAGACUUAAUCUAAGACAUGUACAAAUCUAGAAUGUCAAACAGAAGCAUAAUUAUAAGAAUUCAUAUUCUAAAAAGAAAAAACAGAGAAACAUAAUAAAUAAUUAUAUAAUAUUUAUAUUAUUUAAUUAUAUUUGAUUCUAAUACUCAUGUUAGAUAAGAUUAAGGUGUUGUUUCAAAACUCUUUAAGCAUUGAAAACUAUGAAGGACUAAAAAAAAAUCAUAAAUUGAAGAUUAUUUAAUAAACUCAUGCGAACAUUUAUUUAGUCAUUAAAUCACCAUUGUUUCCUCUUGUAUUGCAUCAUUUAUUUUUUAAAUGCAUAUAAUUUCCUUCAAGUUUUGAACAUGCAUUCAGCACUUUUAAAAUUUUCCAUGCACUGUUUUGUCUUUUUUUAUGCUGCCGUCUUUAAGCAUUUGAUUUUAUAGCACCAAAUAAAUUCUGGUCUUUUCCACAGCUUUAUAACCGCUACCCUAAUCUGCACGUUUAUUCAUAUGGGCCACUCCCUUGUCUGGAUUUAGUUGUGGCAGAUGCAUGCUCAGAAUUUGUGACAAGGUAAUUGUACUAGUAAAAUGUUUGAUUUUGGUUGACUCUCUUUUGGUAACACUUUUAGUUUCCUUUCUGCUUGCUUUUAUUCUUUAUGAUGCAGUAUCAUAUUUGGAAAUGAAUUUUCAUCACGCCUUUCAAUUGGAUCCGUCAUGCGGCUAAGGGCAGGCGCAAUCACAUCACUAUCACAAGAUCCUAAAGCAGAUAGUGCCAUGAUUUUAAGACUUGCUCGUAGGUUUCUAUACCUAAGCAAAUAUCAGAGAAAUAACUCCAAGGCUGAGAAUGAAUCCGAGUAUCAUUCAGGGGCCAUCAAGGAUGAUCUAAACCAUCAAAUCCGAAGAAGCCAGUGUGAAACUGAUAACAAAGGUGUCUUAUCUUUAAUAACAUAGUAGGCAUGUUGGAGAAUAAAUAUGUCACCCUAUGAGUGUGGGAAAUAGUGUGCAUUCUUCCAUGAUUCCUCGUACUCAGUUUGUGAAAGGUGCUUUUUCUAAAAAGAUUUUCAUCAUUGCAACAGGCAGCAUUGAACAAGAGACUCAGACAAUUAAAGGGGGUUUUGCUAUAGCCGACUAUGGUGAAUAUAUGUCUUUUGAUAGUGAAGAUUGCUUCGACAAUGAGCAUGAAGAAUGCUCACUUUGGUCUGAUGCCAGGGCAAGGGAUCAUUCUGUUGGAAUUGAUAAUGCCAAAUUUACAAAUGCUUUUGCUAAAGAUGCACGUUCAAUUGAUGAUCCAGUGUCUCGGUUUAUAGAUACUGUUCCAGAUUCUGAAAAUCCGUCUUCCAAUGAUCCCCCGGAGCUGUAUCUACCUGGUUUUGUGAUUCACAUUGUACUGGAGAAGAGAAGAUCACAAUCUGAUCUAAGGACGCAGGAGAGCGAUAAUUGUUAUAAAGCUUACGUUGCAGAUAGAGAAAACUUCAAAGAUAUUAUUGUUUCACCAUCUAUGUUCCUUGAUCAUCUUCCUUGGAGGUAAGACAAAUUACAACCACAACCUUUUCUCAUUUCUAAAUUAAUAUCUUUGACAAGUUCUUACCUGAGUGUUGGACUUGGCAGAUGUCAUGAUGCCUUGCGAAAGAUAUUGAAAUCUCAAACUGCUAAAGAUCAACUAACAGAACCUCACAUCAUCUGAUACAACUUACUGCCAUUCAACUUCAAACCAUCUAUACCAUUUUAGAAAAGAGUUAAAUGUUCUUAUUUAUAUAUACCAUAUAUAAUUUCUGCACUUACGAGCCACGACAAUAAUUAUAAGUGGCUAGUGUUAUUACAUGAUCUGAAAGGGUAAUGUAUCAUAAUUAAUUUAAUUAAAUAUUAGCUGUAUUAUAAUUAUUUCGAUUACUGAUAAAUAAAUUGCAUUCUGAUUUAAAAGGAAAUUUGUACCUAUAUAGUAUAGACACUGACAUGAAUACCGAUACGAACACGGAGAUACGUCUAAUUUCUAAAAUGUAAGACAAGAGAAUACGACUAAUUUCUAAAAUGUAGGAUAUAGAGACACGAACAUAUAUAUAUAUAUAUAUAUAUUAUAAUUAUGAAUUAUAUAAAUUGACAAUAAAGAUUUAUGUCCACAAGUAUAUUUUAGUUUUUUUAUGAAAGACGUUUCUUUUGACUAGUUCAAAAUAAUUUGUUCCUUAUUUUUAUAGUCAUAAUAAAAAUUUAUACAAUAAGUUUGAGUUUUUAAAAAAUUAAUGUAUUUUUCAUUUUUAAAAUUGUGUUAAAAUAUGUUAGAAUUGUCAAAAUUUUAAUAAAUAUUUUUUGAAUUAGACAUUUUAUUGAUACAUGUUUUAUAAGUGUCAGUGUUCGAUCUCACAAAUUUGUAAUGUAAUUAUUUUGACUACCAUUAAAAAUGGAGCUUAAAUUGUAUUGUAAUUAAUUUUAAUUUGAUUUCUAUUAAGAGAUAAAUUAUUACAAAAAUUACAAUGUUGAAUUAUAUAACAAUCUAUACUUAGAUACAAAAAUAACUUUUUUGACACUACAGGUAAGAAAAAUAAAACAAAAUUCAUUUUUUUUAUUAGUUUAUUCGCAAAUUGAUUUAAUUUGUAGUAGUUUUUCUAUAUAAUUUUGUUCGCAAACCUUGGUUCUUGACGACAAUAGAAGAGCAUAAGCAGUUUCUGGUUUGAAAGUUUCGUGAAUGUGACUCUGGUGUGCAUCAAGUGAAUUAGUUUUUCUUUAUCAAUAAAAAUAAAUGAAUAAAAUGAGGUAUUUAUGCGAUGUCCCAAUCUUUGUAAAAAAGUCCAAAAACAGGAAAAGAGAGUUAAAAAAGAAAGCAGUUAAGAAUCUAUGACACCAGCACUAGCACUGAUUUUUUAUAGCAAAUUAUGCAGCAGCUGCAUUCAGAAUUAUGCAGCAAGCAAAAUGCAUCCAACAAAUGAGCUAGUUAGUCCGUUGUGGCAGGAAGUGACUGUUGAAGUUGAGUACUUAGAAGCUUUAACCAGUUUUGAUGAGUAAAAUGAAGAGCUUUUGAGGUCGUACGUCUUCAGUUCAGUCUCUUAAAAUGUACUACUAUCAGUAUCCUGCAUGCUGUACCUUCAUCCAUGAUCAAUGAUCAGAAAAGGAGGAAAAAAAAAAGGUAUUACAUAGUCGUAUUCUCGUGAUUAGUGUAUAAAAAGUGAAAGCCUGAUUCAAUGAAAUCAAAUAUAUAUGUUCAAACCAAAUCUAAAGUGAGCCAAACUUUGGAGUGCCACUGUGUGGUUUUGACAAAGCAUGUCAGACAUCACGAUGAUGUCUUGUAGUUGAGCAGGCAUAGACCUUAAGAUUCUGUCUAUUCACAAAGUAACAUCUUUGGAGUAGCAUUAAUCAUACCAACCAAUAACAAUUCACUGUGGUGGUGGGGUUCAUGAUCCAAAUAUCAGAAUUGAAGAUGAUCACUACAAGAAAAGUGCAUGAGGCAAAGCAGUGAUUUAUAAAUAUGAGCACAUAAGCCACAUGUUUGGCCCUUAAACCAGUAAAGUUACAUUUUUAACUUGAUACCAAAUAUGCAGAUAGGUGAAUUUUGAAACUAUUAUUUACUCAAAAGUAUUAGGCCCCACAUGAAGAGUAGAAUUAAUUUUGUUUUGGGUGAUGCAAAGCUGCAUAAGAUCCGAAUAUAGCUUUUAUUGGGUGUGAUAGAAUGAUUUUAUCUGUUGUGGGAAAGCCAUCAUUUUCCACUUUUAUUGAACCUGCAAAUGUAGCAAUGAUUCAAGGGAAGCCAUGUAUGAAAAAUAACCAUGGCUUGUUCAUUUGUCUUCCUCAACUCCUCAAAAUUCUAAUCUCAAAUGCUCUUUGAUCACUUCAAAACUAUCUAGCUACACCAUUUUAUAUAUACUCACAAGAAACUUGGCAGAAUGAGUAAAUCCAGAUGAGAGGAAACAUAAUUUACCUUACUGAUAUGUUUGCUACAGUUUUAGCAAGUAGGGCCCUCUAAUAAAAACGUUUUCAAGACAAACUUGGCCACGUGAUGACUUUUCUUACCAACACUAUUUGACCAAUAAUUGUUCACAUGACAUUUUCUUGUAAUCCUAAUUUUGUUAAUGUUAAAAAAUUAUUAAAUACAAACUAAUUUUAAAAAUUAAAAUAAUUAAUUAUUAUAUUUAUUAAAUUAGAGAUUUAUUUAACAACUAAAAGAAUUUAUUUGUAUCUUAUCAAAAUUUUAACUAUUAACUAUUUUAUAUUCUAAAUUAGUUUUUAUUAAAAUCUAAAAUAUUAAUAACUUUGUUAAUUUAAAUACUAUUUUAUAAAUUUUUAUUAAUAAUAGAAAAUAUUUUAAAUACAAAUAUCUUUUUAGUUUUUAAAAUAAUAUCUGAUUUAAUUAAUAUAGUGAUUAAUUAUUUUUUAUCACUAAAUUUAAUUGUUAUUCAAUUAUUUUGUUGUGUCUACUUGUAUGUAGAUUUUAGAUGCAUGAGGUCAAAUUUGGUGAAUUGGAUAAGGUUUGAUGCUUGCUUGGAAGGUCACUUUCUCUUUAUUACUUUGUGUACUACAUGUUGUCAUUGAUUAUACAACCUCAUAUUUUAAUGUGUUAUAUACUAUCAUUGGUUGUUGUAUAAUACAAAACUCAUAUUCACCAUGCAAGCCUGCACUCAUUAACAUUCAAAGUAAGAAAACACUUUCUUGUUGUAGUGAUAAAACUGUAAGAUAAGAAAAUAAAACACUUUCAAUAAACAUGAGUUAGAAUAUUGGUUAGUUCCACACUAUGGCUGCGUCUAAGGUUAAAAAAGAGAGAUUUGUUGAAAGUAAAGUGAAGAGUGAAAUAGAGAAUUCAGUGUGAUUUUUGGAAUAAUCAGAAUAUGACAACUUGUUUCAUAACAUGUUGCUUUUCUAAGGAACUUCAUAAAUUGAUUGCUGUCCUUAUCUCCACUCUCGCAAACACAACUUUUGUAACACCACUGAAAAUUAAAUAAUUCAAAUUGCACUUUUCUUGCAAACACAAAAAAUCAUUUCAAGUUUUGAAAAAUGAAAUAACAUCAAAGAAGUUUAUGAAGUGGAAGCAAAUACAAAAUUUUGAACCCAGCUUUAUUUUGGGUCAAUCUAUAAUUCACCUUUUGAAAAAUGAGAAAGUAAAAAAAGAGUAACAUAGGAUACCAAGUGAGUGAGGUGAAUAAAAGUUGUGGUAAUUUGAUAGAUUUUGAAAAUUGGAGGAGCCAAAGACUUUUCAAUAUUCAAAUUCGUCUGCUUGGUUAAGGACAUAAGAGAAAUAAAAAUAACCAAAAUGUGGGUCCAAUCAUUUUAUUAAAAUAUAUAAUUUGUUUUCUUUAACUUGCUUUUUAAGAUAUAUAGUAAUGUUUCAAUUAUUGAUGAUCUAUCUCAUCGCAAUAUUCUUCACCUCAAAACCUUCUAUAGGUUCAAUAUUUCUAUUCCUAAACCUGCUUUUACUUUUUCCUAUUUAUUCUUUGAAAAAAAUACCAUCACAUGACUUGGUUCAACAUUUUAUAUGAAACUUUUGUAAAAUCAUGAUUUAAUCUAACAUCUAAUGUGCAGUAGAAGAAUCAUAAGGGUUUGCAUUAAAGUGAUAAAGGGUUUGGUUGUAAUAUUGAAAUAAAAGAGGAAAUGAAUGAGUUGAUGGCAUACAGAUGCAAAGCAUAUGAAUUAUUAAAGGGUAGAUAUAAAAAACUAGAAUGAAAACGACAUCAUAUACUUUUAUGUUUUUGUCCACCAACAUGAUUGAGUCAUUGAAAAUGGUAAAAAUGGAAUGAGAAAGAAGAAGGGAAAUUAAUUGGGAUAAUGAUGUUAUGCCAUCUUUCCUGUUCUAUGUCGGAGCUAUAAGAAGCAUCAAAUCUACGAAAUACCAUCAAUAAUACAAAUCUUAUUGCUCACUACAACUUCAUAAUAGAUUCAAAUUAAUGCCUUCUUAGAAGGUACACUUAGAUGCAUGUUUUUCUUUUUUUUCAUACAGAGUUUCUGUAUACCUCUCAAUUACAUAGCGUUUAAUAUUAUAUUUAAGACACAUAGAUAAAUUAUAGAUUAUUAAAGAAAGUUAUUAUUAUAAAAUUUGUUUAUAUUUUAGGAUAAUAAUUUUAUGUUUUUCUUAAUAGUUUGAGUCUAACGAGAAUUAUAAAUAGGUGGUAUAUAAUUCUCAUGGUUAGAAAAGAUACUAAACUCUAUUUUAUACUUUUAACUUUUUAUUAAGAAUCGAUCAUUAUUUUUAUAUUCUUAUUGACUUAAGCAUCUUAUAAGAAAAAUGAUAAAAUAAUAGUAAGAGGAAGAGAUAUUUUUUUUAUUGUAUAUUCAUGUAUAAGAAAUAUACAGGGAGUUUCUCUCCCCAAAUUACAAUCAAUCUAUAUAGGUAGGAUACUAAUUAUGAGAUUCCUAUCAUUAUUAAAUUAAUUGUAUAUAAUUAAGUAUAAUAUCGUGUAAUAUUAUAUACAAUAAUUCCAUAUAAUUUGAUAAUUAUUAUUUUUUAAUACAUUCUAAGUAAUAUACUCUUAUUGACUUAAUCUUCCGAAAGUCUUUGAAGAUAUAUCGUCACAGCGUUAAUAACAUCAACAUCUGUUUAGUGAUCUGUAGCUGAGCAGUCACAUUGUGGAAGAACAGGUGGAUGAGUGUUAUCAUUUAUUCAACAAACGUACAUGUUUAGGCUACCAUUAACAAGUCCCUCCCUCACCUAAACUCCAAUUUUAAAACAAACAUCACAAGUUUUGGUUUACCAUAUGAACUAUACAUGUAAAAAACAAAAGUUUGAGGUUGCAAGUGUUGGUGUGAAGUUGCUGAAAGUGGUAAAAGACAGAGACAUGCAGAAGCAGGAAGAUGAGGAGAGAGAAUGGAUCGGACAAAAAAUGUUGAAAUUGCAUAGUUUAAGGUGGUGGUGGGCCCCGGCGGCGGAGGGAAGAAGACAUUGUGCUUUUUGCUUUGGUUCCAUUCCAUCAUGCACGUGGUCCACGCCUUCUUAAUUAUCUUAUUAUGCCCUCUCUCACACACUAACAUUUUUCUCUUAUCAUGCUCAUACAUACACAUAAAACCAAAAUGUUUCUCAUUUUCUACAAAAAUUUUCAUCAUCAAACACAAUCAUUAAACAGUGCAGCGUUGCCUUUUUCAUCAUAACAGCUGUAUGCAACUAUAUAUAUAUAUAUACCAUUAAUAUUUAUCCACCCUAAAUCAUGACGUACAUUUUUUCAAUUAAAGAACAAAAAUGCAAAUGAAAUUAAUUUGAAGCUGAAAUUAGCUAAAAGCAAGCAGCAUAAUUGUGCAGUUGGAAGAUGACAGCAGCACUUUUGGUGGUAUUAUUGGGUAACGAAAAGGAAUGGUGGAGCUAAUAAACUUGGUGAGAAGUCAUAAUGAAGUUCAUAAUUUCAAACACCCACAAAAUGAUCCAAACACUUUGUUGAAAGAGGGUAGAAUGGAUAGAGAGAUGAUGUUGCUACUAAUAGUAUGUAUGUAUAAACCCUAAUCAGUGAAGACAGAUAACAGCUAGCUAUGCACAUAUAAUAAUAAAAAUAAAAGAUGGUAUUCUAUCUUCAUUCUCCAACCACAACCAAAUAAAAUAUAUGGUUGGAGAUCUCACAUCGACUAAAGAUUAGAGUCUUUCGUAGUAUAUAAGUGGGUGUAAAUCUCACCUCAUUGAGCCGGUUUUAUGAAAUUGAGUUAGACUUAAAGUUCACUUCGUAAUAUGGUAUAAGAGUCAUUUCGAGCUUAUCCUAGCGAGUGUUUGUGUUGAGCCUAACGUGUCACCCGCUAUAUAUAGUCUCACGCACGGGUUGGUAGUCGCGUGAGGGAGAUGUGUUGGAGAUCUCACAUCGAUUAGAGAUUAAAGUCUUUCAUAGUAUAUAAGUAGGUGCAAACCUUACCUCAUUGAGUCGGUUUUAUGAAGUUGAGUUAGGUUUAAAGUCCACUUCGUAAUAUAUAUCACUUUAGAGACUAAAAAAAUUAAUGAUAUUUAAAGUAAUUUCUAUUAUUAUUAAUAAAAGUUUAUAAAAUAAUUUUUAAAUUGAUAUCUAAUCAUUAGCUCUAAGAUUUUAUCUACUAAUAUCUUAGAUUCUAAAUUAGUCUCUAAAAGACCAAUUGAGAUCAAUUUAAAAUAUAAAAUAUUAGUAGCUAAAAUCUUAGUUAAUUUAGAUACCAAUUUAAAAAUUAUUUUAUAAAAUUUAAUUAAUAAUAGAAACCACAUUUCAUACAAAUAAUUUUUUAGUUUCUAAAUUAGUUUAUAAUUUAGUUAAUAUAAUAAUUAAUUAUAUAUUUUUUUAAAAUUUAAUUGUUAUUUAAUAAAUUUCUACCUACAAAAUUAGCCACUAUACAAGUCAUUUCGAUUGUUAUUUAAAUUAGCGAUUGAGUUUCGUUGUCAAAAGUCUAAACAUAUAUUUAAUAAUGGAUCGUUAGGGUAUAGCUGUUGCUCAUGAGUGACCAAUGUUAUGUUAUUGCAAUUUGUUUCGUUAUUUUAAAUAUAUAUAUUAAAACUAUUACAAAACCCCCUACUAUUUUUAAAAAUUAAUACAUUUUUAAGUCACUAAUUUAGUUGUAAAUUAUUUGUCAAAACUAGUUAUUUUGGUUGUUAUUUCGAUAGCUAUUUCUGAUAAUAAUUUAAUUUAAUAUGUGUAACACAACAAAAUUUAACCCUUAUAAUGACAUCCACUAUAUCUUACUUUAAACUUAUAACAUAUACUAAAAAUUAAAUGAAAUUGUUACAUCGUUAUAUGAACUAAUUAAAAGUGACAACUUAGAAAAACUAAAUAAAAAUCAGAAUUUCAAAUAAACUAACACUAAAAAUAAAUAAUAUCAAAAUUAAUUAGCCACUAUAUUAAUAAAUUAUAUAUUAAUUUAAAGAUUAAAAAAUUUAGUAUUAAUAAUAAAAUAUUAUAAAAUAAUUUUUAAAUUGAUAUUUAAAUUAGUUAUUAAAAUUUUAAUUACUAAUAUUUUAGAUUCUAAACUAGUCUCUAAACAACUAAUAGAAAUUAAUUUAGAACAUAAAAUAUUAAUAAUUAAAAUCUUAGUAGAUAAUAGUUAGAUAUCAAUUUAAAAAAUAGUUUAUAAAUUUUUAUUAAUAAUAAAAAUUAUUUUAAAUACCAAUAAUUAUUUAGUUUCUAAAAUAGUCUUUAAUUUAGUUAAUAUAAUAACUAAUUAUUUUAAUUUUUAAAAUUAAUUUUUAUUUAAUAAUUUUAAUUUCAUUACAAAUUUGAAGUGGUGCCGAUAAAAAAAAAAUUAAAAGUGGCAAGGAGUGAGAAAAUUAAAGGUGAUUUGUUAUUUUGUUAUUGGAAGAAUUUGCAAUUGUACUCAAUGGAGUAUUUUUUUAACAACGUGAAAAUAUACUUUAUUACCACUAAUUACUAAUAAAUAUAUUAGGAAAGAUAUUUGUUGUCUUCUUGUGUGAUUUCCUACACCUAAUUUAGAUGCUCAUAAUAUUUUUUUAAUAAAACAAUUUUAUCACAAUGCUGAUGACACAAAAAUAUAUAAAUUUAUUAAAUGAAACAAUUAAAAAAAAAUGCUAUAACAUAAAAGACAACAAGAAAAUAUAUAGUAGAAUCAUAUUGAAAGUCAUCAAUAUAAUCGUUAUGAGGAUCAUCAUAUCUUGAUUAAAAGCAUCUAUAGUAAUAAGAGUUUUACAAUAUUAUAUAUAGCAUUAUUUAUAUAUUUUAUGUCUCCCAAUAAUAUUAAAAUUAAGUGUCAAAUAUUAAUCUUAAAUAAAUAUAAAAUAUCCUCACGACCUAAAAAGUAUUAUAUCAGUUAAUUAAUUUUUAGUUUGCUGAUAAAGAAAUAAAAUAGUUAUGAUUGCAUACAUUAAAUGAAGAGAUAAUGCUUAUAUCUUCCAAUCUUAUUUUUCUUAUAUUUUCUUAUCUCAGAAGAUAAAAUUAAAAAUAUUAUUUCAUUUUUUAAUAAUUAUUAUUUUUUUCUUAAAAAUUCUUCUUCUUCUUAUUUUUUUUUUUAAAAAAAAUCUUCUGCUUAUUAUUUUUUGUUAUUUUCAUUUUACUUUAUCACUUCAUCUUACGAAUAAAGAUAUUACACUUUAAAUGUGUCAAGUGAAUGAAAUCUUCCCUCUAUCAAAUAACUCAAAUAAGUUUUCAUUUUUUUACAAUAAAAUUGUGUGUCUUCUAUUGUGGUUUCUUACUUCAUAUUAUUUAAAGCUCAUAUUUUUGCCAAUAAAAUAAUAAUAUUAAUAUUUAUGCAAAAAAAUUUAAUCCCAUAGAAUGUUAGUGACAAAAAAUGUAUAAAUUUAUUUUAUUAUAUAAAUAAAAUCAAUGUAAUAUGAUUAACUCAAAUAAACGAUGAUAUAAGUGUUGCUACACAUAGUAAAGUCAUUCCUUAAGGGUAAAUCUUCUUUAUUGAACAUUCUCUCUAAUAGAUUGGAGUACUUUUAAAUAUUUUAUAUUAUUUUAUUUAUUAUUUAGAAUAAUAACAAAAAAUAUAAUAAAGUCACCUUAAUAUAACAAUAAACUAUAAUCACACAUGAGUCAGAAAAUUUAAAUGUAUAAUAAAAUUUACAAAAUACUAUAUUUUUUAAUAAUUUAUCUUUUAUUUGUAUCUCUUUAUAUUGAGUUUUUUAAUAUUUUUUAUCGAGUUUGUGCAAUGUUUUUCUAACUCAAACUUACCAAGGACUCUGAGUUGAAGUCAAAUGAAUAUAAUAAUGUGGUAAUAUUAAAGAAAAUAAAAAAAAAAGAUUUGUAGAAACUUUUAUGACCCUAAAUCUCCUUUUAUAUAAUCUCAGAAAGUACGUUUUACGUCUUUUGAGCCUAAAAUAGUGGAGAUUUAGUUUGUGAUGUGUUUUGAAAAGCAAACAAAUUAUGAGAAGUGUAAAUCAAGUUUAAGAAAUAUGAGAAACUUGUAUAAUUAAGGAUAUUUUAUUAGAAACACUUUCCAGUUUUAAACAAACAACAUAUCUUCCAUGAAAAACUCCUGUAAUUCAUUAAUUAUUAGAACAUAUUAUUUAUAAAAUAUUAUGGUUGUGGGUGUAAUUAUUAUGGUAGAAUCACAAGUUUGAAAAAAUAAAAGUUAUUAAGAAAAUCAUAAUACAAACUAAUUUUAAAAAUUAAAAAUAAUUAGUUGUUUUAUUAAUUAAAUUAAAAUAUUUUAUAAACUAAAAUACUUAUUGAUUUUUAAAUUAAUUUUUAUUAUUGAUAAAUAGUUUUUAAAUUGAUAUCUAAUUAGCUAGCAAUAUUUUUGUUAAUAAUUGUUAGUUAAAAUCUUGGUAAUUAAUUAAAUAUAAAUUUAAAAAUUAUUUAUCAAUAAUAAAAAUUAAUUUAAAAUCUAAUAAUUUUUUAAGUUUUUAAAAUAAUCUUUAAUUUAGUUAAUAUAAUUAAUUAUUUUUAUCUUUAAAAUUGGUUUUUUAUUUAAUUAAGUUACUAAACAUGUAAAAUUAAGUACUAUUAUUCUUAGGGCUUAAUUAAAGCUAAGUGAAUAAAAAAACAUCUGAAUGAAAGCCGUACAGGAAUUGGUUAAAAUUAAUUUUUGUUCUUAAAUGUAAAAAACAAAUGUCCUUUUCCUUAUCGUUUACAAUAUUAAUCUGUGUUCAGUUGCUUUUGAUAUGUGUGCCAAUCAAAAACAAACACAACAAAAUUCAAAUUCAUUAUUCUACAACGGCUAUUUUCUAAUUUCUAUGAUGUCGGUGAGUUUAGUAUUAUGUCUUCUUCAUCUUUAUUACAUAUAUUCACUACUUAACGUUAUUCAACUCAACUAUAAUAUAUUAAUUAUAAACAAUCAUUAAUAAAUAUAAUUAAACUCAAGUCGCAUUCACAUAUAAUUAAAUUAAUCCAUUCUAAAUCGUGUUUACCAAAUAUUCCGUUACCAAAAUUUCAUAUACCAUUACUUUUUUUUUUAAAUCAUAGUCUAAAAUAACUUUUGACCCUUAACUCCUUUUACUAAACUUCAAUUCGAUUUUUAUCUUUCAAAGAAAAUUAUUUUUCAUCAUAUAUCUCUCAAAUUUUUAUAUAUUUUCAUUUCGAAAUCGUCAUCGUUUUUUAUUUUAUGUCACGGUUUUUUACUUUUUUAACUAAUUCAAAAUGUAAAAUCUAUUCUACUGAAUCUGAGGAAAAAAAAAAUCGGUGCUCGUGAAAUUAACUUUUCACGCAAUUUUUAGUCAUUUUAUGAUUUCUUUUAGUUUUAACAUCCAUAAUCUUCUUAUAGAAUAAUCCAACCGAAAACCUUAUGCGUUUUUCAAUAAAUAAUCAAGGAUUCAAAAUAACAUUGAUUUUUUUUAAAAGACUAACUUUAAUAAUAUUAUUGCAUAUAAGUGAGUGUUGUUAACCAAAAUGGAUUUACGAGUUUUUGUUGUCUAUAUCCAAUUAUAUGUGAGGAAAAGUGAAUGUAGAAAGAAAAAAAAUAGUUUCUAUAUCUUCAAUUUGAAAGUGUACCGAAAAACAAUGAAUAAGAAAGAACGAAUCAAUUAAUGAAAAAUAUAGUUUGACAAAUCUUUAAGUUAUAUACAAUCUUUUUAAAAAUAAAUAUAUAUAUAUAUAAUAAAUGAUAAAUUUAUAAUUAAAUAAUAUAAAAAAAUAUUAAAAUAAUAAUACUGAGAAUUGUAAUAUGAUUGUAUAAGAAAAAAAAUUGAGUUAUCUAUAUAUAAUUAAGGUUGAUUUUUAAGAAAUGAUCAUGAUAAUCUCACUUUCCAUUAACUUUUCUUUUCGAUUCAACACUUUCCUCUUCCUCAAUUUUAUAUUUAAAUCCAAACAAAAUAACAGAUAAAUGUUAAAAUAAAUCUUUUAAAUAAUAAUAAAUAAAUACAAAUUUUAGUAAAAAUAUUAAAAGAGUUUAAUUUCAAAUGUAAUAACUAAUCAAACUCAAUAUUAAGAGUAACUAAGAAAUUUGAAAAUAAAAUGUAUGAAAUAGAUUAAGUAACUUUGUAAAGAUUUAAAUUUGAAAUGUAUAACAUACUACUGUAAUCAUUAUUACUAGCGGAAAUAAACAGAAAGCCUUAUUUUUUAAAUAUUUUUAUAUAAUAUUAUUAUACUAUAAUUUUUUAAUUAAUAUAUGGUAAAUUUAUAAAUAUAUAAAUGAUAAAAUAAAUUGGAUUAAUAAGGGUAUUUUCACCAUACUAUUUUUUUAAAGAUUAAAUUAUAUAUAUUAAAGAUAAAAAAUAUUAUGUAUAUAUAUGUGACCAUUAUUUAUAAAAAAAAGUUCUUUAAUUAUUUUGAAACAAAAAUAAUUAUUCAAUUAUUUAUUUUAUUAAAUAAAUAGAUAAAUUACUUUUGUCAAAAGAUAAUAAUUACACUUUUUCUUUUGAAAAAAAAUACAACUAAUAUAAUAACUAUUGAAAUACAAAUAUAUUAUUAAAUUACAAAAAAACAUUUUUAUUAAGAAUUAUUAUAAAAAAAAAGAAAUUCAAUUCUGUUGUAUGUAAUUUCUUUCUUGUGUAGGUGAUUUUUUUAUUAAUCUUUGUUUUUUUCAAAUUCAAAACUUCUCUAAUUUAUUUAAAAUUCAAGAUUCCAAUUCAAAAUAAAUAAUUGUUAAAUUUAUUAUAUUAAAUUAUAAAGUAUAAAUUGAAAAAUGUGUACAUGAAACCCCUUUCUAUAUCAUAGAUUAUAAAUAUUAUUAACAAUAAAAAAUAUAUAUUAAAAUUAUAUUGUAGUUGGAUUUGAGUCAAUUUUAAAAAUACAAACGGCAAGAUCUGAACCGUUCCCCUCCAUAGUUAAAAAAGAAAUCCAAACAAUGCAAAAACAGAAUCUUUUUCUGUUAUUAGUUAUUUAAUCUUCUAUCAGUUUUGUUUUGUUUUGGAUCUGUGUGCUUUUACCCUAUUACCACCAAAACAUUUAUAUACAUCUUCUAAAACAAAUAAAAUUCUCUUAUUUUUUCUUAAAAAAAAUAUUAUUUUAAAGUUAAUAAAAAGUUGAAUAUUUUAAAAGAGUUAAGAAGAUUUUAUGUGCUGCCUUUCCCUACACAAAAAAUUAUUUUUGGUCUUACAAUAAGGAUAAAGUGUAAAGAUGUUAUCUUUUAAACACAACCAUAAUUGAAAAAACACAUUUAGCAUUUAAAUAUUCCAAAAAAACAGCUCUUUUUUAGUCUUUUUAUUUACAUACUUUUCUUGAAAUCUCAUAUACAAAAUGUAGGGUGUCUGCAGCUUGUAUUGUCUAAUGAAUUACCUUGGUUUUAUCUCAUAAAUUUUGAGUUUUUUAAGACCAAAAUCUGGUUCAGGUUGAAGUCACCAGAAGACACCAACUGAGAAAAUAAUGUAUUUAAAUAGGUAGUGUUAUGUUACUGCAUUAAGGAACUGUUAACAGUUGUAACAGAAAAAAAAGACGAAUCUUAGUUAUUUUUCUUGUGAAUUUAUCUAAAAGCAAAUCAAGUAAGAGGAAAUACUAUUCUUUCAUGAAUGAAUCAUGUGAAAAUGUGGAUCAAGAAACGUCAAAAGAAGGGUAUAAAUAAUAAAAAAAAUGAGAUAUUUUUAUGAAAAAGAAUGAACACACAUACAUACAUAUCUGUCAUCUCAGAACGUAGGUAGAUCUACACAGGCAUACCUACAGCAGCAGCCAGCAGCCAUCACCACGUGCAAAAAUAAAGAAAAAAUUUCAUCACAUUUUUAAUUGCUGUCAAAUUUUGGCCUUAUAACUCAGCAGGGAACACAAUUUACUGCUAUAUGUUAUCCCAUAUUCAGUCUUCAUUCAUCAUCAGAGAAAUAAACCAAAAGGAACAAUUUUGAAUGGAUUUUGAUUUUUUCACAUUUUAGCUUUAACAUAUGUUUUGGUCAACAACCAAUUCUGAUAAAUAUGCACGUGUCACUGUCAAUGUGUCCUUCAUAAUGGUAUUAUGUCCUUUGUUGUCACCUUAACUUCAGGGUGCUGUUUUCUGUUUGGACCAAUGACAGUUUAAAUCUGAUACCAAUUCACUCUGCUACACCUAAUGGUAAUAUGUCACUUUUUGCAUAAAAGAAAGAAAUUUCAUUUCACAUCUCAACACCAUGAAACCAAAGUCUGAAUUUUUAACAAGAGAACUUCAUAAGUGAUGAAAAAGUGUGAUCAGAUGCAGAUGGGGUGCUGAGAUUAACGGCCAGAUGGAGAUAACUUGAGUCUGCAUAUUGUAACAACUUGCACCACACCUAAACGUGAGAAUUUGAGGACCAAAAGUGGUUGAUGGUGUGGUCCUCCAAAGAUCUUCAAUACAACAAUUAUAUGAUCUUAAAAGAAAAGUCUUUCUUUUGAUUAUUUUUUUUCACUGUGUUUUACUCCUAUCAUUCCCACAUUAUAAGCAUCGAAAGGGACUCACGUUUCCUCUAUCAACUGUCUGCCACUGUGCAAUUCUUCUCUCUUCCAAUCAUAACUUUUCCACCACAUCUCCAUCUCAUUAUGCAUGCAUCCAAUCUCCAAUUUACGUUUAACUUUUCUAACCAAUUCCAAGGGAUUUAUUAAUUUCCUUAAAUUCAACAACCCUUAUGAAUUUUAUGUCUGUUUACACCCCAAUUCAGAGAUGUUAUACCACACGGCAUUGACUAUCAUAAACAAUGCAGAGAGAUGAGAAAGGUGGCUAUUAGAAAUUAGAAAAAUAGGUUCAAGUAGGUUCACAUGGGGUCACAGUUAAUGCACAUACCCUGUUGUAAUCUUGACCAAUGGGGCAUGUAAUUACAUGCCCUGGCACACCAACUUAGCCUUAAGAAGAAGGGUAAGUAACCCAGAUGAGAAAAGUUGCCACAUUUACCUUCAAACCAGUUCAAGAAUUACCCUUCUGUAAAAAUCCCAUUUGCAGAGAAAAAGAGAUUAAUUAGCAGGGAAUCUUGACUCUUGAAACCAUAUGAAACUAGAUAUGUCCGGUGCAUCAUAGAGAAACGUACCUGAUUUUUCCUACUUUUGGACAGUAGGGUCAUUUUUAAUUGCCAAAUGCUUAGUUGUUUGAAUUAUAUUAUAUUAUCCAACAGGGCCAAAUAGUUCUAUGAGGGAACAUUAGUGUGCACGUUCCAUUAUUCAUUCAUGUUACACUUAUUCAUUAUUCAUGUCAUAAAUCUUUGUUACAUGACAUUGGUCAAUUGCCAAACCCAAUGCAAAUAUUUGAAAUUCACCGGAGGAACAACAUGUUAGAGACAAACCCAAUGAAUUCUUCAGAAGCAAUUAUAAAUUAACAAGUGUCCAAACAGAAGCAUUUACAAAGAGUGGAUGGUCCAUGAGCUUCUUCAAAAGUGUCGUUUUCUAGAGAUGUAAAGCAAGGUAGCUAAAGUUGAAUGUAGAAUGCAAGAAAUGAAACCAUUCUGGAAAUCACCAUUUUCCCCUGGUUACUGUUUUCUAGUCCUUUUUUAUGUUGGCCUCUAAAGUUCUGGUACCACGAAUUAGCUGUAUAAUAAGCAGCAACGUGCACUUCAUGCUGGUGUUGACAACCUCACAUGUUAAUCUCAUCAUUGAGGAACCACAUGGGUGAGAAAAUUCUUAAAGAAAGUGAAAGAAAAGAAAAAGAAAAAAAGCAUAAACAGGUGAAGUGCACCAAAGUUGUACUCUUCUCAUGGCAACUUCUCAUUCUGUCCACCCCACUGGAAUCAACGUAUUAAGGCAAUAUUUGAUUUGUGAAGGUGUAUAAUUGCGGAUAUACGGUAUAUAACAGAUUAAACAAAUGGAUGAUAGUUGUGUGUGGGAACCCCACGAACACGUGGAUAGCAAAUUAAGCCAAAUUUGGAUUAUUCUUUAUGAGAAACUGCCAAAGGGUUGUGUUCCAAAUGUACUAAAAAAAAAAUGGUGUUGAAAAGUCAAAAUAUCUUGACCCUUGAACAAAAGAGGAUUCGAUCCAAAGCUUGCAAUGGAUGGCAUCGAGGAGCAAUGGAACAAAAAUGAUGAGCAGUGAUGGAACCGUGAUGCAAAAUACAUUAUUGUUUCCCUUCCCUGGAAAACAGUAGGAAGAAAAUGAGUAAAGAGAAAGAGAUAAAAGAAUAAAGCAUAGUUUAAUGGGUAGUUGGAGAAAGGAAUAGAGGCUUAAAAGGUUGGAGGAAAACAAAAGAAGCAAGAGUUUACGAAACUGUGGUUAAAGAAAGUCACAAGGCCAGCUGGGGAAGCUUAUUUUAAAGCAUUAUAUCAAAAUGAAAGGUAUUUAAUAGUUUGAAUUGGUCCCUCAUGACAGCUCCUCUUUAACGACUCACUUUCACUAUAAGUACUAAGUAUUUCAUGCAGCUUUUGUCAGUCAUAUCAUCACUAACACCAUAACCUCUUUCUUCUUCUCCUUCCACCAAUUUCAGUGAGGAUCUGAGAAGAAGCAUUGCUCAGAGGAACUCAGCUUUUUCCUUCUACGCAUGACUGCAAGGGGCAGAGACCCCUCAUGGGGUCUUCUCUGGCCGCAAAUGGCCCUCGCAUUUUCCAUUGCUCUCCUUUCUUUCACUGUGGUUUCUGUCAAUGCUGAUGGUUACCCUUACUAUUCUCCUCCUCCUCCUUACGAGUACAAAUCACCACCUCCUCCACCUUAUGAGCACAAGUCUCCUCCUUAUGAGUACAAGUCUCCACCUCCCCCAUCUCCAUCUCCUCCUCCUCCUUACGUCUACAAGUCUCCACCUCCACCACCAUAUGAGCACAAGUCUCCUCCAUAUGUGUACAAAUCACCACCUCCUCCAUCUCCUUCACCACCACCUCCUUACGUCUACAAGUCUCCACCUCCUCCUCCUUAUGUCUACAAGUCUCCACCUCCUCCUCCUUACGUCUACAAGUCUCCACCACCACCUCCUUAUGUCUACAAAUCUCCCCCUCCACCACCAUAUGAGCACAAGGCUCCACCAUAUUAUUACAAGUCACCACCACCUCCUUCCCCAUCUCCUCCACCUCCUUAUUACUAUAAAUCUCCUCCACCACCCUCUCCCUCACCUCCUCCUCCCUACUACUACAAGUCUCCACCACCUCCUUCACCAUCUCCUCCUCCACCCUACUACUACAAGUCCCCACCACCUCCUUCACCAUCUCCUCCUCCACCCUACUACUACAAGUCCCCACCACCACCCUCCCCAACUCCCUACUACUACAAGUCCCCACCACCACCAUCUCCAACUCCCUACUACUACAAGUCUCCACCACCACCAUCUCCAACUCCUUACUAUCCAUCCCCCACUCCUUACUACUACAAGUCUCCACCACCACCAUCCCCAACUCCCUACUACUACAAGUCUCCUCCUCCUCCUUCACCUACUCCUUACUACUACACUUCUCCACCACCACCCAAAUAUCCACCUCCCUACUAUUAUAACUCCCCUCCUCCACCUGUUGUGUAUCCCCCACACCCCUACCACCCCCACCCCUUGAUUGUCAAGGUAGUGGGUAAAGUCUACAGCUACAAGUGCUAUGACUGGGAGUAUCCCGAGAAGUCUCACAACAAGAAACACCUCAAAGGUACACACCUUAUUUUUCUCAUUUACAAUGCCUUCCAAUUAAUGUUCUCUGUGUUACCAUCAAACUGUUACUUUCCUGCUUCUUUGAUGUUCAUUAGCAGCCGCUUUUUGGAGUUAGGAGACUCCUAUGUUUCCAUAAUGGAAAUGUCUUUGUUUUUAAAAUUCAGUCACUUUCACAACCACCUUUUCUUAUCUGUCUGUUUUUCUUAUAAUUAACCUUUUGAGGUUAAUUAACGUGUUAAUAAGGUUUGAGGGAAAAAAACUGAACAGAUUCAGAGCGUCUAGAGUAAUGCACAAGUGAACAUUUUAUAAUGUGGUUAAUAGGCAUUUUAUAAUUUUAAUGAUAUAUUUAUCUGCAUUGAUCUGUGCAAGUAUCUUUAUAUAAAUUAAACAAAGAUACUAAAUAAAUGUCUUAGAUUAUGUGUGAUUAUCUCCAAAAGGAGAUUCAUAAAAAGGAAAAGAAAAACAGAAAUAUAAUUUAGAAGAAUCGGCUAAUGCCUGUAAUACAUUAAGAAAUAAUCAACUAGACACUUUAUAUAUGAACCUUUAAAUGAUUCUUAAUAUAUAAUAUAAUAUGGUAUCUGACAAAACUUUCACUUUAAUGAUAACUUGGUGUGUGGUAUGAUCUAUGAAUUGGAAUUAAGCAUUUUGGGGUGAAUGCAGGUGCUACUGUUGAGGUUAAAUGCAAAGCAGGAAGAAACAUCAUUAAGGCUUAUGGUGAAACUAAGAGCAAUGGAAAAUACAGCAUCACAGUUAAGGACUUUAACUAUGUGAAAUAUGGAUCCGUAGUGUGCAAGGCCAAGCUUUAUGCCCCACCUAAGGACUCUCCAUUCAACAUACCUACAAAGUUGAACGAGGGAACAGAGUUGAAGGUCAAAUCCAAAGACAAAUAUGAAGUUGUGUUGAAGGCUAAGCCAUUUGCUUAUGCUUCAAAGAAGCAUUUCAAAGAAUGUGAAAAGCCUAAGCCUUCACCAACUCCAUACUAUUACAAGUCACCUCCUCCUCCAUCUCCAGUUUACAUAUACAAGUCACCACCUCCUCCAUCACCUACUUAUGUUUACAAGUCACCACCACCACCAGUGAAGUCACCUCCCUAUUACUAUCAAUCUCCACCUCCACCAUCACCAAAACCUCAGCCUCCUUAUUAUUAUCACUCUCCACCUCCUCCAACACCAGUUGUUAAGCCACCAUACUACUACCAAUCUCCACCUCCUCCAUCUCCAAAACCUAAGCCUCCAUACUACUACCAAUCUCCUCCUCCUCCAUCACCAAAACCUAAACCUCCUUACUACUACCAAUCUCCACCUCCUCCAUCACCAAAACCUCAGCCUCCAUACUACUAUCAAUCUCCACCUCCUCCAACACCAGUUGUGAAGCCACCAUACUACUACCAAUCUCCACCUCCUCCAUCACCAAAACCUCAGCCUCCUUACUAUUACCAAUCUCCACCUCCUCCAACACCAGUUGUUAAGCCACCAUACUACUAUAAAUCUCCACCUCCCCCAUCACCCUCUCCUCCACCACCAUACUACUACAAAUCUCCACCACCACCAUCCCCAUCACCGCCACCUCCAUACUACUAUAAAUCUCCACCUCCACCAUCACCGGUUGUUAAGCCACCAUACUACUAUAAAUCCCCACCUCCCCCAUCACCCUCUCCUCCCCCUCCAUACUACUAUAAAUCUCCACCUCCAUACUACUACCACUCUCCACCUCCACCAUCACCAGUUGUUAAGCCACCAUACUACUACAAAUCUCCACCUCCACCAUCACCCUCACCUCCCCCUCCAUACUACUAUAAAUCUCCACCCCCACCUUCACCAUCCCCUCCUCCUCCAUACUAUUAUAAAUCACCACCACCACCAUCCCCAUCACCGCCACCUCCAUACUAUUACAAAUCCCCUCCACCUCCAUCCCCAUCUCCACCGCCUCCUUAUUACUAUCACAGUCCUCCUCCACCAUCUCCCACUCCUCAUCCUCCCUACUACUACAAAUCCCCUCCACCACCAACGUCCUAUCCUCCACCUCCUUACCACUAUGUGAGCCCUCCACCACCUUCUCCAUCUCCACCUCCACCAUACUAUUACAAAUCACCACCUCCUCCCUCCCCAGCCCCCGCUCCAAAGUACAUUUACAAAUCACCUCCACCUCCAGCUUACAUCUAUUCUUCCCCACCUCCACCCAUCUACAAGUAAGCUCGGAUUGUGGAAGCACCAUUCACCACAA